AAGGAGCAAAGUGGAUCUGAUUUCCUUGCUUGUUGGCAUCAGAUUAAAGGUAAAAAGUUGUUGCCUUGGCUUGGUUGUGCUUAGUUUGUUCACGAAUGAAGUUUUAAGGGCCAAAUUUUCAUAUAUGAGUCUCUUUUCGAGUUUUGGGUUCAGAUAUGUGGUUGCUACUAUAGAUCUAGACUGGUCUUGACUCAUGAAUCUGGAAAGUGAUAACUUUGCGGCUUGUUUGAGAGUGUACUUGACUUAAACCUUCAUUUUAGCUUGUUUAGAGCUUGUUGAACCUUGCAUGCACGUAAAGUUGGAAACUUUACGUGUGAAUCUGGCCCUAGGAGUCCAGAUCUAUGUAUUGGAAGCUUUGGAAUAGCCUGAAAUCGUCUGGAUGAAGAUGUCACGUCUGGACUCGGCGAGUUGGAAGAACAACUCGGCGAGUCUGUUCUUGGACUCGACGAGUUUGGUCGCAAGGUCCUAACCUUUUUGGUUGAGCGGUGAAUCGGUGAGUCGAGGGACGACUCGGUGAGUUGAGCAGGAAGUGACUCAGAGUUGGUUGGACUCAGCGAGUCUUCCGGCGACUCGGCGAGUCGAGUCGUGGAUUAGUAGUUUUUGAGUAUAGGGACUCGACGAGUCAGCGGGUUGACUCGGCGAGUAGAGUCAGUCAGGAAGGUUGACUUUGACCGAGGAGUUUGAUUUUGACCAAGAGUUGGCCAGUUGACUUCCAGGGGUAUUUGUGUAAUUAUUGGUAUUUAUUGAGUUCAGUCUUUUGGUAUUAUCAGUGGUGGAGUUCAUGUCGGAGGUUGGAGCUGCAUGAUCUUAUCUUUUCAGUCAGCAGUUGCGAGGUGAGUUAACCUCACUAUAUCAACAGGGUCUAAGGCACCAAGGUCGACCCUUUAUCGGAUGGAAAUCCAGGUAGUUGUUUGUUAUGUUAUUGCUCUGUUAUGUUCGCAUCCUGGUAGUUAGGAUGGUGUAUGUUAGAGAUCGGGUAGGGUCAGUAUCCUGGUUUAUAGGAUGAUGUUAUGCUAGUGACCGGUUAGGUCGGUAUCCUGGUUAGGAUGAUGUUAUGUUUGUGAUCUGCUAGAUCGGUUUGAUUGGAUGUGAAUUGUUAUAUGAUUGUAUGUUUAUGUGCACAUGGUUGUUGGACUGGGGUUGGGUUGAGGCGGGUCCUGCUUUGUGCUGUAGGCCAAUAUACCCAGGGCAGACCGGUUAUCCCGAAGUCCCAGCGAGCGGUCUGGAUAGGCUGUAGGCCCCAAGAGGGCGGUCCAGACGUGCCGAGGCUCGGGGAGUGGACCAGGCCGACUGAAGGCCCGGUGCGGGUGGACCAGUCAUACUGUAGACUCAGAGAUUGGACCAGGUGGAUUGAAGGCUCGGUGCAGGCGGACCAAUCACACUGUAGACUCGGUGUAUAUGGCUAGACUCGGAGGGUGGACCAGGUGGGAUGUAGGCCCGGUGCGGCGGACCAGUCACACAGUAGACCCGAAGUGCAUGGUUGUUCUGUUCUGUUAUGUUGUGAUAUGUUAUGUGUAUGGUAUAUGUGGUUGGUAUUUUGGGGGUAUCUCACUAAGCUUUCGGGCUUACAGUUGUGGUUUAAAUGUUUCAGGUACUUCAGGAGACCGUGGCAAGGCAAAGGCGUGAUCGUACCGCUCCUCAUGUUGAUGUUUUAUGAUAUGGUUCUGGGAAUACUCUGAUAAUAAAUGUAUUGAAAACCUUUUUGUAGUAACUUAAUGAAAUUGGGUGGUUUUUGAAAAGUUUAAAUUUGGUUGGAAUUUUUAGAGUGUUACAAGUUGGUAUCAGAGCCUUGGUUUGAGUGAAUUGGAGGAACAUUCGUGUGAAUCCAGUCUCAAAUCAAGGAGAGUUUUCAAAAAGAGAAUUUAAAAUUGUUUUCAAAAUAAGUAAAGGAGGAUGCGGAGGUACGAUCAGCCGGAGCCAGUAAGUAACCCCAAAAUACCAUACAAGUUAAUUGUUUAUGAGAUAUGAUAGAACAACAUGCUAGUACUAGGCUAGCGAUCUUCAGGAAUUGCAUGAUAGAGUUGCCUGAUUUAUGAUGCCUUCUAGCCUAGGGUUUCUUUCUGUAUGAGAUUUCCAGUGUUCCUUUAGGAGUGAGGGUUGAGUGCUUGUUAUGCAUGUUCUUCACUAGGGUGUUGUGGUGAUACUUGAUACAAACAUGGGUAGGUGUGGAAGGUAGUAUGGGCCCAUACUACUGAAAGCAUAGGACCCAUACGCGUAUCAAGGAAGUCACAACCCCUAGGGCUGGGUUGGGAGUUGGUUCUCGGGUUAGUGAGUAGCAUCUGAUGUUUUGCGGUAAUAUCAGUAUGGUGGUUUCGAGGCAUGCUGGGAGCAGAUCCGGGUCAAGAUUGGGAGCAGGAUGGGGAGGUCAUGGUGGAUCAGCACCACCCGAGGUUAUCGGUUAGAUGAGCACAGACGAGUUGGAUGCUAGGAUUCGUGAGAUCCUACAUGAUGAGGUUGCUGCUAUCUUCCGGGCCGAGUUGCCGGAACUGUUCGGGUCAAUCAAGACCGCCAUGGUCAAGUAUUUUGAUGAGCGCUAUGCAGCUCUUACAGAGACGGCUAUCGCGGCGGCUACAUCGGUUGUAGCAGUGGCAGGGGGAGGAGCCGGUAGAGGUUUUUAGUAUCGGGAUUUUGAUAAUACGAAGCCCCCUACCUUCGAUGGAGUUCAGGACCCGAUUAUUGCUAUGAGAUGGUUGUCAGACGUGGAGGGGUGUUUCUUCACGUGUUCAUGCCCUACUAAUCAGAAAGUGAGGUGUGCUCUGAACCUGUUGAGGCUCGGGGCGAAGGAUUAGUGGAGAUUGACCACGGGGUCAUAUUCGGAUGCGCAGCGGGUUGCGGUUUCUUGGGAUCAGUUUCAGGAGAUGUUCAGCACUCAUUAUGUCCCACGAGAUGAGAGAGAGAGGUUGGCUCAGGAGUUCCUGGAGCUGAAGCAGGAUUCAGAGUCGGUGACGGAGAUCACCAGGAUGUUCACUGAUGUGUUUACGUAUCAUCAGUGCACAACCAAUUCGUAAACAACAAGACUGUUGGAUUAGUGCCUAAGGCUAUAACUAUAUUUGGUAAGUACUUGACCCGAUUGUGCAUGGUUCUUUUGGGUUGCCUUCACCAUAGCAACUUGACAGGAUGAUUUGUUAAGAGAGAAGAGAUAUUAUUGUUAAUAUAUUAUGAGAAAAAUAUAUUAAAGGAAUAAUAAUGUUAUUUGAUUAAUAUAAGUCAUAUAUUAAUUGAGAAUUAAUCUGGUGACUUAAAGAGGUUAAUUGAAUAAAGGGGCAUAAAUUGUCAAAUGUGUGAUAUUUGUGUUUUGGGCUAUGUAUCCUUAUGGAUAUAAGGGUGGACGGAUUUUAGGGUUAGGAGACCAUAAAAUCAUCCAAGCCUAAUAUAUAGGAGGAUCUUGGAUUGCUUAGGGCCUAAGUUAUUCAAUUAGGGUUAAAGGUGAAACCCUAGUGGCUCAUAGUAUAAAUAGAUCCCUUGGGUGAGGGAAAUCAGCACCCAUGCAAGGCAAGGAACCCUAGAGUCGAUUUCUCACCCUUUUCUCUCUCUCAAGAUCAUCCUCUUGCUAGUUGGUGUUUGUAAGCCAUUAGAGGAGUGACAAUUGUGACUCUAAGCUCCAAGUAGAAGAAGUAUCAAGCAAGUAAUUCAAGGUAUAGUUCUAGAUCCGAUUUCAUAUGAUUAGAUUCAAGUGUUUUCAUUAGAUCUAGAAUUGUAAGUCUUGGAUACAAUGCAUGUUCAAUUAGAGAAACCUAGAUCCAAGCAUUAGGGUUUGCAUGUGCACAUAGGAAAGUUCUUAUGGAUCAACCCAUCAGUGGUAUCAAAUAUUUGAUUGAUUUCUAUUGAAUUGAUGCAUUGGUUGAUCACUUGUUGCUUGAAAAAUUCGAUUUUUGUUAUUCUGCCUGAUGAACUCGGCGAGUUCCAUUGUGGACUCGGCGAGUUCGAGCGUCAGAAGGAGGUAGUUUUAGGAUUUCUUGCUGUUUUUCUUGAGGAUACUUUCCUUAACUGUUUUGGGUCAUUAAAAUCUGAUUUUAAUCAUAUAUAUGAGUAUAUUCUUGACCAAACAAAAGAUAAUUACCAAUUAGUUGAAUAAUAAUUUCCUUAUAUGAUAAUAAUUGUUUAUUUGAAUUGAAUUGGUGAAUUGUCUUGCAAGUAAAAUUGAAUAAGAUCAAAUUGAGAUAAUCUAAUUAGUUGAUUUAUAUUAUUUGCUAUUUUAUCCUUAUGUUUUGAAAAAGUUUAAAACUUGUCCUCAAGUUUUGAAAUUUAAUUUUUGUGAUUAAAAGUUUAAUUUGAAAAUUUUAAAUUUCAAACCCUACAGUUUUACAAUUUUAAAAUUCAACACUAUACUAAUAUAUUAUUACAAGCUUAAUAUAUAUANNNNNNNNNNNNNNNNNNNNNNNNNNNNNNNNNNNNNNNNNNNNNNNNNNNNNNNNNNNNNNNNNNNNNNNNNNNNNNNNNNNNNNNNNNNNNNNNNNNNNNNNNNNNNNNNNNNNNNNNNNNNNNNNNNNNNNNNNNNNNNNNNNNNNNNNNNNNNNNNNNNNNNNNNNNNNNNNNNNNNNNNNNNNNNNNNNNNNNNNNNNNNNNNNNNNNNNNNNNNNNNNNNNNNNNNNNNNNNNNNNNNNNNNNNNNNNNNNNNNNNNNNNNNNNNNNNNNNNNNNNNNNNNNNNNNNNNNNNNNNNNNNNNNNNNNNNNNNNNNNNNNNNNNNNNNNNNNNNNNNNNNNNNNNNNNNNNNNNNNNNNNNNNNNNNNNNNNNNNNNNNNNNNNNNNNNNNNNNNNNNNNNNNNNNNNNNNNNNNNNNNNNNNNNNNNNNNNNNNNNNNNNNNNNNNNNNNNNNNNNNNNNNNNNNNNNNNNNNNNNNNNNNNNNNNNNNNNNNNNNNNNNNNNNNNNNNNNNNNNNNNNNNNNNNNNNNNNNNNNNNNNNNNNNNNNNNNNNNNNNNNNNNNNNNNNNNNNNNNNNNNNNNNNNNNNNNNNNNNNNNNNNNNNNNNNNNNNNNNNNNNNNNNNNNNNNNNNNNNNNNNNNNNNNNNNNNNNNNNNNNNNNNNNNNNNNNNNNNNNNNNNNNNNNNNNNNNNNNNNNNNNNNNNNNNNNNNNNNNNNNNNNNNNNNNNNNNNNNNNNNNNNNNNNNNNNNNNNNNNNNNNNNNNNNNNNNNNNNNNNNNNNNNNNNNNNNNNNNNNNNNNNNNNNNNNNNNNNNNNNNNNNNNNNNNNNNNNNNNNNNNNNNNNNNNNNNNNNNNNNNNNNNNNNNNNNNNNNNNNNNNNNNNNNNNNNNNNNNNNNNNNNNNNNNNNNNNNNNNNNNNNNNNNNNNNNNNNNNNNNNNNNNNNNNNNNNNNNNNNNNNNNNNNNNNNNNNNNNNNNNNNNNNNNNNNNNNNNNNNNNNNNNNNNNNNNNNNNNNNNNNNNNNNNNNNNNNNNNNNNNNNNNNNNNNNNNNNNNNNNNNNNNNNNNNNNNNNNNNNNNNNNNNNNNNNNNNNNNNNNNNNNNNNNNNNNNNNNNNNNNNNNNNNNNNNNNNNNNNNNNNNNNNNNNNNNNNNNNNNNNNNNNNNNNNNNNNNNNNNNNNNNNNNNNNNNNNNNNNNNNNNNNNNNNNNNNNNNNNNNNNNNNNNNNNNNNNNNNNNNNNNNNNNNNNNNNNNNNNNNNNNNNNNNNNNNNNNNNNNNNNNNNNNNNNNNNNNNNNNNNNNNNNNNNNNNNNNNNNNNNNNNNNNNNNNNNNNNNNNNNNNNNNNNNNNNNNNNNNNNNNNNNNNNNNNNNNNNNNNNNNNNNNNNNNNNNNNNNNNNNNNNNNNNNNNNNNNNNNNNNNNNNNNNNNNNNNNNNNNNNNNNNNNNNNNNNNNNNNNNNNNNNNNNNNNNNNNNNNNNNNNNNNNNNNNNNNNNNNNNNNNNNNNNNNNNNNNNNNNNNNNNNNNNNNNNNNNNNNNNNNNNNNNNNNNNNNNNNNNNUGCUCCUGUUUUGGCUAUUGGGCAGGGAAGGGGCAAGAAGAGGAAGGCUUCUUCAAAGAACCACCGCAAGGGAAAGUCCCAAGAUGGUUCCUCUUCUAGUGGGACCAAGGUUGAUCCUGCUAAGCCCAACCCAAACCCAAAGGAGGCAGAGUGUCAUCAUUGCCACAAAAUAGGGCAUUGGAAGAGAAGUUGCCCGGAAUAUCUGCAAGCCAUCAAGGAUGGGAAGAUCAAGCCAUCUUUCGCAGGUAUUUACACAAUCAAAUCUCAUGAUUCAUCUCAUGCUAUUUCUUGAGUUCUUGAUACAGGGUGUGGUUACCACAUUUGUUUUGAUUUGCAGGGACUAGGAAGAAAUAGGGAUGUGGAGCUUGGAAGAAUAAAUCUAAUCAUGGGGAACAGAAGAUCGUCGCCUGUUACCAAGAUUGGAGUGUAUUCUUUAGUGCUUAGUAAUGGAUUGAAUUUAGAUUUAAAUAAUUGUUGCUACUCGCCAGAUAUGGCAAGAAACAUCAUUUCUUUACAUGGUUUAUAUAGACAAUGAUUUAGAUAUUCGUUUAAUAAUGAGAAUGGUUCGAUUUAUGCUUAUCUAAAUGGUGUUUUAUAUUUUGAAGCAAUGCCUUGUAAUGGAAUUUAUGAAACUGUUAUGGUUGUAGAUAACCUAGGAUGUGUUGUGUAUGGAUUCUUCCAAUAGUAUGGAUAAAGCAUCUUUGUGGCAUUGUCGUCUUGUACAUGUCGACAAGAAGCACAUACCCAACUCCAAAAGGAUGGAGUGUUGGAGUCACUUGACCUUAGGGAAGAUGACACGUGUGAAUCUUGUUUACUUGGAAAGAUGACCAAGUCACCAUUCACUGGCACUUGUGAGAGGGGUGAGGGUUUAUUGGAUCUCAUACACACCGACGUGUGUGGGCCCUUUGGAUCCACCAAAGGAUGGGAACCGCUUCUACGUGACUUUCACCGAUGAUUAUAGUAGAUAUGGGUAUAUUUACUUAAUCAAGCACAUGUUAGAAACGUUUGAAAAGGUUUAAAGAGUUCAAGCAUGAAGUGGAGAAUUAAUUGGGCAGGAAAAUCAAGAUGCUUUGAUCCGAUCGAGGAGGAGAGUACCUAAGUCUUGAAUUCCACGACUAUCUCAAGGAAUGCGGAAUAGUUUCGCAAUUGACGCCACCUAGGACACCACAGUUGAAUGGUGUGGCAGAAAGGCGUAAUCGAACCCUGUUAGACAAGGUCCGUUUUAUGAUGAGUCGUGCUUCACUACCUAUCUCAUUAUGGGGGUAUGCCUUAGAGACUGCCGCCCAUAUCCUUAACCGAGUCCCUACAAAGAAGGUUGCCAAAACACCUCACGAGAUGUGGACAGGGAAAGCUCCCUCGUUGGCACAUAUCAAGGUUUGGGGCUGUGAAAUUUUCGUAAGACAAGAAAAUCACGACAAGCUCAAACCUCCUAGUGGCGAUGUAUUUUCAUCGGCUACCCGCAGAAAUGCUUUGGAUAUCUCUUCUAUAGACCGAGUGACAAUGUUGUCUUCGUUGCGAGGAGAGGGGUUUUCCGAGAGCGAGAACUCAUAAGCCAAGGGGACAGUGGGAGGCAAAUCGAUCUUGAAGAGAUUCAAGAGUCGAGNNNNNNNNNNNNNNNNNNNNNNNNNNNNNNNNNNNNNNNNNNNNNNNNNNNNNNNNNNNNUCCUUACCUCUUAGACGUUCCGAUAGAGUUAGAGUUCAACCCCAGUUUUAUGGUUUUCAUAUUACUACCGAAGGGGACACGUAUAUUAGUGAUGGUACACUAGUAAAUCUUGAUGAACCUAAUAGCUAUAAGGAAGCCAUGGCAGGCCCAGAGUCUGUAAAAUGGAAAGAGGCGAUGUAUAGCGAGAUUCAGUCCAUGUAUGACAACCAAGUUUGGAAUUUGGUAGACAAUGUGCCCGGACGUAAGAUGGUUGGAUGAAAAUGGAUCUUCAAGAAGAAGACCGACGUGGAUGGGAAGGUGCACACGNGCUGCUAGCUCAUUCACGCUAAUGAGCCUUUGUUAAAAAGUGACUUUCGAUGGAUCGAACUUUGGCGAAUGGAUAAGAUACAUUCUCACGAUCGCGCGUUAUGAGGACAAAGAGUAUGUUCUCGAUGAGAAGCUUGAGAAUAUCAAUCCAGAAACUGCUACUCCCAAAGAAAUGGUUGUUUUUGAGACCCAUGAGCAUGAUGCAACGAAAGUCCAUUGCAUCAUGAUAGCCACAAUGAACUCCGAAUUCCAAAAGUCCUAUGAGGACAUGUAUCCUUAUGAGAUGCAUCUAGACUUGUUGGAGAGAUAUCACCAAAGCGCGAGGCAAGAGCACUAUGAGAUCAUAACGAAUAUGAUCACUGCUAAAAUGGGAAGUGGAGAGUCUCUAACCGUGCACUUGCAAAAGAUGCAAAGGUAUGUUGAUCGUCUUCGCAAGUUGAAUGUCAACUUUGGGGAAGAUUUGGCUAUCGACAUUGUUCUUCACUCCUUUCCCUCAUGCUACAACCAAUUUAGGAUGACCUACCACGUGAACAAGGAAGAGGUCACCCUAAGCAAACUCCAGGGGCUCCUAAGGACUGCUGAGAGCAACCUUAAGGACAAGUCUGUUGCACCAACUCCCAAUCCACCCGUUGCUCCUGUUUUGGCUAUUGGACAGGGAAGGGGCAAGAAGAGGAAGGCUUCUUCGAAGAACCACCGCAAGGGAACGUCCUAAAAUGGUUCCUCUUCUAGUGGGACCAAGGUUGAUCCCGCUAAGCCCAACCCAAACCCAAAGGAGGCAGAGUGUCAUCAUUGCCACAAAAUAGGGCAUUGGAAGAGAAGUUGCCCGGAAUAUCUGCAAGCCAUCAAGGAUGGGAAGAUCAAGCCAUCUUUCGCAGGUAUUUACACAAUCAAAUCUCAUGAUUCAUCUCAUGCUAUUUCUUGAGUUCUUGAUACAGGGUGUGGUUACCACAUUUGUUUUGAUUUGCAGGGACUAGGAAGAAAUAGGGAUGUGGAGCUUGGAAGAAUAAAUCUAAUCAUGGGGAACAGAAGAUCGUCGCCUGUUACCAAGAUUGGAGUGUAUUCUUUAGUGCUUAGUAAUGGAUUGAAUUUAGAUUUAAAUAAUUGUUGCUACUCGCCAGAUAUGGCAAGAAACAUCAUUUCUUUUCAUGGUUUAUUUAGACAAGGAUUUAGAUAUUCGUUUAAUAAUGAGAAUGGUUCGAUUUAUGCUUAUCUAAAUGGUGUUUUAUAUUUUGAAGCAAUGCCUUGUAAUGGAAUUUAUGAAACUGUUAUGGUUGUAGAUAACCUAGGAUGUGAUGUGUUGUGUAUGGAUUCUUCCAAUAGUAUGGAUAAAGCAUCCUUGUGGCAUUGUCGUCUUGGACAUGUCAACAAGAAGCGCAUAGCCCAACUCCAAAAGGAUGGAGUGUUGGAGUCAUUCGACCUUAGGGAAGAUGACACAUGCGAAUCUUGUUUACUUGGAAAGAUGACCAAGUCACCCUUCACUGGCACUUGUGAGAGGGGUGAGGGUUUAUUGGAUCUCAUACACACCGACGUGUGUGGGCCCUUUAGAUCCACCACAAAGGAUGGGAACCGCUUCUACGUGACUUUCACCGAUGAUUAUAGUAGAUAUGGGUAUAUUUACUUAAUCAAGCACAAGUCAGAAACGUUUGAAAAGUUCAAAGAGUUCAAACAUGAAGUGGAGAAUCAAUUGGGCAGGAAAAUCAAGAUGCUUCGAUCCGAUCGAGGAGGAGAGUACCUAAGUCUUGAAUUCCACGACUAUCUCAAGGAAUGCGGAAUAGUUUCGCAAUUGACGCCACCUAGGACACCGCAGUUGAAUGGUGUGGCAGAAAGGCGUAAUCGAACCCUGUUAGACAUGGUUCGUUCUAUGAUGAGUCGUGCUUCACUACCUAUCUCAUUCUGGGGGUAUGCCUUAGAGACUGCCGCCCAUAUCCUUAACCGAGUCCCUACAAAGAAGGUUGCCAAAACACCUCACGAGAUGUGGACAGGGAAAGCUCCCUCGUUGGCACAUAUCAAGGUUUGGGGUUGUGAAGUUUUCGUAAGACGAGAAACUCAUGACAAGCUCGAACCUCGUAGUGAGCGAUGUAUUUUCAUCGGCUACCCGCAGAAAUCCUUUGGAUAUCUCUUCUAUAGACCGAGUGACAAUGUUGUCUUCGUUGCGAGGAGAGGGGUUUUCCGAGAGCGAGAACUCAUAAGCCAAGGAGACAGUGGGAGGCAAAUCGAUCUUGAAGAGAUUCAAGAAUCGAGCGAUGAAGGAACCUCUAACGCUGGCGCUCAACCCGAGGAGGAAACUCCGGUUGAACCGAUUGACGAGUCCUUACCUCUUAGACGUUCCGAAAGAGUUAGAGUUCAACCCCAGUUUUAUGGUUUUCAUAUUACUACCGAAGGGGACACGUAUAUUAGUGAUGGUACACUAAUAAAUCUAGAUGAACCUAAUAGCUAUAAGGAAGCCAUGGCAGGCCCGGAGUCUGCAAAAUGGAAAGAGGCAAUGGAUAGCGAGAUCCAAUCCAUGUAUGAUAACCAAGUUUGGAAUUUGGUUGAUUAUGUGCCCGGACGUAAGACCGUUGGGUGCAAAUGGAUCUUCAAGAAGAAGACCGACGUGGAUGGAAACGUACACACAUAUAAAGCGCGAUUGGUCGCGAAGGGCUUUACUCAAACUCCCGGAGUUGACUAUGAUGAGACCUUCUCACCAGUUGCGAAGAUAAAAUCUAUUAGAGUGAUGCUAGCUAUUGCCGCAUUUCAUGAUUAUGAGAUUUGGCAAAUGGAUGUCAAGACCGCUUUCCUUAACGGAAAGUUGGCUGAGGAUGUUUACAUGGCUCAGCCAGAGGGGUUUGUGGAUCCGAAGCAUCCGAAUAGAGUGUGUAAGCUUGAGAAGUCCAUUUAUGGACUUAAGCAAGCGUCUCGCAGAUGGAAUCUUUGCUUCGAUGAGAAAGUCAAAGAGUUUGGAUUUGUACGAAGCGAAGACGAAUCUUGUGUAUAUGUCAAAGCCAGUGGGAGUAUAGUAAGCUUCCUCGUUCUAUAUGUCGAUGACAUAUUACUCAUAGGAAACGACAUCCCGACUCUGCAGGAGGUUAAGUCCUGGCUCGGGAAGUGCUUCGCUAUGAAGGACCUCGGAGAGGCUUCUUACAUUUUGGGAAUAAGGAUAGUAAGAGAAAGAAGUAAGAGACUAAUUGGACUUAGUCAGAAUACUUACUUAGAGAAGGUACUAAAACGUUUUAGUAUGGAAAACUCAAAGAAGGGAGAACUACCGAUACAAAGUAAUGCCAAAUUGAGUAAGACUCAAAGUCCGAGUACCGAAGCUGAGAUAGCAGAAAUGAGCCGAGUACCAUACGCUUCCGCAGUUGGCUCAAUCAUGUACGCUAUGACUUGUACUCGCCCUGAUGUAGCCUUCGCUUUGAGCAUGGUUAGCAGAUAUCAAGGGAAUCCUGGCAAAGCACAUUGGAUUGCGGUGAAGAAUAUCCUUAAGUACCUUCGGAGGACGAAGGAAUGGUUCUUAGUCCUCGGAGGGAGUGAUGACUUGAAGGUGCGAGGGUAUAGUGACGCCAGUUUUCAGACCGACAGGGACAACUACCGUUCGCAGUCGGGCUGGGUCUUUACCCUAAAUGGAGGAGCAGUGACAUGGAAGAGUUCCAAGCAGGAAACCGUAGCUGAUUCAACGUGCGAAUCAGAGUACAUUGCAGCGAGCGAAGCGUCGAAGGAGGCAAUAUGGCUAAAGAACUUCAUCGGUGAUCUUGGAGUUGUACCUGCCAUAAAGGAGCCCAUGGAGAUUUUCUGUGAUAACGAAGGAGCGGUUGCCUUGACCAAGGAACCGAGGGAUCAUGGUAGAUCAAGACAUAUCGACAGAAAAUAUCACUUCAUUAGACAUCGUGUAGAAGAAGGACAACUCGUAGUGAAGAGGAUAUCAUCAGAAGAUAACCCAGCAGAUCCGCUUACGAAGGGACUGAGUAGGGUUAAGCACUUGCAGCAUGCUAGGAGUAUUGGGCUGAAGGAUGAUAUUAGCAUAGAUUAGAUAGUAUUAGAAACGUGUAAUAGAUAAAUGUAAUUAACAUUUGAUGAUUAAAUAAAGGAGUUUUAUUUAUGAGUAAUGUUACUAUCUUAUGUUAAUUGUUUAGCUAUUGUUUCACUUUGCAUGUUUUGACUUCCAGAAUAAUUGAGUUUAUUAGGAAUAAUCGAAUUGUUCAAAUGGUCCACAAUCGUUCAUAUGUUGGGAGUAGAUAUGAAUGAAGAUUGUCAUGAAUUGGUGUGUAGAAUGUCUAAAUGGUGUUAGACAUAGCAAAGGAUUGCUGCAACGUUCAUGAGUGCUUAUGAACUAGUUUUGAGCAUUGGAAUAAACCCGCGCUUGCUGGAAUCACCUUAUGGAAUACGAUAUAACAAGUGAUCGCAAGACGAUAAUAUCAUAUGGUCUUAAAACCAAGAUAUAUGGUUUAUUGUUUAUUAAUUGGUUGUGCAUUGACAAUGCGAAACCGCAUCAGUAAAUUGAUGUCAUAAAACGCAUUGUUGUGUAUAGUUGAUUAGUAAAUAGUAAAUGCAUAUAAGUCGAAGUUUAUCUGUUACUUUUAUCCUAAGAGGGUAAAAGCGAUAUCAGGGCCCCUCGAUGAUUUGAUUUGACUUAUGUGUCGGGCCCGGUCAGGACUGAAUUGAUGUGUUCAAUUAAGUUCUAUGUCAAAUGAAUCUGAGAUCGAGAAACCAACUGUUGGACAAUAAGUUCCAUGAGAUUGUCCGCACAAUAUCUAAACAGAGGACUGUACGAUCCCUUAUCUAAAGGACAGGAUACUGAUAAGAUCAGAGUUUGACAGCGUCUUUGAGAGCUACGAUUGCUAAUCGGAUUGUGUUUGCAUAUAUAGUUACUAGACUUAUCCAAGUGGGAGACUGUUGGAUUAGUGUCUAAGGCUAUAACUAUAUUUGGUAAGUACUUGACCCGGUUGUGCAUGGUCCUUUUGGGUUGCCUUCACCAUAGCAACUUGACAGGAUGAUUUGUUAAGAGAAAAGAGAUAUUAUUGUUAAUAUAUUAUGAGAAUAAUAUAUUAAAGGAUUAAUAAUGUUAUUUGAUUAAUAUAAGUCAUAUAUUAAUUGAGAAUUAAUUUGGUGACUUAAAGAGGUUAAUUGAAUAAAGGGGCAUAAACUGUCAAAUGUGUGAUAGUUGUGUUUUGGGCUAUGUAUCCUUAUGGAUAUAAGGGUGGACAGAUUUUAGGUUUGGGAGACCAUAAAAUCGUCCAAGCCUAAUAUCUAGAAGGAUCUUGGAUUGCUUAGGGCCUAAGUUAUUCAAUUAGGGUUAAAGGUGAAACCCUAAUGGCGCAUAGUAUAAAUAGAUCCCUUGGGUGAGGGAAAUCACCACUCAUGCAAGGCAAGGAACCCUAGAGCUGAUUUCUCACCCUCCUCCCUCUCUCUCAAGAUCAUUAUCUUGCUAGUUGGUGUCUGUAAGCCAUUAGAGGAGUGACAAUUGUGACUCUAAGCUCCAAGAAGAAGAAGUAUCAAGCAAGUAAUCCAAGGUAUUGUUCUAGAUCCUAAUUCAUAUGAUUAGAUUCAAUUGUUUACAUUAGAUCUAGUAUUGUAAGUCUUGGAUACAAUGCAUGUUCAAUUAGAGAAACCUAGAUCCAAGCAAUUAGGGUUUGCAUGUGCACAUAGGAAAGUUCUUAUGGCUCAAACCCAUCAGUUGUAUCAGAGCUUUGAUUGAUUUCUAUUGAAUUGAUGCAUUGGUUGAUUGCUUGUUGCUUNNNNNNNNNNNNNNNNNNNNNNNNNNNNNNNNNNNNNNNNNNNNNNNNNNNNNNNNNNNNNNNNNNNNNNNNNNNNNNNNNNNNNNNNNNNNNNNNNNNNNNNNNNNNNNNNNNNNNNNNNNNNNNNNNNNNNNNNNNNNNNNNNNNNNNNNNNNNNNNNNNNNNNNNNNNNNNNNNNNNNNNNNNNNNNNNNNNNNNNNNNNNNNNNNNNNNNNNNAUAUCGCUUUUAUCCCGAAGGUAAAAGGAAUGGAUAAACUUCGACUCAUAUGGCUUGUUCUACUACUUGUUGAAUCAUACACAAAUGCACGUUUUAUAACAUCGAGUUACCAACGUGUUUUCUUGCAAUCAAUGUAUAACCAAGUCAUAGUAACAACUCAUAUCUCAAGGUUUGAAGAAUAUAAGAUAUUACCGUCUCAUGAUUACUUGUGAUAAAAUCCAUGAAGUGAUUCCAAUGAGCGCGGUUUGAAUCCAAUACUCAGAACUUAUGAGCACUCAUGAGUGUUGUAGCACAACUUUGUCCACCAACUUUGUCACACCCCGGCCGUCGGCGGAAACACCGGGCAGUGUAAUGUCAUUUCUCGUAUCAUAGUUAUCAACUUCCUGAAAACACAUGCAAUUUAAAAUACGUCAACAUAAAUUUGGUGAGUUCACAGGUUUUGACUCCAUAUAAAAAUAAUACAUUUUUCCAAGUUCAAAAGUAUAGUUUUGAAAGUAUUAUUUUGAGUUUCCAACGUUUAGUAUAUAUAUCCUAGGUAUAAUGGUUUACUUACCAAAUAAGUAUAUACCUAUAAGUCUCAUAUAUUAUAAAUAUAAAUGUUUGUAAUUCCAUAAAAACUAAGUUGCUACGUAUAAAUCUUAUUUCAAUUCUAUACGAGUAAGUAGGAUAGGUAUAGUGGUCUACUUAAUAUACAAGUGAUAUACCUACUAGAUUCUUAUACUUAGAGUAUAAGUCUUUAGGAAACUUAUACUUAACAUUCAUACUUGUAUAUCGACAAAGUAUAAUGCUUCUAAAGUUGUUCUACCAUGAGUCUGUAGCCGCGACUGUAUGACUUAGUUUUAUACCUCUUAUUAUUAUUAUUACAAGGAUCACACAUUGCUGUAGUGCAAGGAUUACACCUUGUGGUAGUACAAGGAUCACACCUUGCGGUAGUACAAGGAUCACACCUUGCGGUAGUACAAGGAUUACACCUUGAGGUAGUACAAGGGUCACACCUUGCGGUAGUACAAGGAUCACACCUUGCGGUAGUACAAGGAUCACACCUUGCGGUAGUACAAGGAUUAUACAUUGCGGUAGUUUCCGCACGUUUCAUCAACGCCAGAACAAUAACAAAUAAAAGGAUAGUUCAUCACUCACUUUUGGUUGACUGUAGCUAACAGUCACGAGUGGGGUGGUCAACCCGUAUACUAUUUAUACACGACUUCCUCGCUCACACGGGAUUAACGAAUACAGGUCAGAGGACUUUCACUAAGAUCCCCAAUCUUAGAUGAUGAAUACAAUAGCUCAGGUAGACUUUGACGACGUUCUAUGGUUCUAACAACAAAAGCAUUUUCGUGUCUAAAACCCUAAGUUACUAGACUAUGAUUUUAAACAUUACUCCUAAUUUCAUAACAUUUAGGCAGUAUAACAACUAUAACUUGAAGUAAAACUAGGUUUUAUCUUGACAUAAAACCAACAAUAAUAACAUAUAACACACCAGGUUUUAUCUUGACAUAAAACCAACAAUAAUAAUAUACUUAGAAACUAAUAUAUAUAUAACUCUCGAGUAUAGCAUCGAGGCUAUAUCACACAUACUAUACAUAGAACUCCCGAGUAUAACUCAAGGUCUACAUUAGUAUAAUAACAUGCUAACAAGUUUACGAUAGUUGUAUAAUUUCAUAUACGAAAUAAGACUUAUCCCGAUUAUUAUAACUAUCUACGUUGAUACUAAUAUACUAUCAUAUAGACAUAAUAAUAACGUAUAUAUAAUAUUUAGCAUGCGUUUUCCCCCGAAAUAUUAGAAAGUGGGACCGUGAAACUCACCUUAGUAACGUGAUUUUAUGUAAUCUAGGUAGAAACGGUCAGCGUGUGAGAUUGUCGGGGCUCGGGAUGCAAGAGGGCUUCAGCAAAUGAGAGAGGAGAAAGGAAAUGUUGUAAGGAAGUGAAUGGGUCGAUCUUGUUAUUUAUAGUAAGUUUUUAUGACACUCACGUCGUGAGUGUCAUAAGACUCACAUCGUGAGUCUCAUGAUUCACUCCGUAGACUUGCCAUUUGCGUCCCUAGCUUCGGAUGGUGGCCAUGACACCUCACGUCGUGAGUGUCAUAAAGCUCACGUCGUGAAUUGGAUCUUAUCCUCUCGCAGCUUCUAGAUUCCGAAUUAUGACAGAAUGUCGUGAGCGUCAUAAAACUCACGUCGUGAAUUAGCUAGUUUAGGGUUUUUAAAAGCUAAAUCUUCGGAAUGCCAUAACUUUUGCAUACGAACUCCGUUUUUGACAUUAUUUAUAUGCAUGCGUAGGUAUUUACGAGUAAUACAACUCCCUUUUAGACUUAAAUAGCUAAUUCUAAGUCUAUUUUAAAUUCCUCUUAUUAUAGAGAUUUAUAGUGUUCGGUUUAUCAUAACUUCUUAAUGCGAAGUCGAUUUAGACGUUCUCUAUAUUUUUGGAAUCGUAUGGACAUAUACUUUGAUUUAUAUCAUAAAGGAAGUUAAUAUUUGUAUUAGAAUUUAUCAUGAACUACAUAACAUUCUUACCACAUUACUAGGUUAAUAUAAUCACAUUACAUGAUUUGCAUAAUCACAUGUGAUUAUCUAUAGACCUAUUUUGACUAGUGUUACAAACUUGGACCUCUACAAGACAACCCAUGACAGUAUUGAUUCAUAUAUACUUCCAACAUAUGACCGAAUGUUGAUGGUUUGAAUAACUUAGUCAAUCAGGAAGAACGACCUAGUUAUUCUGGAAGUCAAAACAUGCAAAAUGAAACACAAGAAUAAUUGAAUCCAAUAUGGUCUCAGAACUUAUGAAUAUAAAUAAAACACAUUUUAUUUAUCACCAUAUGAUCACACAUUAUUCAUUGUAUACUAUUUCAGCUAUCAACUUUAUUCUUGAAUUAAAACAAUUGCUGCCCCAUGCUCCAAGCAUGUACACUAUGUUUUCUAAACACUAGUCAUGCCACACACCAAGUAUGCAUACUAUGUUUGUCUAUGAUCUUUACUUUGUGAAAUAGAUAAAUUGAAUAUAACUCCAAUGAUCCUAUUUUCACAUUCCUAAAUCCUUACUGCAAAUGCAAGAAUUCCAAAUUCAUGCCAUUUACCGAAAUUUGUUAGAUUCUAAACUUAUAUGCAUUGAUCCUCUUGUAAUGAUUAUGCACAAAGUCAUAAAGACUUGACAACAAACAUUACAAAACAUUCCAAAGGAGAUCAACUCCUUGGAAACAGCCUUCUUGCAUUAAGUUUCCUAAUCUUACACAGAUUGAAUAAUUUCUAACUUUGAAACAUUUCCAUAUUCCAUUUUGACUACCACUUCUGAACACGAGUUUCCUUUUUUCAGAAUAAUUCAAUAUGGUCCUUCCACCAAUUAACACUAUACUUCCAACUGUCCUUGAGAAACCAAUCUUUGGUAAACCUUAGACUGUCCUCGACGAUUGCUUAAUCCUUUUAGUCACAUCUAAUUCUAGACCUUUUCCCUUCUUAAUGCCCCAGGCAUUUGGAAAAUUUUAGAAAGGAUGAAUAUAGCACAUGUAAUCGAUCCUAUAUCCGAAGCAUAUGGGACACGAUUCAUGAUGUCUCACAUAAAGACUAAACCAGUCUUUUGCUAUAAUAUUUCCAUUUCAAUUUGCCAAGUUCUCAUAAUUCAGAUUAUGAAAAGGGAUGUCGUAAUCAUAAUCGAAUUUUAGAACGCAAAUAAUGGACCCAUAUACAGAAUUUCCUUAUGUUGAGCCAUUCCAACAUGAAAUUCAUAUAUAUCCUUGACUAAAUGAUUAAAACCUCACGAUCUAAGCUUAUAGAUUUGAGAUGAAGUAUAAUUUCCUCUCCCUUAAUUAUAGCAAAACAACUUUUUCCCAAUUGAAACUUUUGUUUUCUAUAAUUAACAUUGCUAACUUGCAAUACUUAUCAUAAUUAUCAUGCUCCCACUAACAUGAUGAUUAUUAGCAUAACACUUAUGCUCCCACUAGCUUUGACAUGUACUCAGAAAUCAGUUGGACUUCUAGAAAUCAAUACUUUAUUGACUUUCUUACCAAAGUUCAGAUUUCUGAUACUAGAUUGCUUUGAUAAAACUUUAUCAAUAUCAUACACCUUAUCUUAGAUAGCUCACAUGUGUGUUUAAACAAUUUUAAGAACUAUGAAAAGGGAUGUCAUAAUCAUAGUCUUGAUUGUUUAUACCUUUUCCACUUCUCACUAGUCCAUGUUAGUGUGUCGGUUAACCACACAUGCUCCACUAACAACUUUGAGAAUGCAAAUAUUACAAUUGCUAUCUAGCUAAAAUCUACUUAGUGAAAAUGUUUCCUCACCAUCAUUUUCAUGAAUCGGAGAGAAACCUUAUGACACUUAGAUUUAAUGGUGUAUGUGUUCUUAUCCAUGUGAAUUGUCAAAACCAUAAUCACAAGACAUGGUUAGUGACAAAUCCAAACUCUUAUGGAUUGAACUUGUGUCAUCUUAACUUCUUGCCAUUUGGCAGCUCAAGGGCCUGACAUUGCUUCCAAGUUGUUGUACAACCAAUUGAGAACUCUAAGAACUCAUAUGCAAAUCCAACUUUAAUUAGAAUAGGCAACGAAUAUGUCAACACGAUAGGUUAUAAACCUCAAGUCGUGUGCUAGUGAAGAGACUUCAGGUUUUUAUUCUUGAUUAGUUCUUGAGACUUUCGAGACCUUUAAGACUCCCACUGUCCUCUUGACAUAUAAGACUCUCUUUUCAAAUAUUCAAAAUAUAGUGCGGAUUCUUUAUCAAGAUAAACACUUCACACAAUUGGCCUUAGUUGGUCUUUGUUUUAUCCAAAACAUCACAACUUACCAAUUUCAAAUGUACAAGAGUAGAAAACUUUUACUCUUACAUUUGACAAGUGUUUUAAACCUUCUUUAAGACAUGUCACUCAACUUACAGUAUUGGAGUAUGACUCUAAGACUUGUUUUGGAACCAAGUAUGACUCAUCUUCUUGAUUUGACCACUUCAACAAUUCAUAGCUCCUCUUCUUAUCUAUCAGAAUGCACUUAGAGGAUGAAUUGUGAUAAGGUAUCUUCAUCAUUAAGAUGAUCAUAUAACAUAAUACUAAAGUACUCUCCUAUCUUUUCAGAUUUAAGAAACUUUUAUCUUUCUACCUAAGUUGAUUCUUCUUAUUCGCUCUGCCAUACAUUGUAAUUUUUCUAAUGUAUCAGAAUUACACUUAAACCUGUAAGUAUAACCAUAUUUACUAAACUUUAGUAAAUCAUGAUGAAUAGCCUUAUCGAUAUUUUGUGGUGGACUUAACCAGUGCACAAGAAUGUGUACUCGAUCCCUUAGUCCUUUACUUGACUCACACAUCCAUGUGAACAAGUAAUUAGUCUUAAUUUUCCAAUGCUUGAAAGUUCUCAUUCAUCAUGCUAUACAACUGGCAUGAUUCCAAGUUUCUAUCCAACUGAAACUUGGGUGAUGAGAAUCUUUUCUUAUUUGGUAAAUUUAGACACUACCACAAAUGAAAGAAUCAAAUUCAUAUUUCCACUCUUGCUCUUAAUGGAAUCUUAUAAGCAACAAAAAUUUUCACAAGUGCCAUUGUAAGGAUAUUUUAAAAUAAAUAAAAUCAAAAUUUUUUCAUUUUAUUUUAAAAAUUGUGGAAAAACUAUCCUUACAGUGCAAAAGCACAUGAAAACUUUGUUGUUAUCUAUUCCUAAGCAAUAUAUCAUAACUCCUAAGAAGUAGCUCAAGAAUCCGAUCUUCAAACUAUGAGAUAGAAAUCCAUCUACGCGAUCAGAUUCAACAUAUUCUUUUUUUAAGUUUCUUUACUUUUUCUUUGAUUCUUAAAACAUCAACAUGUGACCCAGUCACAUAAUGUAUCAAGAAUCUCAUAGUAGAAACUUAGCAGAGUUAGAUAGUGGACUUUACCUGAAGUAGAGUCAAACUUAUUGACUUUAACAUCCUUAGGUAAAAUUGACAGCUUCGCAACUAAUGCCCCUUCCUUUGGCAAUGGACCCUUGAUAAUGGGACUAUCUUAGACUUAGCCUCUCUCUUUACCAUUUGGUCAACCAAGUUGACUAUGGAUGAUCCCUUUCCAUUGGGAAGAGAGAGCUUUACUGGAUAUCCAAUGUCACAUUGUCAAUGUCCAUUGAAAGUUUGGGAAGUUGAUCUUCCAAUCACAUUUGCUUUACCAGUGUUCCAAAUCAUUACUGAUUUAGCAAUACCAAGCAAAUAGAUAAGAUCAUUAAGAGUCUUGUCAUAGUCUGUUUCAUAGGAGUCCCAAAGGAACUCACUAUGUGACUUAGAAAGUGAUUGAGCCACCAACUUUCUCAAGACUUUGACACCUAACUCUCUCGGCUUGUCAAUAUGUGACUUCAUCUCCAACAUGUGAUCACACUUAGACCUUGCCUUUCCAAUAGGGCUUGAGUGACCUUAAACUUUUCUAGAACUUGUGGGUUAGGGAGAAUAAUUGGAGGAGGUGAAAUAAGUAUGAUUUCCAUGGGACAUCGUCUUCAUUUAGGAAAAUUUGUUUCAAGAGAUUUGGGAAGAUCACAGAUGUCUAAACCAUACAUCUUUUGGGAGAUAUUCAAGAUAGUUGAUUUAAAGUCCUUAAUAUAACACCCAAUAUGAAAUAUUAAGGCUAGGACCCAACACAAUACUUUUAUAAAUUGGAAGAGGGAUGUCGUAAUCCAAGCUAUAAAAUAUUUGAAGGUAGGUGAAUCACGAUUCACCAAUUUCCACCAAGAUAAACAACAUGUAUUAUUAGGUUUUAAUUGGUUUUUCAAACUCCUAGAUUCUUUUGAGAUUCAUUGAACUGUUCAAUAACAUGUUUCAAUCUCGAAUGUGCCCUUCAGGUUUUGUGACUGAGAUGCCGAGGAUCACAAAACAAGGUGUGAAUAACCACGCAAAUAUACUUGGUACCCUUAAGUGUUUACCCCUCAAGCGAUGUGCCGGUUAACCACACACGCUCCAUCGAUACUAUGAUAAAUAUUAAGUCACCCUUUACCUACCUUGUUAAAUACAAGUUAGUGUGCCGGUUAACCACACACGCUCCACUAACGACUUAGACAAAGUGUAAAGUGUAAUUUCAUGGAUUAGCACCUUAUUCACAUUUUCCCUAAGUAACUAAGAUUGGGUAUUAUUAAGAGUUUAGUUACUUAGUAUUUUCAUUAAUACUUUUAAUGAAGGGAGAAUUCUAGUCCUGUCAAACCCGUUCGGCUAACGACCCUCCACCAGUCAAGCAAGCGGUGGGUGAGAGUGGACACCCAUUAAGUUGCCAUUUUAUAGGCAACAGCCUUAUACCCACCUUAUAGUCCGGCUUCGUGAAUGAGGCGUACUAGCGGUAAGACUGACUUUACUCUUAUACAUAUAUAUAUUAUUAACUUAUAAUAUUAUAAAGCAUAAGGGUUUAAUUUAAACUUUUAAAAUUCUAAGGGCUAACCUGGAAUUAAAGUAUUCAUAAGAGAAAACUUUUCAAAUUACAAAACUUGAGAGCAAGUUUUGAAAAUAUUCAAAACUAAUUAAUUCCAUAACUUAUGUGAUUAAAUUAGUUUUAAUUAAAAAACUCUUCAAGUUCCAUAACUUGAGGACAAAUUAUGGAAGACUUUAAACUAAUAAAAGAAUGUAACUUUUCUUUAUUUUGUCACUUGUUGGUUUCCAUGUUCGUUCCUUUGGCUGAAGUUGCCAAUGUUGUUCCCACCUCCAUUAGGGUUGUUUGCAUUGAUUUGUGUCAUCGCAGCGGUUACUGCUACCGUUACAGCAGCUUGGAAAGUAGCAGAGUCCAUCUGCAGGAGUGGUGCCUCGCGGGUGCGCUUGUUAUUCUUGCGGGGCAGCAUUUUCCUGAUGCAUGUUGAUAAGCUACAUCGUAAUUAUAGUCAUUCCUGGUUGUACUCUAGAAAUUUUGCAUCUUGUUAUAUAAUUCUUACUGCUCCCAUAUACAUCCCUAUGAUGUAUUUAUAGUAGUAGGUAAUCACAUAUUUGGCACGAUCGUUACGUCUACCCCAGAGGAUAUGGAUUGUUUCGGUUUCGAGAUCCUUAAGUACCAUCUUAGUACACGAAAGAGAGUCAUAUCGGAUAGUGAGGGGGAAAAGAAAAGGUUGAUCCUAAUUGUGGCGGUAAGUGUCUGGUGGUGGUGCUGAUGAAGUGGGUGCACUUCGAAGAUGAGCUACUUGUUAUCCGGUAUCUCAUAGUUGUACUUCCCAAACUAAUUGUCUCGCUCGAGAGUCUCCAUUCACUUCCUAUGUCUGCCCCUCAUCUUUCUCAAUAGCAAACCACAUUUGUUCCGUUCGAUUAGUGGUGUCCUGAGCUUGGUUAUCAAUACCUCGGGUGCGUCGGACCAUGACUGGGAGGGCCCGGUCAGCUGGUCCUCUAUGGCUAAUGGUCGGAGAGACCUCGGUUCCUACCCUAGUGUGGUCGUAUCCCCUGCUGGUGACUCUAUCUCCAAAUAUCAUGUGCCUAAGGGGGGCAUGGGGCCACCAGGGCCCACACGAUAUGUCGAUACUCUGACUUUACAUGGAGGAUUGAUGUCAUUGGAUUCUACAUCUGAGUCAUCAUCAUCAUUGCCCUCUGGCUCUUCCUCUUCAAGGUUCACUUAUUGACUUGGCGGGUUCACCUGCGAGUUCUACUUCGUGUUCCUCCUGUGGUUCUUCCUCUGGGUCGAGCCACCCUACUAUUCUUUGACUAGGGAGAUAAGGUUUCCUGACUAAUGAUACUCGUCUAUAGCGUAUUGCACGAAGGGCUAUGAAUACUAGAAACAAAUAGCAUACCAAUUACUCCUAUAACUCUACGACUAUUGCAUAGAUUUAGUUGAGGUUCCCUUCUUGGAGAUUAAGAGGUAUGUUUUUAGAUUCCCUAGCUAUCACGAUUUAUUCAAGACAUGUGAUGGUCGUACUUUGGAGGGAAUGUAGUUGAUCAGGCUACAUCCACUCCUUGAUACAACUAAAAACAGUCUUGGAUCAACCGAGAUACUAGCAUUAUCUUGUUCGAUUCGGUGUUAGGUUCUCGUUCCUAAUACAAGCAAGGGUGUUUUAUUGUUAUGUUUACUUAUUUUGUUCAGAGUCUGGUUAGUCCCUCUUCUGGUUUAUAGUUGCAUAUCAAUGUGUGGUUAGAUAUGCCAGUUCACUAUAAACAGAGCUCUGAUACCAACCUGUCACACCCCCGAACCAGACGGCGGAAACGUCCGAGGGCUGUUGUGACUCAAUUGAAUACCAUCACAGUGAAUAUACAUGAAACAUAACAUCAUUCAUCACCAUGCAUUGAAAUAUUACAACCGGUAGUGUUUACAUUUAGUACAUUGUUUCAAAACAUUACAUUCCCAAAAAGUAAAUUGUUCGAUACUAGUUAAACAAACAACAAGACAUCACUGAGUACAUUUUUCCUUCGAUUUACUUGUUACCUGAGAAUACAAGUAUUUUGAAAAACGUCAACAUAUAAAAUGUUGGUGAGUUCAUAAGUAAUGUUUGAAACACAGUGUUGGUAUUAUUUUGAAAAACCACUAGAAAAUCCGAUAUUUUCUGAAAAGAUUGUUGCAAGUAAGAAAAAGUGUGAAGAUCCGUAAGUAUGCUUGUUUAUUUCUACAAGCGUGAAAAAUUGUUUGACUUGGUAUGCAUCACGUAGGUGUAAGUGUUGAAAUCUCUAGGAAAACCCGAUGUUUUCCUAAUACUUUAAAUUACGCGUUUUAUUUAUUGUUAUACCGUUGCGACAUGUGUAUUCGAUAAUUCCAGGNGUACUAUUCACUUAAUCCAACCACCCUAACUUCUCAUAGCCCCACAACCGAGGAGAAAAGAGGGUGCGAAGCCCCCGCUAUUUCCAUAAGUCGUUCAAGGCUAUCGUGAAUGCGAAAGGCCCUUGGCCCGACUCGCAUUGGUGAAUUCUCGACUUUGCUAGCAGUACCAAAAGACCCUUGGGGCCCAACAGCACAAAAGCCAGUGAAAGUCCUUUUACAUGGAAUUAGGUCAUAUAAGACCCAACAACAUGUAAGCGAGUUUCCUUCGGGCCUAAAGAUCAUGUCAUUGGGCUAGCUAGGCCCAACAAGCACGAUUUGAAACUUUCGGGCCCAAAGAUGGUGUAUCGACGUCUGGUGAAUUCCCGCGUGUGUAUUGACUUCCCGUAAUUUCAGCGUGUGUAUUGUAGUAUCGUCGUGUAUAGAUUUUUGAUUCAUUAUUGAUUCGAGACCGAAUCAAUUCGUUUGGUAACGAUUUUUGGUGUUGAAGGUGUAUUAUGUUUCAUCGGUAGUCGUGGUACUAGUAUUUCAUCAUAACGGAUUUGUUGUUUAAAACAUUAGAAUUUUUACUCUUUGCAGCCCCUUUCUUUUGGAUAAAUUUACACUUUUGACCCUUUGUAUAAAAGAAUUUCCAUUUUAGUCCUUAAACCAUUUUUCUUUACACUUUAGUAUCAAAACUUGUUGAAAAGGUAUUUUUCAGCUCAAAUUUAUUUGAAAAACAGCUUUAGUCCCUCAGAAUGAAGUUUUCUCGGCUGAAACCUCUAUUUUCGCAAUUUUUACACUUUUGGCCCAAAAUAGAAUUUUUUUGCAUCUUUGGUCCCUUUUAAAUAUGAAAAGUAUUUUUAACCCUUGAAAUGGACUUGGAGCACUAGUAGUCCCCUGUUUUACAGAAAAGUACCGUUUCAGUCCCUCUAAUUUGAAAAUCUCGCAAUUUGGGCUUUAUUGGGCCGAAAAAUUCAUUUUUGGCCCAUUAUGCUUAAAAAUUCACAUUUUAAUCCUUCAAAAGAGUAAAUUUCCAGAAAAUACAUUUUUGAAACUGUUUUGACUCAUUUCAACCAUCAGAAUUUGCAUUUUGUCAUUUUGGGCCCUUUGAAUUUAUAUUUUCAACAUUUUGAGCCCAAAAAUGGGUUUUAAGCCCAAAGAUGUUCAUAUUAACCAACUUGGUUAUUUUUCUAGGAAUGAUUUGUAUGAAAUAAUAUAAUUUGUAAUUGUUUCAUACAACUUAACGUAGAUCUCGGUUUUAAGGUCUUUUUGACUAGAUCCAACACCACAACCACAUAAGAAUAUAUAUACAAGCAUAAAAAUCACACAAAGCAUACAUAUACUCAUAGAUCUACACAUUUGCUUGUAUUCCCCCCCCCCCCACAAAACUUAGAAAAACCGAAAAAUAGGGGGUAUGAAGCUCACCUUGAGGUUUGGUUCGAUUUUGAUGAAGAUAUAUGAGAAGAUGAUGUUGUUUUUGGCUUAGCUUUCUUCCUUCAAAAUAUCUUGAUGAUGUGGAUGGUUCUAAGAACAUAAUCCACAAAUAUAUGGAUGUAAGAGGAGAUCUUUGAAGAGAUCAAGAAAUUAUAUCAUAGAUCUAAGUGGGAACUUACCAAAGUUGAUGAUCUUGAAUAAGAAUUUCUUGAAGUAUCCUCUAAUUCUCGAAAAUUUAGAGGAAAGUGUAGGAGUGUUCUUGUGAGAUUUCCUUAAGAGAUUUCUAAGUAAAAUAAGUGUGUUGGUGAUUUUUGGGCCCUAUGGCCGAGAUUAAGAAGAGAUAGGNAUUUUUGGGCCCUAUGGCCGAGAUUAAGAAGGAGAGAGGGGAAAAGAGAAGAGAGGUUUGAAGUGAUAGAAGUCUUGAUGCAUGAGAUUAGUUUUUGCAUGGAGGGUAUUUAGCAUGGGAACCCUACAUGUAAAAAUGAUGUGUCGCCAUGCAAUUUACCCUAUUUUUUUUAACCUUGGGCCGAAAAUGGCUCUAAUGGGAUGAAGAAAAAUGGUUUUGGGCUCAAUGUCUUGGCUUUGAUCGAACUUCAUAGCCCCAAUAUUAUUUUUCGGCCCAUUGUGCUUAAGGACGAUUCACGACCCCUUUUGAAUAAAAGAAAUGGAGUUUAUGGCCCAACAAGGCCUAUUAGAGAUAAAAAUGAAUUAUUUUAGGCCCACAUGGCCCAAAACAAUCUAGUUUCAUGACUGUGGGUCCAAGUAGAGCCCAAACAGUCGAUUUGAAAGUUUAUUGGUCCAUUAGGCCCAAUAAGAGAAUCCUAAUCCAUAAUGAAUUUGAGCCGAAAUUUCUAGGGUUUCCAACCCUUAGUUGAACAUAUGAGAUGUAUGUGAAUGAGAAUAGAUUAUAGUAAGUAUAGCCUUUUUCAAUGGAUGAUGUUUACAUGGGAAUCGAAUUUCCUAGCAAAUGCUAGUUGUGACACCUCAAAUGGUUCACACAACACCAAAUACACUUGGAAUAGAUUAGAGAGAAAUCCACACUUCAUGAAAAUUGGCUAGCCCUUUCACAUAUAUUCUAGUGCCGAUUUUGUCAACAAUAAGAUGCUUAUAUAGUUAGUGACAAUUAGGGUAAACCCUAAUUGUCAUGGCUUUCCAUUUCCUUGGAUCUAUGGAUUCAAAUACACCAUGGAGAAUCCAUGGAGCAUCUUAUGGGUUUUAGCCCAACUUGACAAUCCAUAAAGCAUUAGCCCAUUAUACAAGUAUGGAUAAUUUAUACAAUCAACCGAAAUAUUUAAUUAGUCUUCUUUUGAUCACUUAAUUAAUCCUAGAUUAAUUCUUGAUCAAUACUAAUUAAAUAAUCUUAUUAAUAUAUUAAAACUUCUAAUAUAUUAACAAACCUUAAGUGUUAUUUCUCUCAUUUUAGUCUAUCCAAAUGCAUGAUGUCAUGCAACCCAAAUGGACCAUGCUGGGUCGGGUCAAGUCUUACCAAUUAUAGUUAUUGACUUAGACAUUAAUCCAACAAUCCAGUCUGGGGGCAGUUUUGAUGCAACGUGGUUGUGUGAUUGCUUACGCUUUGAGGCAGCUGAAGCCUCAUGAUGCGAAUUAUUCGACACAUGAUUUGGAGCUGGGAGUCGUGGUAUCACACUCAAGAUUUAGCGGCAUUACCUCUAUGGGGUUCAUUGUACCAUCUACACGGACCACAAUAGCUUGAGGUAUCUAAUGGAUCAGCCGAAUCUGAACAUGAGGCAACAUCGUUGGUUAGAUGCGGUGAAAGAUUAUGAUUGUGAGAUCCUUUAUCACCCAGGGAAGUCCAAUGUGGUGGUCGAUGCUCUUAGUCACAAGGCAAUCGCGGCUCCAAUAAGAGAUAUAUGUUUGAGGAUGACCGUGAUUACUCAAUUAUUGGAGCGGAUUCAUGAGGCUCAUGCAGGGUAUAUGAAGGAAGAGCAUCGAAAGAGUGAACGCAUUGUAGGUUAGGUGGCUUCCUUCGAUUAUGGUAGCCAUGGAUUGCUGACUCUGCAUCGGCGAGUAUGGGUACCUUAUUGGGGUGGUUUGUGUCAGGUUCUUAUGAAGGAGGCAGGCACACGAGUCGAGGUUCUCCAUUCAUCCCGGGGCGACAAAGAUGUAUAGGGAUCUUCGUCCUAACUAUUGGUGGCCCUGCAUGAAGCGGUAUGUGGAAUGGUAUGUUGAGCGAUGCCUGACUUGCAGGAAAGUCAAUGUUGAGCAUCAGCGUCCUCACGGCAAGAUGCAGCCGUUGGAGCAUAUGGAAAUGGAAGACAUAACUGUGGACUUUAUUAUGAAGCUUCCCAGGACUGCGCGCAUAGUGGAUUCUAUCUGGGUCAUCGUGGAUCAUUUGACUAAGAUGACAUAUUUCAUUAUGAUCCAGGAGAGUAUUUAUAUAGAGAAGUUGGCCGAGAUUUAUGUCCGGGAGGUAGUGGCACGUCAUAGGGUGCCGAUAUCAAUGGUUUCAGACAUGGAUGUUCAUUUUACUUCCAGAUUUUGGAAGCGGUUUCAUGACAAGAUAGACACUCGUCUCCUUUUUAGUAUAACAUUUCAUUCAUAGACCAAUGGUCAAAGUGAGCGGACUAUUUAGACUCUUGAGGAUAUGUUGCAUGCGUGCGUGUUGGAUUUUGGUGGGAGUUAGGAUACGCAUCUUCCAUUAGCGGAGUUUUCGUAUAACAACAGUUAUCACGCCAGCAUCGAUCGACCUUCUUUUGAGAUGCUCUACGGGAGGAAAUGCAGUACCCCGAUUUGUUGGGGCGAGGUCGGUCAGCGAGUUAUGGGGAGUACCGAGGUGGUGCUCAAGACCACUAAGUUGAUUAAGCAGGUUCGAAGCAGGCUCCAGACAGCUGGGAGUCGGCAGAAGAGUUAUGUCGACAGGCAUCGAUCAGACUUAGAGUUAUAGAUGGGAUAUAUGGUUCUCCUGAAGGUGUCACCUUGGAGAGGUGUUAUCCCGUUCAGGAAGCGGGGCAAGCUGGGCCCCAAGUAUAUUGGUCCCUUAAGAGUUUUAGCUCGAGUGGGCCGAGUUGCGUAUUGUUUAGAUCUUUCAGCCGAGCUCAGUUUGAUUCAUAACACAUUUCAUGUCACUCAGUUGCAUAAGUGUUUAGUGGAUGACUUUGCAGUUGUACCUUUGGAGAAUAUUCAGGUGGAUGACCGUCUGAAUUAUAUUGAGAGACCGGUGGCAAUUUUAGAUCGAAAGAUGAAAACCUUGAGGAACAAGAUUAUGGAGUUUGUAAAGGUGCAGUAGUUGUACCACAAAGGGUCAGAGUGGACUUGGGAACCCGAGGAGGAGAUGAGGGAACAUUAUCCAGAGUUGUUCGAGACGGCGGACUUCAAGGAUGAAGUCUGAUUCAAGUGGGGGAGAAUUGUAAUGCUUGAUAAUUUCCAAGGUAUUUAUUUAAUUUGGAUUUAUUUAAUUGUUAUGAGUUGGGCCUUGAAUCAUUGGAUUUUUCUUAUUGGGCUUAGGGUGUUAAGUACGCAGGGUGUACCACCCUAUGUAUGCAAGGCGUACUGAUGUAGAAUGAUCGCGGGUGCCAUGCAUGUACACGCUGCGUACAAAGGAGUACGCACAACGUAUGUAUCUAGUCCCUAAAACCAUACUAUUUAGGGUUUUAGCACUAUUUAAAGAACAUUAUAACUUAAGGAUCUUCUUUAUCAGCCUCCAACUUGCCCCUAAAUAGCCUCCACAAAACCCUAGCCCAAUUGUUGAGUGAUAUUGAGCUUGGAAGGUCUUUUGAGUGCGUUUUGGUGUGUUUUGUCCCAUUUUCAAGGAAGAUAAGGUUGGAGCAAGGUGGUGGUUCAAGGAGAAUUUUAUAGAUCUGGAUUAUCUGCCGCAUUUCAAGCUUGUGCAAGGUAUAAAUCUUGAUCUUGAUCUUUAGAAGCUUAGAUCUCCAUGUUUUAGCUUUUGGACCCUUUUUGGUCCCAUAAAUAAGCUCUUGUGGAUUGUUUUCGUUUCUGAAGCUUAGAGUUGCUAGUCUUGGUGUUCUUUGGGUCCUAGAGGCAUAAAGUUGCCACCUUUGAAGCUUUAAUCCAACCAUGUUUGAGUAAUUGCCAUUUUUGUGGAAGUAGAAUGUUAUAUUUCAAGUUUGGGCUCAUUUGGGGCAUGCAAAGCCACCAAUUUGAUGACUUUAUGGGUUAAGACGUUGCAAAUGACUCAGAUUUGUGAUUGUAACUCUUGGACUUAAGUGGUUAAGAGAUUUUUGGAGAAAUGGCUUAUUGGGUGAGUAUGUUGGGCGUAUAAUUGGGGUGGAAAAUCGGACCAUCGUGUCGUGUUUUUGUCCGACACGACAUGACACGACAAAAUUUUAUGUAACACAAACACGACACGACACGAUCUCGUAUUUUUUUUAACUAACACGAAAACGAACCGGUUAAAAAACGACAAACAUGACACGACACGACAAAGAUAACAUGAAAUAACAAUUAAUGUAUUUAAUUAAUGUGUAUUUAUACAUAACACGACAAACACAAAAAACACGACAAAAAAUGUUAAAUCGUGUCAAUUUCAUGUCAAAUUUUGAACACGAACACAACACGACACGACUUCGUGUUUUUUACACUUGACACGAACACGAAUUCGAAUUUCAAUUUCGUCUCAAUUUCGUUUCGUGUCGUGUAUUUUUGUCGUGUCGUGUCAUCAAUCGUCACCCCUAGCGUACAGGCUCGUACAUGCAGCAUACAAGCCAUGCAGCGUGUAUGCUUGGUGUACAGCCGAGUACGCCUCGCGUACUCAGGCAGUUGGGCUUGGCGUUGUUUGGGCAUCGAGUUUGGCCAUUUUCUUGGACCUUGUUGCUUUGGGCCUUUUGGGCCAUCUGGAAUUAAUAUUUUGGAUUAAGGAAUUUUAGUGGGCCUUAGGCCAAGGGCCAUUUGGGGGUUUGAGCCCAAUUUGGAAAAUUGGGCCAUAAGUGGGCCUUUGUGGAUCUUUUGGUUUUGGGCCUUAUUGGUUUAUGGUUUUAGGCCUUAGUUUUGGAUCAAGCUAGGCCAGGGGUAAUAUGGUCAUUUUACCCCAAGUAUGGAUUAUUGAUUAUAGUUUGGAACCUAAGUGUUGAUUAGGUGGUAUUUUGUACUAAUAGCUCGGGGAGUCGUCAUGGUAGCAACUGGGGAUUUAUUUCUGUGAGAUUCAACAUUUGAGGUGAGUUUCCUCAAUGGGUUUAGCGGGUCUAAGGCACCAAUGCUGACCCUUAUUAAUUAUGUUAGGAUGCUAAGAGUUUGUGUGACCCUUGCAUGCGUUAUGUGUUGUUGUAUGUAUACCGGGCGAGGCUCGAUGCUAAGCAUGACAUGAGGAUUGGAACAUAUGCUAGUGUUAUGAUCAUUAUAUGUGUUAGCAUGAUUAUGUAAUAUUGAUUGUAUGUGUAUAAAGGGCGAGACCCAGUGACAUGCGAGGCAUGAGAAUAACAUAUUUGUAUACCGAGCGGGGCCCGAUGCCGGGCGGGGGCCCAAUGCAUGAUUUAUUAUGUAUGGUAUGGGGUAGUUUGGGGAACUCACUAAGCUUUGUGCUUACAGUUUUCAAAUUAUGUUUAGGGUACUUCCAGUGGCAAUGAGAAGAACUCGGGGUGACUGCAUUGCACAUACCAUAUGGAUUCUGUUUAUUGGGCACGCUCUAAUUUUUCCUGAUAUCUGACAUACUUAUUUUAUUUGGGUUGUAUGAACUAUGAUUGGAAAUACUGUUUUCACUUGAAUGAAAAAUGAAAAUUUUAGGUCGUAUUUUUGGGUUGUUACAUUGUUUGUUUUUUUGUCGGUCUUGAAUAUCAACGACUCUAUGUAAGUAAUCUGUUGUCCCUGGUUGAAGUUGAAUGUGUCCAGGUUCCGUAGGCGAAUAGUCUACAAUGUUUCGUCAUUUAUUUUCAAUCACCAUGUUAUGCAGAAUGAUACAUGCAUACAUAAUAUCUCGUAGAGUGUCCAACUCGUAUGGUCGUUCCGCAUGUUCAACUAUGUGACAUUUUGCUUUCAGAACUCUGAAAGUACGUUCCACGUCCUUACGUGCUCCUUAUUGUCUUCUCUUGAAAAAUUUGUUUAUCGGUUAUAUCUGGUGUCGAAACGCCAUCACAAACGUGGAAUAUGGUGGGUAUAUUCCAUCCGUGAGGUAAUACCCGAACUUAUACUCAUCGUCAUUUACUGUGAAAGGAGCAUCUGGUGCCUUUCCUGUCAAAAGGUCCUGAAAUAUUGGUGACUAAUGAAGAACGUUUACGUCGUUGUUAGAACCCGCAACUCCAAAAAAAGCAUGCCAAAUCCAUAAGUCUUGUGACGCAACAACCUCUAAUACUAACGAAGACGAUCCAAGAUGAUCACUUGUGUAUUGACCUUUCUAUGCCACAUGACAAUUUCUCCAUAUCGACUUUGUGCAAUCAAUGCUUCCAAGCAUUCCCGAAAAACUAUGUCGUUCUUCUUGCGCCGCAUAUAGUUAUUGCAUGUCAUUCAAUGAACGUUUGCGCAAGUAUUUGUCACUGAAGGUUUUGAUAACACCUCUCGCCAAUCUAUACAAACUUUCUCAUGCAGUUCACUCUGACAAUCUAUAAUAAUAUAAACAUAUAUUUAAUUUUUAAAACAACUGUAAUUACGGUACUUGCUUUCCAUUGCAUUGACUAUUCGUUGAAACACAUUUUUCCGCAAACGAAACCUUCUUUUAAAAUCGCUAGGUUGGUAGACACAAUUAUCCGCAAAAUAAUCGUGUACUAGACGUCUAUUCCCUUUGAUGCGUGCAAAUUAUACCUACCUAGCUACACCUAAUUUUAUAUUUAUAACCUAACUAACUUAACUAACUAAAUUGCACCUAGGCACUGUACUUAGUCAAAUUAUAGAAUAGUCGGGUAAGUCGGGUGUCGAUCAUAGGGAAGGGUUUUAACUAAUUAAUCUACCUACUAUUAAAUUAACCUAAUUUCUAAUAAAGUGGGGGGGUUUUUUUUAUCUAAUUUUGCAAGUUUAGAUGAACUUAAUUCGUAACACAAAAUUCAAUCAAUUAACAAACACUUAUGUUAGUUCAAAUCCACUUCCCCUCAAUGGUUUAUAAAUUAGUUAUGACAAUUACUGUUGGUUACCAAUUAAGAUAGUAUUAGCAAUUCAGUUCUAAAUUUACUAACAUUGAUUAAUUAAUGUAAAUCUAUGCAUUGUCACACAAUAGUUAACUUAAAAUCAAUUAUUAAAUGAAAUUGGAGCCAUGUAAGAUUGAUUUGAAAAACACACUUAUGGUCAUAAUAUGAGUUCUCUAGCACAUCCUAAUUCAAUAGUUCAAUUAUUUUUCUAAGAUUUGUUUGAUCUUAGCUCUAAUAAACUAGUGUUCACUGAAUUAUUAAGUAUUCAAAUUCAUGCAUAUUCAUAUUCACUAACUACACAUAAUAAGAAUUUAAAGCAAUCAAAUAUUAAAUCAAACAUGCUAGGUUCAAUCAAUCAAACACAAGUCAUAACCAAAAAGUAAAUCAAAACUAAAGUAUUGAAACCAUGAGUUCCAGCUUCAUCUAGCUAACAGAAGCAGCUAGAUUUAGCUGGACAUACUAGCAAACAAACAUAAACAAAUCAUAUUCAAAGACAUAUUUAAAUGUACCAAACUAUUAAGCUAAUAAUGAACUUCUCCUUCUUCCUUGGUGUUGAAAGCCAAUUCCAAACGUUUUCUCCCUCUGGAUUUUGUCUCCAGGAACCCUCCAAGUUGUCCAAAAGUCCCUCAAAGUCGUAAUGAUCAAGAGAAUAUAUAGUUAUCAUAAAAUUCACUCUCACGUCGUGAAUGAGUAUGACUCACGACGUGAAUGCAGUAGAUAUCUGUGUUCUACAAGGAUUCCUCCUCCGCGAUGCUUAUCUUCUGGAAUAGUUCCAUUCACGUCGUGAAUAGUUAUGACUCACGACGUGAAGUUAGCAGAUUACAGGGAUUUCCUCUUCUUUCAUUCUCCAAGCCUCCAAAGUUCCAUGCUUUGUCAAUUUCAGUCAUUUUCUCCCAAAAUACUUCAAUUUGGCUGCAAAGUACAAUUAAAGCUUAUAAGCAUCAUUAUUUAAUGCAAAUAACCAAAAUAUUAAUAAAAAUGUAAGUAAAUAUUGCCCAAAAACAUGUAUAAAUAUGGCAGUAUCACCCUUCUUCACGAUCUCUGUUCAACGCCGCACGUCUGGUCAGUAGUGGAGCUGGCUUUGGCGGUAACAUGUAUGUAACAUAUCGAUACAUCAUACCCACGAACAUAUCAUUCUCGUCGAUAUCAUGAUUAUAUGGAUGAAACGGGUCAAAAGGUUCCAUUUUUUUUUUGUAAAUAGAAAUAUAGAAAAUAUAUUAAACUUGAUAGAAAUGUGUAUUAGAGAGAAUUAGAUAAAUUUUCUAUGUAAAGAUAAGUUAGAAUGUGUGUGUGUGUGUAUAUAUAUAUAUAUAUAUUAAAGUAAUUUUUUUUAUUAUUCGUGACCGUUCCACAUCGGUCAGAAAGUAGACCGUUUAUCCCGUUUCGUCCCGUUAUCACCCACACACCGAAUAUCGUAACGCCAAAAAAACGUGUACCUGGAGGCGGUGUUUGCACCGUUAUACCAACAUUUUUUGAUGUACACGUCGGAUUAACGGGCACUUCGGUUGCCCAUUCCGAGUAGUCUAAAUGUCAAAAUGCAAUGAAGAAAAAGAUUCAUUACAAAUGUCAAUUAUAAGUAUGUAGAAGGAUAAAAUAUAAAAAAGUUAUUAUCUUUUGGGAUAUACACAGUAAAGUCCCAAUAUUUUCAUCGAUUUGACAAGAAAAUCCUGAACUUUAUUUUUUUGACAGUAAAGUCCAAAUUACCGGCAGUUUUUGACACUUUUACAUUUUUUUCCCGAUUAGCCGGUAAUUAGGACUUUUUUGUCAACAAAAUAAAGUUUAGGACUUUCUUGUCAAAUCGUCAAUUAGGACUUUACUGUUAAAAAAAAAAAUAAAGUUUAGGACUUUUUUUGUCAAAUCGUUGAAAAAAUUGAGACUUUAGUGUAUAUAUAAUUUUUUUGGUUAGAAACUUAAUGAUAUGAUACUCUUUACGCAUAAGAGUUAUUGAAACAUUCUCUAAUCAGCUAGAUCAUAUUGAAAUCCUUUACGUUUGCUUCUUGUUAAAUCGUUAUUUUAAUCUCAACAAACUGACAUUGAAAAAAAUUGAGAUAAUCAAGAAAGAAAGAAAGAACCAGGGUUGUGUUGGCUUUUUGCAGUCUCAAAAAUGGAGAAAUUAGAAACCUACAAAAACGAAAAUGCCCUGACUUUUUACAAAUACAAACAACACGUGCCUAGUCAAAAUGGUGUGAAUGUGGAGAAGGGAAAGAAGGACAAUUUCGUUUUUUUCGGUUUCUUAUUUCUCCAUUUUUGGGGUUGCAAAAAGCCAACACAACCCUGGUUCUUUCUUUCUUUCUUGAUUAUCUCAAUUUUUUUCAAUGUCAGUUUGUUGAGAUUAAAAAAACGAUUUAACAAGAAGCAAACAUUAAUGAUUUCAAUAGAAUCUAGCAUAUUAGAGAAUGUUUCAAUAACUCUUAUGCUUAAAGAGUAUCAUACCAUUAAAUUUCUAACCAAAAAAAUUAUAUAUACACUAAAGUCCCAAUAUUUUCAACGAUUUGACAAAAAAAGUCAUAAACUUUAUUUUUUUUGACAGUAAAAUCCUAAUUGACGAUUUGACAAGAAAGUCCUAAACAUUAUUUUUUUUGACAAAAAAGUCAUAAUUACCGGUUAACCAGAAAAAAAUGGUAAAAAUGUCAAAAACUGUUGGUAAUUUGGACUUUACUGUCAAAAAAAUAAAAUUUAAAACUUUUUAUCAAAUCGAUGAAAAUAUUAGGACUUUAUGGUAUAUAUCCCUUAUAACUAAAUAGCAACUAUAAUGUGUGGAGUUUGGUAAAUUCCGCUUGGGUUUGGUCUCUACAACCCAUUCAACCCCAAGGCUAUUCUAGUAAUUUCCCCACUAGAAGGAGCUAGGUUCCGCUGCCUUUUAAGUCUAGGUUUUCACUAUCAUCACUCUCACUCAUCGUUUUGUGGUUUCCUGUGGAGAAGAGCAGCAGAUACUCAACAACUUGCAGGCUCUAUUUUCUCAUCGCCAUCAGGUAUCUGUAGGUGUCCUAAAAUCUACGGUUAGGGUUUUGUUAGCACAGUAAUUCAUGGAAAAUGUUGAAAUCUCACUUGUUACCGUCGAUUCAAUCUUUAUUUUUUAGGAAAAAACAUCGGUUCACCAUAUCGUUAUAAUUGUUAUGAUGAUUUUGGUAUCAUCGAUGAAGUUUUAUGUGUUAUGUUUUCGUUGUAAGCUGGAUGUUUCAGGAUGUUUGAUGAUGUGUGCGAGAAUUUCAUUUUAGGGUUUAUGGUGUAUGUUUGCUUUCUUAAAUAGCGUCUACAUGUUAGCUAAUAUAAAUAGUUACCUUGAUGUUUAUAUAUUGGUUGCCACUCGGCUUCUUCAUCUUUGAAAACAAUGCGAUUAGACCCCCCUUAGGUUUGGAUCUAUGCUUAGAUGUGGAUUGUGUAAUUUUUCUCGUGAAAACUAUUGGAUAAACUUGCUUCGUUUUUUGCACCAUGGAAAGCUUAUUUAUGAUUUAAGCCUGGUUCCAACUUUGUUUGUGGGGUUAAUUUGCUACUUUUAAUGUCUAUAUGUAAAGUAUCAGUUGCUCUCUUUUAGGGUUUAUGUUUAGGUGUCUUAUUACCUCGACAACAAGCAAUGGUGAUGGGAUUAGAUCAUAUGUGAAGUUCUUUUGGGGUGCAUGGAUUAUUGCAUGUGAUGCCCUAUAAUAGUUUUAAUAUAUCAAUGGCUGUAAAUUAUCUGUCCAUAUUAUGCUAUGGUUAUCUGUCUAUUAAACUGUUUUCUUUUUGAACAUGUAAUGUGCAGAAAGAGUGCUUUGAGGAAUGCUGGAUUGAUUGGUCCCAAAUACAAAGAAGAUGAGCAAGAAGAACCCAUUUGUAUACUUGGAUGUGUCUAUAGAUGGAGAUCCUGUUGAAAGGAUGGUUUUUGAGGUCUUUAUUAUAGCUUUAACCUUCUAAGAUCUUUCUUUUAUUCUUUUUUCUGCCAGAUGGCAUUGCCACAUCACUUAUUAUCAAGCUGAAAAACUAAUUCCUUUUAUAUGGUGUUACAGCUAUUCUCAGACACUGUUCCCAAGACUGCUGAGAACUUCCGGGCACUUUGUACUGGUAAAAUGUUCAUCAUAAUUGGUAUUCUUUUUGUCAUAAGUUUAUAAAACUGGAUGCUUUUUUAAAUUUCAGGAGAAAAAGGGAAUAGUCAGAAAACCGGGAAACCCCUACACUACAAAGGAUCCUUCUUUCAUCGCAUAAUCAAAGGAUCCAUGGCUCAGGUAUGUUUUCUAUCAAUUACUUUCAUAAAUUAUAUUGUUUUUUUUUUUUUGUUUUGUUAUUUUAUUUUCCACUUAGUUUCUUCUAGUUCUGGAUGUCUUGGUGGUGGUCUGUCUUUUUAGUCGGCUAUCCUUGUUUAAUCUGUAGGAUACAGGGUUGAUGGUUCCAACUGCUUUUCUUGUGAUGUAGUUUUUAAGGUUGUAAUUAUUUGGUUGUAUUUGUAAUAUCAUCACAUUCAUUCUGAAACAUAUCAUACAAAAUUUACAAAUCCAUCUUUCUGCAAUGAUUUCUGAAUAUAAUUUCUAUAAGUGAAUUAAUUCUUUGUAUUUUUUUUUUGCAGGGUGGGGAUUUUUAUAAACGUGAUGGUAUGUACAUUUUGCCACCAAUUUUUUUUAAUUUUUGUAUACAAAAUCCAUAUCUCAUUGGUUUACUUUUGCAGGAAGUUAUGGAGAAAGCAUAUAUGGAGGGAAGUUUCCAGGUGAGAAAAGUCACUAUGUUCAUUACUUGUGUUUUCUGUUUGAAUGUUGAUGAUCAUAAAUACAUAAUAUGUCUUUAGGUAGUUGAGGAUUUCAUUUAAUUUGUUUAAAAAGUGUAUGCAAAAGAAAUUGAAAUAAACCUUUUAGCUUCUAUCUCCCCAAAAUUUCUAUAUAUGUUUAUAUUUUGAGAGAAUGGGUUUCCUUUUUGAAUUGCCUGUGAAGGUGGGGGCUGACAUUGGUCUUAUUCUCGGUGCAUGGGAGCUCAACCCACAAUGAAAUGGGCAAAUUGUAAUUGUCUUGAAAAAUGGUGGGUGUAUGAAUAUUUUGUGUGCCUUUCUUUCUAGGUUUGAAAUCUUUGGUAAAAUACAAAGUAUUUGGUUUGGAUGAUUUAUGCAGCUAGUUAAGUCUAAUGUAUAAUGUAUGCUUUAUAUUUAUGCCCAAUACAUUGUCAUGAGUUUUUUUAUCUGGCUUUUUUUCCAUGUUAAGUUCCUGGCUACCUUAUUAUUAUUAUUUUGAAUUGGUUAUAAUCAAAAUUUGUUACAUUUCAGAUGAAUCCUCCAAACUGAAACAUGAUGCUCCUGGCCUUCUAACAAUGGCAAUUGCUGAUCGUGAUUCACGUGGCUCUUUAUUUAAUGUGACAUUUGGCGCUAAUCGCCACCUGGAUAGGUUUGCUCAUCUUUGUUGUUACAAUUUUAUGUUGGACAAAUUGAUAGAAAUAGCUACAUACCUUACUUUUGUUAUGGUUACAUAUUGCUAUUAUUGAUAAAAAAAAAGUGUUAAGUAUGUUGCUAUUACGGGUAAAAAAAUAAAUACACUGCAUGUAUUGGUAUUUCCUACAUGUUAUCUUUUUAUAUUUAUCUGAAAAGUUAGAGUUUUAGCAACAUUAACUGUCUAACUUUUGAUGGAAAAGGAAAUUUAAGUGUUGGAAAUGGAAUUUCUUGAACAGGAAGUAUGUUAUUUUUGGAAAGCUUGUUCAAGGACUUGAUGUAUUGAAGAAGAUAGAAAAUGUGGGUGAUGAAGAUGGAAUGCCAACUGUGACAGUGAAGAUCAUUUAUUGUGGGGAAGUAAACGAGAGUGAGAAUCAAAGCUCUGGUAUGGUGGAUAAUUAUUGCAUUUUUAAUGACAUAAUUGUUUGUUUAUUUUUUUAAAAUAAAGUCUCUGUUUUUGAUGUUUUUAUAGAUAAGAAGGCAGCCAGCAAGUUGAAAAGUGGGAAAGAUGUUUCUUCAGAGGUUCACAGCCAUGAAGUGAAGCGGAAGGGAAAGCACAAGAAAUCUUCAAAAGAUAAAAGGAAGAAAAGAAAAAGAUAUUCUUCAUCUGAUUCAGACAGUUCAUCUGACAUGGAAUCUGACUCAUCUGAUUCGGAUAGUGAUUCCGACUCUGAUGAUUCAUCCUCGUCAUCAUCUGAUGUCAGCUCUUCAAGUGAUGACAGGCGUAAGAGAAAAAAGAGAUCCAGAAAGGAUCGACACAAACGUGGAAAAAGAAAGGACAAAAAACGCGAGAAGAAGCGUAGGAGACGCGAUAAGAAAUCCAAACGUAAAUCAAAGAGGUUGGUAUGGUAUUUUAAUUUUAGUUAAACCUUAAAUAAAGUAAUGUUUUAUUCUUUAUAAAAGUUAUUAUAUAUCAUUUUGUAGGGUGUCUGGUAGCGGAAGUGAGAGUUCAAGUGAAAGCGAACAUGCGUCUGAGGACAAUAAUGGUGAUGUCAAAAAGCGAAACCGGAAACAUAAUAAUAGUAAUAAUAAAUCUCCUACAGCUGAAUUUGAAGAUGGUAAAACAGGAGAUGCAUUUGCAUUUGAUGGACAUGUAAAGGAGGAAGAAGGUGAAUACCCGAAAGAAAAUGGUGGGGACCGCCCAAGCAAUGGUGUUGACCUGGCGAAGGCUGAUAUAGUCGAUGACCAUCUCGGAAACUCUAGGUUCAAUCAAAUUUAAUAAAACUUUAUUAUUAUUAUUAUUAUUAAAUUCUUUCUAAUCUUAUUUUUUUUUUACUAAACAGAAGUAGAAGCAAAAGUCCUCCUCGAAGGGAAUUGAGCAAGAGUAUGAGUAUUAGCCCAAGGAGGAGUCAAAGUGUUAGUGGGACCCCUCCUAGACGGGCCCCAUCACGUAGCCCGGUCAGAAGCGAAAGCAGCAGCAAGAGUCCGGUUAGAAGCAUAAGCAGAAGUCCAGUGAGGGGCAAAAACGUCAGAAGCAUAACUCCCUCACCAUCACCUCCACGAAGGAGUGUUUCUAGAAGCCCACUGCGAACAUCGUCUAGAAAAUCCUCACGAAAAUCAGUAAGCAGAAGUCCGGUUAGAUCUUCCAGAAGAAGCUACAGCAGAAGCCCAGUCAGAUCAUCUAAAAGAAGCUUGAGCAGAAGCUCUGGUAGACCGCCUUUAAGAAGAAGCCCUAGCAGGAGUCCGGUCAGACCGCCUAUGAGGGGUGGUCGCCGGAGCUAUUCCAGGAGUCCGGUAGGUGGGCGUAGGGCGGCUAGGUCACCGGAGAGAAGCUUGUCUAGAAGCGCUUCACCUGAUGGCUCUCCCAAACGUAUCAGAAGAGGACGCGGUUUCAGUAACCGAUUUUCUUACGCACGCCGAUACCAUUCUCCCGAUCGCUCCCCGGUCAGAUCUUAUCGCUAUAGAAGUGACCGCGACCGUGACCGUGACCGGUAACAAACUAACAGCUAGCAAUUUUAAAUUAAGUUUUUUAAUAUAUUUAAUAUAAAAACAAUUAAACCAAUAUUUUGGUUUGUAGUUAUUCAAGCUAUAGAAGGCGCAGCCCACUGAGAGACAGAAGUCCACCAAGGUAUUUUGGAGUAAUAAUGGAAUCUUUUUUUUUGGUGAGAAAGUGAUUAUUUGAUUGUUAAAUUCAAUUAUUUACACAGGUACAGAGGGAGAAGAAGCAGGACACGGAGUCCGAGUGUGUCCCGGAGUCCUGUCCCUGUGCGGUACCGCCGGCGCUACAGUCGGAGCCGGUCGCCGGUGGAGACAUCAAGGUACAGGCCAUCACCGCCAGUGGAGAGGAGGAGGGCGCCACGCAGCAGGACCCCGCAUUCUCAAAGUAGGAGCCCGUAUGAACGUAGGUCCUCUCCAUCACCAUCUCCGAGAAGGAGCGUGAAGUCAAAGUCAAAGUCAAAAUCGCCAUCGAGAUCAAGGUCAAUGUCGAGGUCAAGAUCUAGGUCGUCUUCUGGAAGCCCACCUGGGAAGAAAGGACUGGUGUCGUAUGGAGAUGGUUCUCCAGACAGUCAGAAGUGAGAAGAGAAGAGAAAGAUCUUACUUUUGAGGGUGAAAUGAUUUAUAGACUUGGUAAUUGGUACACUAUGUAGGGUGGGUGUGUUUUGAAUAAUUUGACUAUUUCUCUUGUAUUUCUUUCUUCUUCUGUGGAGUGACUGUUGAGGUGCUGCUAGACUAGUAACGAUGAUUGGAUAUGUGUUUGUUUUUAAGAGGUUGGUUAGACUGAGGGGAAUGGGACCGAGUAUCAAUUAUGUUAUGUUUUAAAAAGCCUCUUCUGUUUUUAUCUUUAUUGUUAUGGUUUGCUCUUUGAUCAGUGCGACUUGAAGGUAGUUUGUGCAUUUAUAUAUGUAUUAACAUAAUCUUGUGUGCUUGAAUUGAUACAUUAUAUUAUAAUCUUUUCAAAGAAUAAGCUAACAAGUUAAAAGGAGGGUCAUCAAGAUGUAUUGAAUUAUUAAGUAGAUUGAGAGAAGAUUAUUUACCAUCUCUUUAAGACCGGUAAUAAUUGCGACAUAUGUAUUGUAUUUAGUUAUUUAUUAUUUAUUAACCGAUAAAAUUGGAAUAAGUUACCUAAAAUUUAGGGGAAAAUAUGAUUAAUUACGUAAGUUCAGGGGGUAUUUUGGUUUACGGCAACAGCAGGCGACGUGUAGAAGAAGAAUCUCGGGAACCCUAGCAGAGGUUUGUUUCUCAAUCCUACGCCGCUACGACCAUUGCCGCUUUCUCCACUCCACGAUGAUAACAAAGAAACAUCCGUCGCCGUUUCUCAAUCCAACGGUAAUAUGAUUUACUUGUUCGUUAUUAUUUGAAUCUAUUAAACACAAGAUAUAAGCCGAAGCAUUUUGAUUGAAAUAAGACAGUAACCAAUAAAUACUAAAAGCCAAUCUCUUUUCUGUAGCUUGGUAACAUUUGUAUUACUAAUAAAUGAUGAAUGUAUUAUUGAUUGUACUUGGGUUUUUGAUUGACAGGGUAACAUUAAUGAUAUUGAUCGUAAUGUUCUAUGCAAUGUGUUACACAUCAAACAAUGCUCCAAAGCCUCCCAAUAUAUGGUGAAGUUUACAAAGCAAAGGCAUUGGAAUCAUCAAACAAGUAUGUCUCUACCUUUUAUAAGCUUCUUCAUUUUCAGUAACAUUAUAGGAAUUAGACACUCUUUCUUUGUCACCACUGCAUUUGUGAUGGCAUUGGCAGCUGGUAAGCUUUGGGACACCAUUUCUGAAUGCAUCUCCCAAAUUCAAUCUGAUUGUGAUGAUGAAGCUAAAGAGAGGGCACUUCAAACCCUAGUUUCCAUCACAAAAGCAAGCCCUCCACACAGAAAUUUAGUCAUGCAGAAUCAGGAAGCCAUCCCCGCUCUCCUCUCCCUGCUCAAAUCCUCCUCCCGUGCUCUUGAAAGACUCUCACUUUCCAUCCUCUUCAACCUCUCAUUAAACCCUAAUCUCAAAUCCACCCUUGCUGACAUGGCAACCAUUCAACACCUCAAUACUGUGAUCCUGUCUCGUGGGUCACUCGAGUCUAGCAAACUAGCAGCUUCUUUGAUAUGCAGCCUGGCAAUGCUAGACAAGAAUAAAGCAGUGUUUGGGGUAGCGAAUACUAUUCAAGCAUUGUUGAAGGGAGUUUCAAGGCCUAAUAGUCCUGUGACACAUCACCUUCUCAGCUCACUUGCUGAGUUGGUGCACUUCCAUGGGAAUUGCACAUUGGCUGUUAGAUCAGGUGCAGUUGGUGUUCUCCUGAGAAUAGUUGAGAACAAAGACAGUGAAGAUCUUUGUGGGACUGCUCUUAGUAUUCUUGGGCUUCUUGCUAAGUUUGAUGAAGGGCUAAAAGCUUUGACAAAUACACCUAGUAUUGUGAGUAGAAUGCUUGAUGUGUUGAAAGGUAGGUCCAUGUUGAAUAAUGAAGGUGCAGCCGAGGUACUUCUUCGUGUUUUUGAUGAGAGUGAAGAAUGCUUGAGAGAUGCUAUCGGAUUGCCUGAUUUCAUGUAUACAUUAGCUGAGCUCUCGGUGAGAGGAUCAACGAGAGCUCGGGAGAAAGCUUCUCUACUGUUGAGAAAACUUGAGGCUAAUGAAUCAUAUGUAGAUGAUGAUCUGGUGUUCUUGAAAUGGUAAGGUAGGAUGCGUGUCUUAAGAAAAGUAACAUAAUAAGAGCUUUUGUUUGUUUUGUAGCACAUGAGUGUGCACAUUAUUAGGUCCUCUUUGAAGGUUUAGGUAAUGAAUAGAUGGGUUUGGUGUUAAAAAAGGCAUGGAGUUUAUAGGAUUGAAGCCAUGACUCACAAAACUACGAACUACAUAAAAAAUGAAUUUGAGAGUUACAUAAAGCCAUAAAGUUAAAUUUAUAAAGAAAGCAUAACUAUCUUGCAUCCAAAUACAACAACAACAACAAAUAAACCCAAAUCCCAUAAAGUCUUGUGAGGUAAGUGGGAGGUUUGAUGUAGGUGGUCUUAGUGUCUUGCCUCCACCCGUGGGUAGAGAGGCUACCUCUAUAGGAGACUUUCGCCAUGAUCAAGGAUGCACCAUACAUGAGCAAAUAAAAGCAAUAUACAAUUAAAUAUACUAAUACUAGAAAUAGUACUAAUUGUAAAAAUGAAAUAACAUAAGACGAUAAAUACUUAAAUGCCUAAAUGAUAAUACAAGAAACAAAACUUAUGCUACUACACUAACCUAAUUCUCCGUCUCCACUCCUACCUAUGUGAGGUCUGUAGAAGGUGCCAACUCCUUCGUGUCUAACCUCACACUAUAGUUACGUUGCGUCCUCGGUCGACCUCUCCUCUUCGCCUUACCGUAGAUGUGACGCCUCGAUCCAUUGAGUACCGUCAUCUAUCCUUAGUACACUUUAUUUUAAAUACAACUAAGAUAAUACCUUAGAUUUCAUCUUCAUCAUGGUUUAACAAAAUUACAUAAGCAAAAGUGCAUAAAAGAAAAACUAUUUUAACCGUUUAUAAUUCAUCCAAAAUUUCUGUUAAAACACUAACUACUUGUGGUCCUUCUUCUUUCCUGAGAUACAUACAUGAAUACAUAAGCUUUAAGUUUAGUGAGUAUUUUGGUUUUAAUAUUUAGCAUAAACAUUUGAUGGAAAAAUAACAAUUAAAUGCUUGAAAACAUUAAUUUGAGAUCUUAUAGCUACAUGUAAGUAGGCCCAACUUCUGGGAGGUUUGCUAACCUUGGGAUUCAUAUAAGGCUGUCCCAUAAGGUCCGUUUUUAAGACGUCCCUUCAUCCCAUACCCAAUGCGUUGGGUUACUUGGGUAUUUAAAUGACCGUACUUAACAUGAAUAAAACUUUCAUGCUAACUUCAUAAUAUGUUGUUAAAUGUCUUUGAAAAAUCAUUUGAGCAAGUGAACAUGGCAAAUAAUUUAAAUGCAUUGAACAUAUACGUAGCAUGUAUGUAUCCCAUUAAAUCACAUAAAUAUACUCACCUUUCUUUGAGCUUUUAGGCUUCUUUUUAAUCUUUUAAGUCACCACCAAGCUUGAUAGUGUAUUCUAGGAUGAAAAAAAAUGCUUAACUUCACUUGCUAUGUCUAGUAAAAUUGUGUGCAUUGCUUGCUUGUUCUUUAGGCCUAAAACAUAGUACAUUGUUGAUGAGAUGAUUACACCUAGUGUACUUGUUGUACCUCAUCUCCUUAGAAGCUUACACCUCAAGCCUCUAGCUCUUCUAUGUCAUCUUCCAGCUUAGCUUAAUCUCCUUAGAAGCUUACACCUCAAGCCUCUAGCUCUUCCAUGCCAUCUUCUAGCUUAGCUUAAUCACUCAAAAUCUAGGCAACGCUUAUCUCUACUUGUAUAUGCUAGCUUGGUUACUACUUUUAGCCUUGAUUUGUCAUGCUAAGCUUUGGUUUACUUGUAGCUGGUGUUGUGGUACUUGUAAGCAUAUGGUAAGCUACUUGUGUGCUUGCUUAUUUUCAACUUUUCUUUUUACAUAAAAUUUGCAACAUUCUUCUAUAACAACUAUUCUUAAAGUGUCCCUUAUGUUCUUUUAUAUUACAAGGGUGUUAUGGUAGAUGAUUGCCUCCUCUUGACAUAUCUAAACCACUAAAAUCUUUCUUUCCUCGAAUUUUCGGUGGUUCACGCAACUCCUAACUUAUUUAUGAUUAUAGCAUUCAGUAUUUUCUCCAACAUUGUUGUAAAGCAUAAACACUGAAGGAUCCUCAUUUCAGAAAUUUCCAUCUUCCUCUCAUGCUCUUUUUUUUCCGGCUAACAUUUGAAGCAACUACCACCUUGUAUCUUGCAUCCAAAUGAUGCCAAUGGUUGUUUUAAAACAAUUUUGGCUAAGGGUGUAGACUAGACAAAGCAAAGUAGAAGGAGAAACGAGGUUUAUUGGGUAGGGUUUAACAUGGACUAGGCUUAUAUAGACCACACUUUUAUCAUGUUAGAUAGUAGAUAGUUUUUUAUAAUGAUUUCUUAUGCAUCUUUAGCGUGGUCGUACAAUUAUGAAUAUUUAUAAUAGUUGGAUAAAUUUAUAAAAUAUGAAAGUGUUGUGGCAAAAUCUAGAGAUUUGAAACAUGUGAACCUACAUGUUUUAGACAUGACACUUUAGUGUCUUGUUUAGGGACCUAUUCCGUGUAAAUGCAUGUAAUUAUCACAUGAAGCUUGCAAAUUGAACUUAUUUUACUAAAUAUUAGGUGUAGACUACCAGGAAAGAAAUUUAAAGCCCAAAUUUGCUUGCCUUUUCUUUCAUUUCCUUUAUCGUGAGUUCGUGACCUUUCCCCUUUAUUGUGCCCUCGACAAUCGACAUAGGACAUCGCCGAGUGGUGCGUUUGCUAUCGUAUCUUUCGAUUGCACCUCAACUACACCUAAAACAACAAGAAUUUGUUUAUCGCAUUGAUAUUAAGGUAUCUUUUUCGAAUACUUAACCUUUAGAUCUAGUUUGAUCCCAAAUCGAUUAUUCCAAAAUUUUACUUGUAAUGCUUUAGUUAGGUAAAUUAUUUUGCAACCGGAAAGAAUUGGCUAGGGUUGUUUGGAAUAAAUGUUUGUGUGCUUCCGAUUACGCUAUCAAUAUUUCUUUACAUUUUUGUUAAUAGGAUUAAUGUCAAUGAACUUAACUUGUAUAUGGAAUGUCAUAAUUAUGAUUUCCAUUCCAUGAUAAACAAUGUUAGGGCCUUAUUAAUGAGAUAAUUCUUUAAUUAAGGUAGUUAUUUAAUUACUUAGAAGCAGUGAUGAUAGUUUGUUAAGCUUUGGUGUCAUGGAUGGUGUCACUUAGAUCAUGAGAGAGAUAGAGAGAAGGGAAGGGGGGGGGGGGGAUCUUAUGGGCCAUCAUUUGUACCCAUCUAGUAGAAUGACGAGAGAGUCGAGUUCCAUAGGUCUUGGAUAUUUCUUCCAUUUCAUAGUGGAUGAUAGUGGGUAUCUUACUAUGAUUUCCUUCUUUGUAUCUCCAAAUUAGCAAAGGGUUUAAAGGCAUUUAGCUACAACUCAUUGCCUUAUUGUGGUUGUAAAUAAUAUGUCCAUCUUUUUGCACAUGUUAUGCUUUUUUCGUAAUCUAGUGGGAAAUUGUGUUAGAUCUUUUGAUAUCCUCGUUUAUAUAGAGGGACACGUUUGAGAACAUGAACCAUAAAUUUUGGAUAUAAUGAUAUUAACUAUGUUGAGACAUCUUUUUGGUUUUAAGAUGAAUUUUGGUUUUACUCCCACCAUUAUCCCAUUUUCUUUGGUUUUUCCUCUCAUUUUUGGACCAUUGACUCUAGUCGUAGUCAAAUCUCAUCUUUACCAUUUUAUAUGGACCUUGUUGCUCAAACCUCAUCUUUAAUAUCGCUAUGCGGCGGUGUUUGGGAUUGCUUUUCAAAACAACCUAUUGACUUAUUGGCUUUUUGAAAAGCCAAUAAGUCAAAAAUAAUGUUUGGCAAACUCAAAAGCAUUUUUCAAAAUAACUUUUCCAUUAGCUUCAAAAAGGAGAUUUCAAAAAGCAGGUAAAACUUGGCUUUUUGAAACUCCUUUUAGCUUUUUAAUCAUAAUAGCUUCAAAAAAGAGAUUUUAAGCCUAACAUUUUUUUUAAACUUAUUGCCUUAUUGGAUUUUGCCAUCUCAAAAGCUAAUCCAAACACUUUUUUAAGUCAAUAAGCACUUUUUCCCAACAACACUUUUGGAAUUCAAAAAGCAGUCCCAAACACCCCCUUGUUCCAACCAUGUGUUGUCAAUGCACCAAGAUCUUCAGUUUUGAUCUGAGCCUUGGCCUACAUUAGUGCUGGCUUUGACUAUUAAGUUCUACCUGAGUUGGGUGUCACUAGCAUUUUCUCAAGAGAUUACUUGAUCUUUCAUUAUUCUACCUUGGUGUCUUUUAGCAGAGCAUCAGAGUUUUCUCUAUUGAGUCAAGAAAUUCUAAACCUUUUAUAUUGCUGGUCGCCUAUAGAUGUUUUUUCCAAUCCAUGACUUGUAAACUACGGCGUUCUCUGUUCUUAUAGAUUUGGUCCUUGAAUUUUAUGCAAGAAAUAUUUUAUAAUGCUUAUUUAAAAAAGAAAAAACUAAUGUAAUGCAAUGUUUAGAAGAGGAAGAAUGAGCAUGGUGGGAGAUUGGAUUUGUGGGUCAUGCAAUCACUUAAACUUUUACUGGAGAGAAUCAUGCAGGAGAUGCAAAGAGCCACGAUCCCAAGACAUGAAUGCAGCUGUGAGUGCGGGCCCCAGGGUGUUUGCUUUUAGGCCCGGGGAUUGGUUCUGUGAUGUUGGGAUUUGUCAGGCUCACAACUUUGCAAGCCGAAGAUUCUGUUUCAAAUGUGGUGUAAUUAAAAGCAUACCAUCUUUUGGUCCUACUGUAGGACUAGGAUACUACCCUACCCUUCCCCUUCCCCCUCCCCCUCCUCCUUUCUUGAGUUUCAGUUUCAUGAAUCCCAGAAUCAGCCAACGAGGCUGGAAGCCUGGCGACUGGUUUUGUGGCAGGGGGUUUUUUUUUUAAUUUUUUUUUUUUUUUUUUUUUUUUUAUUUUAAAUAUUUUUUUUUUUUUUAAAUAUANUUUAUCUUUUUUCAUAUUUUUUUUUUUUUUUUUUUUUUUAAUUAAGGUCAUAAUCAUUAUUCAUUAAUACUAGUUGAUUCUCAUUCAUAUAAUCAUAUGAUAUGAUAUAGGCCUGGCUGUAAUGCACACAACUACGCUUCCCGAAUGAUAUGUUUCAAGUGCAAGUCUUCUAGGGAAUUGGUUACCAAUGUUUCUAAUUGAUUCCUUCCUUGCAUUCCGAAUUCUGGUAAAGAUUUUUGUUUUUUUUUUUCUUAUGAAUGUGUGUGUAAUUUAUGUCAUGUUUUUCAGGUCCUAUGGUUAUGCUAUCACCUCUGUUAGGAGAGAGGGAGAGUCAGAGUUGUUGUUUUUUCGUUCAGAUCUUGUUAUAUCUUAUGUGUUUCUUUUUAUUUCUGUUGGUUGCAUUGCAAUGGAGUUUGAAUCUGGUAUGAAGUUUACAUGAAUUAAUGAAGGAUGUAAUUAUAAGUGGUUUCUUCAGUUUGAAUGUGAUGAUUAUGGAUGGAUGGAUGGAGUUAUAAGAUUUUUGUGGCAAUUUGGUUGGAUCAUAUGUGUAGUUGUAAGAAAAGUUCAUUCAACUGGGUUGUUGAGUUUCAUACACAUUCAUUUGCAAAUGGUAAUUUGACAAGGAUUUUUUUUAAUAUAGCUGAUUUUGGAAAUUUUGGUCUUCAAAUGAUUUUUUUGUUUUUUGUUUUUGUUUGUUUGUUUGUUUUUUUUUUUUUUUUUUUUUUUUUUUUUUUUUUUUUUUUUUGUUUGUUUGUUUGUAAUGGUCUAUGUUCCAAAUAAAAUGACUUUUUUUUUUGUUUCCUAAGUUAUACCUGAUUUUUGCAGUUUUAUCACAAAAAUAGUCAUUUUCUUGGUACGAGGACCAAAAUCAUUAAAAAGAGGAUCAAAAUUGCAAAAAAAAAACUCACCUCAAAAUUGCAAAAGAAAACUCACAGACCAAAAUUACAAUUCAAAAUUACAAAAAGAGGACAUACUACCUAAUUCAUUGAUGAUUAAAGUGGGACAUUGUUUAGUCGUAUUCAAUAAUAUAUAGAAGUAGGAUCGGGUGAUGACUUGAAAAAUAGUGAGGAUUGCGAUGACAAAUCUUGGAUGUUUGUUGGUUUAAAUGGGUGGUUGAGAUAAAUCAAAAUUAAUAAAUAAACAAAAAAAAAAUCGUCCAAUGACAUUUUUGUAAAUAAAAUCAAGUUAGGAUCACUUUCCAAUUAAAGGGCAAUGUCUGGGGGUCAUAACUGUCAAAGGAAAUAAUAAAAUUUUGUUGCUGAAAUGAACUCCACGCACAAAAGGUGCGUCGCCAACUCUAUGGAUCUUACUCUUGAACACGUUUCGCCACCAGGUUUACUUGGGUUUAUUUAUUUAUUUUUAUUUUUCAUGGAUCUUACUCUCGUAUGAACUUGUAUAAGUAGUCCCCGGAAAUGUAUUGACCUGAACUUCAUGAAUAUGGCUUCGUAAUCUGGUUUGGAUGGGUUCUAACGGGAAAAAAACAGGUCUUGAACAAGCUGUUGUUUCGAGUUAAAAUCUGAAAAUUUAACCUAGUUGUUUAAUUAUAUGUUUAAGGUGAAUAUCCCUAUUUAAUCUUGAUUGUUAUUCUUAGGAGUUUUGAAAGGUGACCGGGUGCGAAUGGGUUCUGGUUUCAGUUGGAGGUUUACUCUACUACUUGAGGUGAGUUUCUCACUACACUGUGUAAUGUUGUGCAUUCUUUGCUUUAGCUCGUGUGUGUUAUAGUAUGUUUAUACGGGUAACACUAGAUUGGGUUAGUAUCUAGUGGGAGUAUGUUAUUUGUUCAUGUAUUGAAGAAUAUGUAUAGAAGGGAUCGACGUAUCCGAGCAGAGGAUCGGGCAUAGCCAGUGUGUCCCAAGGGGUCGACGAAUUGAGCAAGGGGGAUCGGGCAUGACCAAUGUGUCCCAAUGGGUUCGGGUGAUCGGGCUUAUCCAAUGUGCCCCAAUGGCUCGAUGUAUCGAGCAAAGGGGAUCAGACAUAACUAAUGUGUCCUAGUAGGUGUAUGUUGUUAUUGAUUCGCUCUUUGACAUGCAUACGUGUUUGUGUGGUUGAUAUUGUUGUUAUAUGUGUAUUAAGGGUAGAGCUUGUAUGAUAUAGACAUAUAGUAUUGUGUAUGUGUGAAAUCCCCUAAGCUUUGUGCUAUUCCCUUUUCCCUUAAAAAAAUACCAUUUCAGGAUUAACAUGUACUUAGGAUGGCAGGGUGUGAUAGUACACACCGGCUCAGUACGGAUUGAUGAAGUUUUCAUAUUACCUUGGAUUAUGUUUCUUUGAUUUUGGAAUUUAUAAUUAACAAAUGGUUUUUGAAAUUUAUUGAUCUUGGGAUUAUGGUUUUAAAACUUAUUUUGAAAAAAAGUCAUGGUUUUGAAUAUACUUAUAUUGUUUUUAGAAGUUCAAAUUUAUUGUAAAUUUUAGGAUGUUACACAAUUGUAUUGGAUUGAGUGCGAAAUUUGAAAAUCCAAUUGGAUUACUUGAAGGCAAUGUUACUUUGUUAGUCUUAUUUAGCAUAAUUGUGUGCGGUUUUAUUUUUAGUUAUCGUAGUUAUAUUUGGUUAUUCGAUAGAAAGAGAUUAGAAUUGGUUGGAUAAUGGAUAACUACUGAAUUAAACCAAUAAAAAAAUAUCCAAUAGAUAGAAUCGAUCUAAUCCAACAUCCAAUUGGAUCGAUUUGGUUUGAUUUUUUUAUGAUGAAUUGGAUUGGACCGGUUGACAAAUCCAACAUCUAAUGGAUGAUUAGAUUGGAUUGGUUCCAUCGAAAUCCAUUGGAUUUGAACCGCUGAUCACCCAUAAUUUGGUUAUUAUGUUUUUUUCAAUCAGCUGCUGGAACAUGAUGGUUCUAAAAACAUUUUGCAAAAAGGUAAGAAUCAGCCAUAAAGUCACAUUACCUUUCAUUGUUGAUGGUUGUGGAAUGUGAACUACUUUUUAUUAAAUUAUAAAUUAUCUAAGGAUGAAACUGCAUUUCCUUUCUUCAUAUCACUAUAACACAUUACAUUAUUUUUGUAUGUUUUUAUAACAUCAAAUCUUUGUUGUGAAACAAGGUUUAUUAUUAACAUGAGUUGGUUUGAGCUUUAACAAAAUUUUAAGAUAAUUAACUAUUUCAUACAAAUGAUUGUUCCAUGGAUUAUAUCAUUAUUAUUAUUAUUAUUAUUAUUAUUAUUAUCAUUAUAAAUCUUAUAAUAGAAGUCACUUGUGACAUAUAUCCUUAUUAUUAUCAUUAUCAUCAUUAUAAAUCUUAUAAUAGAAGUCACUUAUGACGCGGUUCAAGAUAACUCCCUAUAUUGAAGUGCAAAUAAUAAAGAUACGAAUGAUGGAUGUUACGUAAUAAGAUUAUAAUUUGAAAUAGUAUGCUAGAAAGUAACAUGACAAACAAAUCCUGAAACCGUAAACAACAAACAUACAAAAGCCAGUUUGGUAUCAAGAACAAGGUUGGACCGAAACCGUAAACAACAAACAUACAAAAGCCAGUUUGGUCCAAAACCCGAAACCCGAUUUAGUACCCGGAACUGGACCGGACCGAACCCCGACCCGCUACACCUAAAAACGGUCCAGUUCUCGGGUAAGGUAAUUCAUGGUUUUCGGUCUUCAGGCUGGUCCGGUUCGGGUUCUGCUCGUUGCUCUAUAUUGAACCAUAUUAAUUUGAAACUACGAAAACUCUUCGGCUUAUAUUUUAAGUUUCUAUUUGGUGUGUUAGCUGAAAAAACUAGUUUUUAACUUAUAAGCUAGUUUAUCCAUAAACUAUCUCGGAUAACUUAGACAAAACUGCAAAAUUGGUCCUUGUGGUAUGCAUUUUUUCUGAGGUUUAAUCCAAACCUCGAUUUUUUUGGAUUGGUGGUCCUUUUUGGUCCCUUGAAAAAUUGAAAAGACUAAAAUGCCCUUCUGAACAGUUUAUAUGUUAUUUUCUAUUUAAUUUAAAAUUAUAUUAAUUAAAAAUAUAGGGCCCACCUCUUUCUUUCUUUCUUUCUUUCUCUCUCUCUCUCUCUCUCUCUCUAUAUAUAUAUAUAGCCAUUUGGGUUUGUCUUUGACAAACAUCUAAUAACAUCUUCAUAAAUUCAAGAACACUCAAGAACAUCUUAUGCCAUCACCACCAUUCGACCACCGUCCUCCACCACCACUGUCUGCCACCUCCAUCUCCACCUGAACUUUUUAUACCACUUUAUAUCCGCCUAAAAUCAUCCCAAAAACAAAAAUCAUACACAAAAUAUGGGUUUGUUCUUGAGUUUCCCCUUAAAAAUAAUCACUAGAUCUGAUGCCUCAUCAAGAGCUCAUGAACACACACACCCACCCACAUUCAAGAACACAUUCAUGAACCCCAUAUCUGAUGAGCACACAAACACAAACACACAUUAUAUCAGAUCUGAUGAAGGGUUUUUGGAUGAACACAUUCAAGAACAAAUUUUUGAACCCUAGAUAUAAGGAACACACGAACAAAAUCAGAUCGAGUUCAUGGGUUCUCGGGUUCUUCAUCCAAAAAACAAAGAUCUAAAACCAAAACGAACAUUUGACCCCUCAGUGGCAGAUUUCUUCGUCCCCAUCUUCCAAAAACCCAUAUUGUAUGUGUGUAUUUUGUGACAUCCCCGAUUUCACGGCCACAAAAGACCGAUUUGAUUAUGAUUAUUUAAAUCAGAAUAUUCUUUUCAAAAGAGUAAUAAUGUGGAAUUUGUUCCAAAAAAUAUGACAAUAUCAUUAUUAAAGCAUUUCCGAGGAAAUGUAUUUCAUUUAUAUUUAAAAACCUUGGGAUGUCAUGGUCAAUACAACAACAUAAGCAUAAAACGUAAUAUUACAGGCCUUACAAUAGUUUAUUAUUCUAUUGGCCUAUUCUCCUUUAAAUCUCACUCCAAAUUUAAACUCAUCACACCUAUGCUCUUACGCUGCUACCUGUGAAACAAAGAAACUGAGUGGGUUAGGCUUCGGAAAGCCUGAUGAGCACAUAGGGUUUUCAACCCACAAUAAUUAAAUUUAUUAAUUUCAUCAAUCAAUCAACUCGGUUAUCCGUUCCCGUUAUCCUCACUUUUUGUCCCUAAAACAUCUAAAUUAAGGGACUUAGCCUAAGGAUUUUUCAUCGGGGUGACAGCACUGCAUAGGGGAUUCCUCAACAAUAUAUGUUAAAAGGCAACCAUAGGGGAAUGGAGUACAUCUGGUGAACAUUUAGUUCAAAAACACCUACAUGUUUCGAGCCUACCACCGUUCCACUAGACUGUCUAGAAUAGUUUGUGGUCGUCAUCUAUACUCCGCUAGAUGACUGGAUCAUCUUAAACACUCUAGGCCUAUCAUUAUUUAUUUUAUCAUCUAUAUCAUCUACCCAUCUUUACCCUUUAUAUUUAUAGGUACAAAAUACAUACAUAGUUUAAAUCGAAUAAAACAUGUAUAUUUUGUUCAUCCAACAUACAUAUCAAGAACACAGAUAAUAUACACACAUAACACGUAAUUUUUAUUAAAUACUUCAUAUUUAUGUAUAAGAUGAAAAUAACUAUGCACUCACUUGACUAGUUAGUGGUUACUAACUAUGUUCUUAAUCGUCGUUAUAUCACACUUUCUUUAUUUAUGACUCCUUGCUCGAAAAUUCUGAACUCUAAUUUCAAAAUUUCUGGCCCUUCUUUAUAUCGAGUAUAUCUUUGGCUAUUAUUGUUUUCUAUCAUAAGAAUUGCUCAAAGGAUACCUCUAUUUAUAUAAAGGAUUUUUGAAUCGCCCGUACAAUAUCAAAAGAUUAGUCACCCAAAAAAAUUACACGUAUAACUUCAAUAAAUUAGAUGUGUACGAACAUACUUGAAAGGUUAACACAUAUUCUUCUGAUAUUGACUCUAAAUUAGAAGGUGUAUUAUUACUUCUCUUUUGUCAACACAUAUCAUUUUAAUUAAUAAAAUAUGUACGACAUGUAUUAUAUUUCUUACAGGUAUGUUGGUUUGCAAUUUACAAAUCAAUUAUAGUUACAUUUAUGGUCCAUAAGUUAUUAUUGUAUUAACACAAUAUAUCAUUCAAGUUACACUGUAGUCCCUCAGCUGCAUGGAGCCCCUAAUAAGAAUAAAGAACAAGUAAGAGACGAUCACCCACUUAUUUGUUUGGAUCGGUCCGAUCCAAUCAAAUUAAGUAAAUUCAACUUAAUUCCGGUUUACAAAACAUUGAUUCAAAUAGUUCAAACUAAAUUCAAAUUCGGUAUGAAUUAAUCAAAUUACAAUUCGAUUUUCAAGAGUCGGAAUGUUUUAAAAUAGUUAUAAUUUGAAUAUUAGCUGACUUUAUAAAAGAAAUAUAAUCAAAUGGUUAGUUGUAAAUUAAAAUUUAUAAACUGUUAAGGAAAAUAUAUUUUGAUUCAUUAGAUAAAAAAAUCUUGAAAAAAAAAUACAUAUUAAGGUUUUUAUUAGGAGAGUGUUUCUAACCUAUUUAAAAAACAAUUCAGUAAAUUAAUAAAUAAUUAAAAGUAUAUAUUAAAAAUUAAAAUAUAUAUAUCUAUUCUAAUAAAUGAAAGUGUUUUUUGUCACAUGUUACACUCUCACUCAAUUUAUCAAAUGUCAUUUUGUGGUUAUUUUGAAUUAAUUUAUUUUUCCAAAUGUCAUGUUAUGUUUUUUUUUUUAUUUUAAUAAAGUUCACAUAAUAUUUAAAUGUAAUAAUUACAAUAAAUUUAGUAAUAAAUAAAUAUAAAUUUCAUUAAUGGAUAAAAAAAUCAAUUUUAAAAGAUAAAAAAAAUCAAUUUUUAUAAUUCAUUAUUUUUUUUUUAUAAAUUCAAAGUUCUUAAAUAUUUAGACAUUUAUAAUUAAUUUUUUUGAUUAACUCAUAUAAUCCAUGAGUCUUAUAGUUUACAAAAUAUUUAUCAAAUAAAGAUAUACUUGCAUGCUGUAAGAUAAUUUUUUUUACUAAUUUACCACCCCGGCCUUUCUAACAAUAAUUUGUAUUAUAUAAAAGACAAUGUUUUCUAAAUAAAUAAAAGAUAUUAGUUUAUUUUAUAUAUAGACAACCACAUAUCAUUUCCAUAUAUAACAUGAUGGUUGUUCAGAUCCGUGAUUAUUUAAUUUAAACUAUUAAAUAUGUAUUUUAUGAGUCGGUGAUUUCUAACACUAUUAAAAAAAGGGACAUUGUAACGAAACUAAAAGGCCGAGUUUCCUGUAAGCAGCUGACUGAAGCCAGACAGUCAAGCCAAGCUGAUUCUCCCCGCUCUCGACCAAAAUCUAUUACUAUUUUCAUCAUCACCGACACCCUCCCCCUCUCUUUUCUUAACAAAUCAAUACAAAUGAUUAAUAUGCAGUAAUCAUCGAAAGUGAGAUCAAGAAUGGGCCCUUUUCUUCUCACGCCAAUGCCCAUCAAACUUCAUUGAUUAUCAAGUUCCUUCAAAUUCAAAUCAAGAACGAAAAAAUCAAUUUCUAUCAUCUGGGGCUCUUCUUUAGUCCCCUGUUUCUACUUUAAUUGGAAUACAUGGAGGCAAAUGCAGGAUUAGUUGCCGGAUCUCAUAAGAGGAACGAGUUGGUGAGAAUAAGACAUGAUUCCGAUGGAGGGGUAUGUGUUCUUUCGAUUUUUCUUGAAUACCCUUUUGGAUUUUGAGUGUUCAGAAAUCAAUUUUAUCGACUCUUGUAUAGAUCUAAGUGAUUUAACAGUAGGCUAUUUUGUUUAACCCAAGUUUGUUUAUUUUGUUUGGAUCUGAGUGAUCAGUGUGACCAGUGAGCUCAGUAAUGAGUGAUGAUACGACUUUUGACUUAUUAAUCCUACCUUUUUGUUAAAUCUUCAAAGAGGGUUUUUUGUUAAAUUUGUGGAUUUAGAUCUGAAUCAUCGAGAUGAAAGUUUCUGUUUUCAGCGCCCAUCUUGAUUAAUUUGACAAAAUUUUCAGCUUUAGCACAUGAUGAUUUCUUAAAUUAUUUAAUUUUGAUUGUGACGUUGAGUGUUGAUGAUGCAGCCGAAGCCUUUAAAGAAUAUGAAUGGACAGAUAUGUCAAAUCUGUGGCGACACCGUCGGCCUGACUGAAAACGGCGACGUUUUUGUUGCUUGCAACGAGUGCGCAUUCCCGGUUUGUAGACCCUGCUACGAGUACGAAAGAAGAGACGGAAAUCAAGCAUGCCCUCAAUGCAAAACUCGAUACAAAAGACACAAAGGUUAGUUUUUGAGUUUUUGUUCGUAUCAAGAACACAUCAAACAUAUGAUUUUUGUAAGAAUUAAAGAGAGAUACAAAUGUUUUUAGGGAGUCCCCGAGUUGACGGUGAUGAUGACGAGGACGAUGUUGAUGACCUGGAAAACGAGUUUGAUUAUGCACAAGGGAGACGACAAUGGCAAGGAGAAGAUCCGGAUCUUUCUUCAUCUUCUAGAAGACAUGAAUCACAGCAACCAGUUCCCCUUCUCACUAAUGGCCAACAAGUAAGAAAAUUACUUAUAUACCCUUUUGUUCUAAGCAUUACCUUUUUAACUAAAUUCAGAGUGUUAUUUUCAGGUAUCUGGUGAAAUCCCAAUUGCCACACCGGACAAUCUAUCUGUAAGAAGUACAUCGGGUCCAUUAGGCCCUGGUGACAAGCCUGUCCGCUAUAUGGAUCCAAGACAACCAGGUUACUUUCUUUUUUUUUUUUUUUUUUUUUAAAAAAAAAGUAUUAUUAUUAAUCAGAUAAUGUUGUAGUAAUUAUGCUAAUGAUGCCCUUUUAAUAAAUAGUUCCUGUAAGAAUUGUGGACCCAUCAAAGGAUUUAAAUUCAUAUGGGCUUGGGAAUGUGGACUGGAAGGAAAGGGUAGAAGGCUGGAAACUAAAACAAGACAAAAACAUAAUGCAAAUGGCAAACAGAUACAAUGGCGGUGAAGGGAGAGGAGGUGAGAUUGAAGGCACGGGAUCAAAUGGAGAAGAAUUGCAACUGUAAGUAGUAAACUAAAGGGUACUUUAGGAAUAUCAUAUUUGUCGACUUAUGAUUUGACUUUUUUUUUUUUUUUUUUUUUUUUUUUUUUUUANUUUGUUUUGUUUUUUUUUUUUUUUUUUUUUUUUUUUUUUUUUUUUUUUUUAAAUAUAUAUAGGGUUGAUGAUCCAAGACAAUUAAUGAGCCGUGUGGUGCCUAUUUCAUCUUCUCAUUUGACUCCAUAUCGAGUUGUGAUUAUAUUGCGAUUGAUUAUUUUGGGAUUUUUCUUGCAAUAUCGGUUGACUCAUCCUGUUAAUGAUGCGUAUCCUUUGUGGCUUGUAUCUGUUAUUUGUGAGGUGUGGUUUGCUUUUUCUUGGCUUCUUGAUCAAUUUCCAAAAUGGUCCCCCGUUGAACGUGAGACCUUCCUUGAUCGCCUUGCAUUGAGGUAAGUAAGUAAUGGGAUUUAGAUUUUGGGCUAAUUGCAAGAAAUAGCAAUGUACUUUCAUUUGUAGUCAUCAUCAUGGGCAAUUAGGUAAUUUUAGCUUAAACAAUGAAAAUUUGUUGUUUUGUAGGUUUGAUAGGGAAGGAGAGCCUUCACAAUUGGCACCUAUAGAUGUCUUUGUGAGUACAGUGGAUCCAUUAAAAGAGCCUCCUCUCAUCACUGCAAACACAGUGUUGUCUAUUCUUGCUGUGGAGUAUCCUGUUGACAAAGUCUCCUGCUAUGUAUCUGAUGAUGGAUCUGCUAUGCUUACAUUUGAGUCUCUUUCUGAGACAGCAGAGUUUGCAAAAAAGUGGGUCCCAUUCUGCAAGAAGCAUAGCAUCGAGCCCAGAGCCCCUGAGUUUUAUUUUGCUCAAAAGAUAGAUUACUUGAAGGACAAGAUCCAGCCUUCUUUCGUCAAAGAACGUAGAGCAAUGAAGGUGAGUUUUACCACUUUUAUGUUUUAUGUUUUAUGAUUUCUUCCAGUGUUUUACCAAAUACCUAAAACACCCUUUUAUGGCAGAGAGAAUACGAAGAAUUCAAAGUUCGGGUCAAUGCACUUGUAGCAAAAGCACAAAAGAUGCCGGAAGAAGGCUGGUCUAUGCAGGAUGGAACUCCUUGGCCUGGAAACAACCCCCGUGAUCAUCCUGGAAUGAUUCAGGUAUUUGAAUGAUUGUUUGGUUGCUGAAAAUUUGUAUAUCAACAGUUGAUUGUUGACUUCUCUUGUUUAUGAUGAUUGGAAUUGGAUAGGUGUUCUUGGGGCACAGUGGAGGUUGCGAUACAGAUGGAAAUGAGCUACCUCGUCUUGUUUACGUGUCCCGUGAAAAACGUCCUGGGUUUCAACAUCACAAGAAAGCCGGUGCCAUGAAUGCUUUGGUAUGGAUCUCUUAAAAAAACAUGGAAAUUUUUUGUGUUUAUUGGUUGUUUAUGGAUGCGAUGCAAUUUGGUGUUACAGAUUAGGGUUUCGGCGGUUUUGACGAAUGGCGCGUACCUUUUGAACGUCGAUUGUGAUCACUACUUCAACAACAGCAAAGCUCUAAAAGAAGCCAUGUGUUUCAUGAUGGAUCCUGCCUAUGGAAAGAAGACAUGCUAUGUUCAAUUCCCACAGAGAUUCGACGGGAUUGAUUUACACGAUCGAUAUGCUAAUCGCAAUAUCGUCUUCUUCGAUGUGCUUUUCUGAACUUUACAGAGUCAAACUUAAAAAAAAAAAUUCAAAUUCAAAUUCCGAUCUUGUUGGGAUUUCAAAAAUCAAAAAUUGACAUUUCUAUAUAUAUAUAUUUUGUACAGAUUAACUUGAAAGGGCUGGAUGGGAUUCAGGGGCCGGUUUACGUGGGAACUGGUUGCUGUUUCAAUCGACGAGCUCUGUAUGGAUACGACCCUGUUUUAACAGAGGCUGAUUUAGAACCAAAUAUCAUUGUGAAAAGCUGUUGUGGUUCACGAAAGAAGUCGAGAAACGUUAACAAGAAGUACGUGGAUAAAAAAGCAGUGAUGAAAAGAACGGAAUCCAACACUCCAAUUUUAAACAUGGAUGAUAUCGAUGAGGGUGUUGAAGGUUUGAUUUUGAGUCUUUCACUUUAGUUUGUGGGUCCAGUGAAUCAUUAAUGUUGACUAAAUUCUUUUGUUUUUGAAAGGGUAUGAUGAAGAUAGAUCGUUACUAAUAUCGCAAAAGAGCUUAGAGAAGCGAUUUGGUCAAUCUCCUGUAUUUGUUGCUGCAACUUUCAUGGAGAUGGGAGGAAUUCCCCCCACUACCAAUCCAGCUACCCUUUUGAAGGAAGCAAUACAUGUUAUUAGCUGUGGUUAUGAGGAUAAAACCGAGUGGGGUAAAGAGGUAAUUUUACCCUUCUAGCUUCCGAUUCUUGUUAUACAUGGUCAUCGGAAAAACAAUAAUCUUCAUGUUAUUUUGUUUUGUGUACAAAUGCAAGCAGAUUGGAUGGAUUUAUGGGUCUGUGACAGAAGAUAUUUUAACUGGAUUCAAGAUGCACACAAGAGGAUGGAUCUCAAUAUAUUGCAUGCCACAACGUCCGGCUUUCAAGGGUUCUGCUCCGAUCAAUCUUUCCGAUCGUCUGAACCAGGUCCUCCGGUGGGCUUUAGGUUCAAUCGAGAUUUUACUCAGUAGACAUUGCCCCAUCUGGUAUGGGUAUAAUGGUAAAUUAAAACUCCUGGAGAGGCUCGCAUACAUAAACACCAUCGUCUAUCCCCUCACCUCCAUCCCUCUUCUAGCCUACUGUGUACUUCCGGCCGUCUGCCUUCUCACCGGAAAAUUCAUCAUCCCCGAGGUACGUUAAUCAUGCUUUAUGAGUUGUACGAUAUGCAUGAAUGUUUGUACAUGUUGAAAAUUGGGGGUUUUGCAACAGAUAAGCAACUAUGCUAGUAUGUGGUUUAUUCUUCUCUUUAUCUCCAUCGCUGCAACCGGAAUCUUGGAGCUCCGGUGGAGUGGCGUGAGUAUUGAAGACUGGUGGAGAAACGAACAGUUUUGGGUGAUAGGAGGCACGUCCGCUCAUCUAUUCGCCGUCUUCCAAGGUCUUCUCAAAGUUCUCGCCGGAAUCGACACCAAUUUCACCGUCACAUCCAAGGCAAACGACGAAGACGGUGAUUUUGCAGAACUCUAUAUAUUCAAAUGGACGGCGCUCCUCAUCCCACCCACCAGUGUUCUGAUCGUAAACCUAAUCGGCAUAGUUUCCGGCGUUUCAUCUGCAAUCAACAGCGGUUACCAGUCGUGGGGCCCACUUUUUGGGAAACUGUUUUUUGCAAUCUGGGUUAUCGUCCAUUUAUACCCGUUUCUCAAAGGUCUGUUGGGUCGGCAAAAUCGAACCCCCACCAUUGUUAUCGUGUGGUCGAUUCUGCUUGCUUCGAUUUUCUCCCUUUUGUGGGUUCGUAUCGACCCCUUUACCACAGACGAUACUCUUGAUGCAGUUAAAGGACAAUGCGGGAUCGAUUGUUAGGUAUAUAUAUAUAAAGUUUCUGAUUUGCAAAUUUGUGUAAGCCGUGAUGUGAUGCGAUGUGAUGUGUACGAAUGAUAUAAUUAUUUGAUUUAUUGUUGUUAUCCCACGAAUUCAAUGAAAAAUUUAAGUAUAACCUUAUCUUAAUAUGUCGGUUCAUUACAUUCAAUUAAGUUGAGUUGUAUGCAAAUUUCUUGUUAUUAUACAGUAUAUUACAAAAUUCAAACACUAUCUUCUUCAUAUUUAAUUUCAUGAAUUUAGUCUUCAACAAGUACAUAUAUAUAAAACAAAACAUGAAAUUCCAUACACACCAAGGUUCAUGUCAGAUCCUGAAACAAAAGAUUAAAGAAAAUAAAGUUAGAUGGUUGUAAAUUGUAACCUAAUGAAAUAUAAGAAAAGUUGGGGUUUUACUUACUCAAUAUAUUCAACGUUGAUUUUCUCCCUUUGAGACUUGGAAAUGGCAGAAAAAGCAUCAUUUGACAAAACAAUAGUCGAAGGACACGGCCUUUUGGAACAAAAAUCUACCACCUUAACAUCAAUGGUACCAUCUCUACAUGGUUUAUUAUUUCCACUCAAACACUUGAGUCUGUAUCGCCUACCACAUGCUGCACCGUUAUCCCAUAGUCCUUCGCUCACUGACACAAAUAAGUUCCCCAAUGGGAAUUGAUCUGCUCGGUUGCCAUUGCACCUUGUGGCUACAUUAAAAAUACAUAUAAAAAAAAAUACUUCAAUUUAACUAUUAUUUAUUUAUUUAUUUACAAUGUCAAAAACAUAAUAAUUAGAAUCAUAUUUAAACUUACGUGUAUAAGGAGGCUCAUAGGAUGAGGCAGUGCCAAUUUCACUCAAACCACACUUGAUGUUAUUGAAGAUUAACAAUAAAAAUAAAUUCACAAUCACUCCAAUUCCCAUCGCUACAAAUUCCCUUUUCUUUUUUCUCUCUCUCUGUCAAAUACUAUGGUAGUAAGAUGCACCCCCUUGGAUUAUAUAUAGAUAUCGUAUGGAUUUAUUUAAAAGAUAUAGGUAUAGUUUGAGAUAUAUUGUCACGUGUUUUUUAAUAGAAAUGUGCUUAGCAUGUAUAUAGAAUGAAUGAAAAGUUGGUGAUCAAAUUGGAUAAACUAUAGAUGUUUAAUGUGAUAUAUAUCUACCUUUGCGCAUGAAAAAUGGAUUUAAUAGGUUUUGGUCAAUUGUGAUAUAAAGUUCUUGAUGCCUACCACUAAUUAGUUUAAGGAAAGAUGGUUUCUAACGUAAACAUAAAACAACUUUUCUAUCGUCUCUUUUAAACAGAAAAAAUAGUCAAUUUUGACAAUGGCACAAAAAGGCAAUGGAAAAGCAUAUGUAAGGAUUAUUAGAUAAAACGAUAGUGUUUUAAUGGAGAAAAAUUAUAUUUUCGGUGAAUUUUUUUUAGUUGAUAAACCCAUUGUUGGUGUCGAAUCUAUGAAAUUAUUUUGGCUUAUACGUCGGCUGACCGAUAUGAUUACCAAAGAAAGGUGCAUCCAGUACAAUCACCACUAACUAAAACCAAUGGCUCUAAACUGUUCGCAAUUUUUUAAGGAAGGGAAAUUCAUAUUUGAAUUCGUCACUACAAAGUGUUACAUGAUUCGUUAUUAAUAAAUAUUUUAUAUUACCUUUUAUCAUAUAAAUAAACAAUCCAAAUUUUAUUUUUAGAUGCAUAUUUCACAAAGCUUUUGUGUUUUUUUCGGUUCAAGUUUGUGUUAAAGUAAUUCAAUAUAGAUGGAGAAUGUCGUUCAAUAAAAGUAGUUUGUGUUAAAGUAAUUCUAUACAGAUGGAAAAUGAUGUUCAAUAAAAGUUUAGAAUAUCAGAUAAUCAAAAUUAGUUUGUCGAUAAGAUUUAUUAUUUUAAAAGAUGGGAUAUAUAUACUAAACUCUCAAUAUUUUUAACGAUUCAACAAAAAAGUCUUAAAUUUUAUUUUUUUAGAGUAAAAUCCUAACUAGCGGCAGUUUUUGACAUGUUUACCAUUUUUUGCCAGUUAGCCAGUAAUUAUGGUUUUACUAUAAAAAAAUAAAAUUUAUGACUUUCUUUUUCAAAUCGUGAAUUAAGACAUUACUGUAAAAAAAAAUUAAAGUUUAGGACUUUCUUAUCAAAUCGUUAAAAAUAUAGGGACUUUAGUGUAUAUAUCCAUUUUUUUGUUAGAAAUUUAAUGUCAUUAUAAUCUUUAAGUAUAAGAGUUAUUGAAAUCUGACCAAUAUGCUCUGGUCAACUAGAUUCUAUUAAAAUCAUUAACGUUUGAUUCUUGUUAAAUAGUUUUUUUUUAAUCUCAACAAAUCGACAUUGAAAAAAAUAAAGAUAAUCAAGAAAGAAAGAACCACGAUUGUGUUGAAUUUUUGCAUAAUGAUAAUCAAGAAAGAAAGAACCAGUAUCGUGUUGAGUUUUUUGCAAUCCUAAAAAUGGAGAAUUAAGAAACCGGAAAAGAAGAAAUUGUCCUUCUUACACAUUCUCCACAUUCACACAUUUUUUACCGGACAUGUGUUGUUUGUGUUUGUUGAAUUUGUUCCUCUUUUCAGUUCAAGAUUUGACGGCGAACCAAGAAAAAAGUUUUACAAGUCUUCUUACCCUCUAUCGUUCUCUCUUUUGCAUCAGUUUCCCAGAUUGUGAUCGUAGCAAAGUAAGAUGAUGAUGGUAAGAAAAAACAAUGGUGUUGCAAUAAAAAUCACAAUUAAAAGUUCUUGGGAUAGGAAUUAGGUCUCAUGAGACUGAUAAAAUUAUUUGUUUCUAGGGAAACCAAACCUAUACACUAAAGUCUCAAUAUUUUUAACGAUUUAACAAAAAAGUCAUAAACUUUAUUUUUUUGACAGUAAAACCCUAAUUACCGGCUAACCGGCAAAAAAGAGUAAAUGUUUCAAAAACUGUCGAUAAUUAGGAUUUUACUGUCAAUUGAUUUUAAUAUUUUCAUGCAAAAGACAACUGUAUUACGAAAGAAAUAACUGUUAACCGUAACUACAAUAAGGUAUUAAAGUUAUAGAAGUUUCAAUCCUAAUAACGCAUAAUUUUCACUUUUGGUUUAAUAUGUUUAUAUUAUUUAUCUAAAAAACAAAAUCAUAAUAAAUAUAUUUUGAUUAAAUGUCACAGAAAAACCACGCCCAUGUCAAUUUUGAUUGUUACAAAAUGACAAUUUUUUUGAAAAGAGAUAUCAUACCGUAUUAAUAAGGUGGUGUUUGUUUUUUUUUCAAAAGCUCUUCUAGACCUUUUAUGUCUGCAUCGCGUAGACGACCCACAAACUUUUAGUCCUAUAGACUGUUUGUUUUUUAGAAGACCGUACGCAUAAAAAAAUCUGUCCAUCCUCUUCUUGACGUAGAUGUGAACAUAUGUCUUCUAGUCUCUUUCUUAAUCUUUCCACUAAUCUUAAGAGACAAUAAAAAAGCGCAAAAAGAAUAAAAAAAUGAAAAAAAAAACCUAUCAAACCUCAUUCGUGCACCUUUUUUUUUAAUUCAUUUGCCAUGUAAACACUUUGUAAAUAUAUUAUUUUAAUGAUUUUAGCUUUAUAAACUUUAUUUGGUCAAAUAAUUUUUUGGUAUUCAUAUUUUAAAAAACUUUAUGCAUAUUUAUCCGAUGACUUUUUAUAACAGUAAUUAAAAAAGUUAAAUAUACUACAAAACUUAUGAAAGUAUUUUACGAACGUGUUUUUUUUCUUCAUAAAAUGGACAAUUAAUUUGUUAUAUAUAUAUAUAUAUGCUUAUUAUAUGAUAACUAGGCUCGUGCGUGUGAACAAGUCUCCGUUUGCCACCUAGCACGGUAUCUNNNNNNNNNNNNNNNNNNNNNNNNNNNNNNNNNNNNNNNNNNNNNNNNNNNNNNNNNNNNNNNNNNNNNNNNNNNNNNNNNNNNNNNNNNNNNNNNNNNNNNNNNNNNNNNNNNNNAUAUAUAUAUAUAUAUUGAAAAUAAGGUGGUUGUAUUAUUAAAUUACAAUGUUUUUAUAUAAGAAAUAUUGAAAAAGUCUUUUAAAUUAAAAAAAAAAUCAAUUUAUUUAGGUUUUAAUUUAUUUUAGCAGUUUGUAGAUUUUAAAAAACAAACAGUCUUCUUGCAGACUGCAGACGUUUGGUCCAUAUCUUCUACUGCAGAUGUCGUCCGCAGACUGCAGACAUUUUGCUUCUGAAAAACAAACACCAUCUAAGUUUCAAACGCAUAAACAUUUAUUAACAAAAGACAUGUAAACGUGGAUUAUGAACUAAUGACAUAGAUAUACGAUAAGUACUAUAAAGAGGAAAAAGCAUAGUUAAGAUUGACCCAAAUUGUAAUGAUUAUAGUCUUGCUAAUGUAAAUAUUUAAUUAGUUUUUCUUGAUAAUCAUGAUAAAUGAUACUUUUUGACUCAUGAGUGAUGAAUAAACAAUAGUAUAUAUAGAUUUACUAAGACGAAAAAAGACAUGAGUUUUAAUGAUAGAAUAUUAUUGAAAAAAUAAUAAAGAAUAUGAUCAACUUUAAAUUAGUGCCCGGAUAAAAUCGAAGUUUUAGAAAGUGCUGAUUAGUGGCGAUCCUUCAUUUUUUUAUAACUUUAUUUCAAAUUAAUGGUAAUCAUGUAUAAUAAUUAAUAAACUUACAAUACGCUAAUAUACAUUACAAUCAUUUUCAUCCUAUGUGAAAAUAAUUUUUGACAUAUUAUUCGUUUUCAAAUUAUAUAGAUGCAUAGGCAAUAAUAUGUCUUUUAUGUGAAAUAAUGUGUGUUUUUUUUAUGUGAAAACAUGUUUUUUAUAUAUAAAAAUAUAUUUUCACAUAAAAAAAACCUGUUAUGCAAAAAACCUUUUGGACCAAAUUUAUAUAGAAACAUAUUUUUCACAUAUAAAAACCUUUUUAUAACAAAAAUGUUUUGUAAAAAAGGUUUUUAGUAUAAAUAUGAUUUUAUAAAGCAAAAAUAACAUAUUUCGAAACAAAAUUUUGGAAAAAUAUAUGUAAAAAAAACAAAAUUUAAGAUGAAAUUGUAACAAAAUUUUAAAAUAGGGACAAAAAUAUAAAAAUUGGACCAAAUUUAUAACAAAAUUUAAAAUCUGAGAAAAAAAUGUAAAUUUUAAAACUGGGAUGACCUUAUAGCCGGGAAAAAUGAUGAAAAUGAAUAUAUUUACCUGUAUUCGUAUCUUAAUUAAAAAAAUAAUAAUUUAAAUACUUAAUUGAAUAUAAGGUUAAAAAUAUAAACACUUUAUAGAUUUUCCUAUACUAAAUACUAUAGCAAAAUAUGUGGAAUUUGGUAUUUAGUAACUUUGGUCUCACUUUUGUUAAAUUUCUAUUUUCUAUCAUUUUACUUUUUGAAAAUUCGUUUUUACCUCUCGAUUUUUCUACUUAUUAACUUUGGUCCAUCACUUUUGUUAAGUUCUCAAAUUUUCAUCCUUUUUACUUUUGAAAUUGUUGCUUUUACCCCCUUUAACUUUCAACUUUCUAGAUACUCAACUCACUCAGCAUGAAGUAUAAGAAAAAAGAGAAGAGAGAGAGAGAGAGAGAGAGAGGAAGCAGCGGGCUGAAGAACCCACAUGAGACGUCUUCUGGCGGUAACCACCAAGGCGUGGAUUUGUUACCCUAGCCGUCGCACGACUCCGUGCACCCUUGGAGAGUAAUCAGUGUUAAAACACUAAGUUGCUUGAAAUAAGGAAUUUGAAGUUAAAUUGAAAAUUUAAAUGUAGAUACGAAAACACAUCAUCUUGCUAACUUGACAACUUAACGCCAUCUUAAGUGGAUACCAUAGAAUGACCCACGAGUGGCGAAUUUAAAAAAAGAAUCACAUGGUUCCUAAUUAAGUGAAGCCAAUAAAAAAAAUCAACAAUACUUUUGGAGUCGGGUCAGGUCGGCUCAUGUACCUUAAAAGAACUGAACAAGUUCAAUCGGCUCAUGUACCUUGUAACGACCCGUCUCUGGUAUGUUGUUUCCAUGUUAUUUAUUUAGAAGUUUUCAAGAGGGACUCGGGGAGUCUAUAGCCCGACUCGUCGAGUAGAGACGGGAUUUCGAGCACGUGUAAGUCGCCGACUCAACGAGUCCAUAUUCGAGACUCGGCGAGUCCGCCUGCUAGGAAGAAACCCUAAAUCCCCGGGUUUGCUCACUAUUUAAGCAAUGUUAUGUGCCCCAAACUCGCCUCCUUCACCCUCAGAGAGCUUGAGAGAAACCCUAAACCAUUCCUUGUAUGACUAAAGUGUUUUGUGUGGAUUCUUGAAGGAAAAAGAAGAAAGGACCCAAAAAGAGGAAGUGUAGAGCAAAGAUCCAAGGCCAAAGUCAGAGUUCAUUGAGGUAUGUCUCGGAAUUAUUCUGUUUUGUGCUUAAAACCUCCAUUAGAACACCUCUAAGGCUAGUUUAAUGUAUUUUCCAAGCUUUAUAGUUGUAUGGAUGCCUUGUUGGGUCGAGAUAUCCCUAGAUCUGUUCAUUUAGGAGUUUUAGAGCCCUGAUCUAGUGCCUUUUCGAAGUUUCUUUGCUUGAGAACCCUAGAUCUAGCCUUUAUUAUGCUUUUUGAGCCUUUUAAUCUUCAUGGGUGCAUAUGGGCACGUAAAGAUAGAAUCUUUACGUGUUAAUCGAGCUUAGGGAGCCCAGAUCUAUAAGUUUUAUGCGUUGGAUUCAAGCAGAAUCGAGUUUAUAGUAGCUGCAUGCAUGCGACUCGGCGAGUCGUUCUUCCGACUCGGUGAGUCGAGUCGUGAGUCCCCGAUUUUUCCUCUUUUGAGUAAUGCCGAGUGGGGACCAGUGAGUAGUAGAGUGGACUUAGUGAGCUGGAGGUCAGACUCAGUAAUGGAGGGACUCGACGAGUUGUUCAUACAACUCGGCGAGUCCAAGGCAAUCUUCUUAGCUCAAGAACAACUCGUCGAGUUGUUCAUACGACUCGGCGAGUCGGAUGCAGAUAGCUUGAGUUCUAGAAUCGAAAGGAAACUCGUCGAGUUUAUGCCAUACUCGACGAGUAGCAGCGAGUAGGGUUGAGAAGUGAGAAUAGGGACUAGGCGAGUUGGCGGCCCAACUCGGCGAGUCAGGUCAACUGUAGGUUGACUUUGACCAGGAGAGUUGACUUUGACCAGGGGUAAAAGAAUCAUUUUACCCCAAUACAGUGAUUAGUAUUUGAUUGAGUGUGUUUAUGGAAUUGUAGCCGGAGAGAUACCAGAGCAGCAGCAGAUAGCUUCCAGAGCCAUACAUUCAGCAGCCAGUUUACGAGGUGAGUUUCCUACCAGUAGGAACGGGUCUACGACAACAAUGCCGGCCCGUUUAGCUAGCAGUUAGUUCCGGACUUCGGUCCGAAGCAGUAGUUCAAGGUGCUUGAUGUUGUGUUUCGGGCAUGUCUAUGUGUUAUGUUAGCAGAUACGUGUUUAUGUUAUGCUAUGUUCAGACAGUUCCGGAUUUCGGUCCGAUGCAGCUAGUUCCGGACUCCGGUCCGAUGCAGGGGACAAGGUCCCAGUCAGUUCCGGAUUUCGGUCCGAUGCAGACAGUUUCGGACUUCGGUCCGAUGCAGUCAAUUCCAGACUUCGGUCCGAUGCAGUGGGCAAGGCCCAGUAUGUGCUUUAUUUGUUAUUGUGUGGUAUGCGGUAGUUUAGGGGAGCUCACUAAGCUUCGUGCUUACAGUUUCAGUUUUGGUUUCAGGUACUUCCGCAAGUAAAGGGAAGAACUCGGGAUGAUGCAUCGCACACACCACAACUUCAGUUUUUGUCGUGGGAGUUGAUUCAGUUUCUUAGAUAUGUUUUGAUACUGUUGUGACACAUUUUUUCUCACAGUAUUUUAUUAUGUGAUACUCAGUUUUAUGAUCUUUGUUAUAAUAUAAAUGAAAUUAUCGGGUCGUAUUUUUGGGAUGUUUCAAGUACCUUGUGCCACCGAUUAAAAAAAUUUUAAAAACCGAUUGAAAUAUAACUGAAAAAGACAUACAGCUUAACGAAAAACUAGUUGAUUAUUAGUCCAUUGAUAAAGCGGCGAACGCAGAGUGAGAGUCUUUGGCAUGUGGGCUUUCAUUUUAUUAGAACAACUUGUUUAUUUAUUAAUAUUUUGAGAGUGCCGAUUAAGAGUAGUUAACUUUUUAUUAUCAAUCUCAUAAUUUAAAAUAACAAAUUGUCCCUAAUAACUUAUAUUUUUCUCUUUUUAAAGUGGUUUUUUUUUUUAAAAAUAAAAAUAAAAAUAAACUCAAUGUAGGUUCUCUAUUUUUUUAAGACUAAAUUACACAGAUGGUCCCUGUGGUUGGCACGAGAGACCAAAGAUAGUCCUUAUGAGGAAUUUUGGACUUGUAUGGUCCCCGUGGUUCCAAAUUGUUGCACGAAGAGUCCUUAUGACAUACUCCGUUUAAUUGUUGUCGUUUAUUUAAAUCACGUAACCCUCACACGAGGGUAUUUUGGUCUUUUGCUUAUCCCUUCUCUCUCUCAUAUCUUUAUAUGAUCUGCAAAAGAUUUCCCUUCCCUAUAAAAAUUAAACCCCCAUCACUUCCUUCAUUAUUUUUCGUCUCCUCUAUUCUCUCUUCUCUCUUCUCUCUGCUGUGUCUUUCUAAGAAACUUUGCUUAAGAAUGGUAAAUUGUUUUUGUGGAACGCAAGCGGUGAUAGUGACAUCAUGGAUGGAUCUCAACCCAGGUUGUAUGUUUUGGAAAUGUCCUAGCAGUUGCGGUUUCAUUGCCUGGUUUGAUGAGCCGAUGUGUCGAAGGGUUGUGGCUGUCAUUCCAGGUUUGCUAAGAUCCAUGAACAAGCUUCAAGAAUCUCUGCUGCAAGCAAGUUUUGAAGCAAAAAAAGUGAAGAUGAUGCUAGUUUUUAGUUGGGUUUUCUUUUUCAUGUAUGUGUAUAAAAGAUGCUAAUAGUAUUAGUCUGGAGAUGAUGGUUCUUUUGCUUGUGGGUAGAUGAUGGUUCUUUUGCUUGUGGUUAGAAUCAGAUAAUAGUAUUAAUUUGAAGAUGAUUUCGUUUUGUUUGUUUGUGAUGCAAGAAAUGUUCGUAUGUAUGAAUGGAAUGCUUUUUAUUUGGGAAACUUUUAGUCUGCUACCAUUGUAAAAUAUUGGUCAGGAACUUAAUGAGUGUAAAAUAUUGGUCUGCAACUUAAUGAACCGUGCAGAUCCAUUAAAGUAUAAAAUAUGAAAGUGAAAGGUUUUUGUAGGCUUUAGACCAUUGUAGAGCCAUAACAACAUUAGAAAUGUUCAAAAAUAAAAUGCAAACUUUUGCAUAGUCAUAAAGUUCAUUACAUAACCUUAAAGUGCAAAGUCAUAAUACCAAAAAAAUAUCAAAAGAGCUUGCAGACUAAUGUAUCAUAACCAAAAGAACCAUCUUAGUCUAGCACCCUGUGUGAACCAUAAUACCAACAAAAGAUAAAGACACACAAUAACCAACUUAGUCUGACCUUUCUAAGGUACCAAAACAAACAACACAAAAGACCUUUCUAAGGUUCCAUAACAAACAACACAAAAGACAACAAAUCAAACUUUUUCCUUCAUUUUGGAUUUAUCCUUAAGUUUGGUUUUCUCCUUCAUUUUGGGUUUCUCCUUUUUUCCAUCUCCCUGCUUCUUUGCCUUGCUAAGCUUCUUGCCCCCUGCCACCACAUUUCUAACUUCAGUUUGUCCCCCUUGUCCCUUGCAACUCCUAGAGUUGUGACCCUUGUUAUUGCAUUUGCUACAAGUAACUGUAAGGAACUUCUUGGUCAAACUUUUACCUUGAUUAUUUGGUUCUUCAGUUUGAGCUCUCUUUCUCUUCUUUUUUGGUCUCCCCACCUGCAUAAUUAAUAAAUUAUAAAACAGUAUAAACGUAUACUAACUUGUAAAUUGAAAAUUAUUUACCUGUUUAGUAUGCUUAGGAGGUGUUAGUGUUAUGGGGAAAUCUGACUUUGGCCACAUACUUCUUCCAUUGAUAGGUUGAACUUUGUACUUGUACAUUUCAUUCCAUGUGCUUAACCUAUAACAUGGAUGUACCCACUCCUCAAGAGGUGGGACAUUUUUUCCCAGUGCCUGCAACUACAAUUCCUGUCCCUCCAAUUAACCACAAAUUGUUCCCCCAUUGUCCCAGUAACUUGAGUCUUAUCAGCACCAUUAAAUAUGCAAGUGUAUUGAGAAGCAUCUUUCUUAACUCCAUCUAAAAGUUUUGUGGCUGGGGGGGGGAGAGGGGCNUUAUCUAUCACAUUUUGCACAAUACAAAUUCGUUUCAUUAAGUAUUCCCUAAUAUAUUCUAAACAUGUAAUUAUAGGUUUGUCUCGAGCAUCUAACAACUUUGAGAUGAAAACUUCACAUAAAUUAUUCAACAAAAUAUCUGUAUGUGCUCUUCCUGUACAAUGCAACAAAAUAUCUUAUAAGAAUCUGUCAAAGUGUAAAUCUUCCUUGAAUCUGUCAAAGUGUCUAACUGUUGUUGCUGUUGCACAUUCCCAUAAAUGAUCUCUGUGCUCCUUCCCCCUCCAUUGUAGCUUCAUGUUUUCGUGAAUAUGUCUUAAACAGAACCUGUGUUCAGCGCUAGGUAAUAGGUUGGCAAUGGCAGAUAAAAUCCCCUAAUUAACAAGUAACAAAAAUGUUAUUUUCUAAAUGUAGUAGACAAAAUUACAAAGAUGUCAUGAACAAGUAUCAUAAGAAGAUUAACCUUUUGCCUGUCAGAAAUAAAUGUGAAGUUUGAAUUUGUAGAGAGCUCCAAAUCUUCACCUAGACACUCUAGAAACCAACUCCAUGAGCUUUUGUUCUCGGCUUCAACUAUGGCAUAUGCUAGUGGGUAGAUCCGAUUAUUGGAAUCAAGACCCACAACAGUGAGAACCUAUCCAGUGUAAGGUCCCUUCAUGAAAGCCCCAUCGAAACCUAAAAAAUCUCUUAAACCUGCCUUAAAACCCAGUUUUAAUGCACCUAAACAGACAUAAAUUCUCUUAAACAUCCUAGUUUCCAAGUCUGCAUUUGGUUCACUGUAUACAUCAAUCUUCACAAUUGUUCCUGGGUUGCACUGUUGUAAUUCUAAUACGUAAUCCCUGAGAAGGCUGUAUUGCUUUUGAUAAUCUCCAUAAACAUGUUUCUGUGCAAGUUGUUUAGCCCUAAAGACCUUCAUUCUUGACAUCCCCACCUCGUAUAUCUUUUGUAACUCUACACACAAAGCUUUGACUGGGAUAGUUGGGUUUCCUUCCACUUCUUGAAGAAUGAUGGUUGUAAGAAACUUAGGCCUCAUUUGAUAGUUGCCGAUUGAGAAAGUGCUGACUGAGAAAGGUCUGUCUGGGUAAGAAAUCCUGAUUGGGUAAGAAAUCCUGUUGUUUGAUUGUACAUCUGACUGAAUGUGCUGAGUGAUGAAAAAUGACCAUUUUACCCUGCUGUUAUAUAUAUAUAUUGAUGGAUUAAAUUGCUGAAUAAUUAUAAAAACAUACAUAUUGUCAUACAAAAUGUAAAUUACACACAAAUAAAAAAUGUCAUACAAAAUGUAAAUUAAACAUAAAUCAUUUAAUAUCCAAAUAAAAACAUAAUGAAAUUUAAAAUAACAUAAUAAUUUAAUGUAAAGUAGGUGAAAGUAGUCGAUUUGCAAUCUGAUCACGCAAAACACGCAUAUAUUCAACGGCUUCUGGACCCCAUUCUAUGCCUUGUAUGUUUUCUCUAUCAAUUCCCCCACCUUGGACGUCAGGAGUAACCAUAGUGUCCUCCUCAAAAUUUCUAAACAAGUCAUCUUCUAUAUUGUAUUUCCUUAUAAAAUUAUGGACCGCGACACAAGCAAUGACUAUGUCUCUUUGCACUGUAAAAGGAUAAGGAGCCAUUUGUUUUAAGAUUGGGAAUCUCGCCUUCAAUACACCAUAAGCACGCUCAAUAACAUUUCUAAGUUGUGCAUGAGCAUGAUUGAACCUUUCUUCUCUAGUUAAAGGUCUGCCUCUUCGAAAAUCGGCUAACCAAUACCUAGUAUUGCGGUAUGGAGCCAUAAACCCACGAGUGUUUGUAUAUGCGGCAUCACAAAGGUAAUAUUUAUCUGCAAACGAAUGUGACAUAUUAUAUAAUGACACAUAUUAUAUAAAGAAGAUAGAUAAUAAAAAUUAUAUAAAGAUUACAAACCUGGUGGAGGAAAUGGAAAUCCAGAAGUCGAAUUGAAUGCAACUUCUUUCAAAACUCUUGAAUCAUGUGCUAUACCCUCCCAUCCAGCCCAAACAAAGGUGAAUAUCAUAUCAAAAUCACAAAUUCCUAUUACAUUUUGAAAACAUUCUCCUUUUCCUCUUCCUCAAUAACGAGUUUGUUGAUCAACAGGUACAACCGCACGUACAAGAGUUCCAUCUAAUGCACCAAUUGCUCCGGAAAAAAUAUUUUUUAACCGUCUAUGUCGUUCUGAGUUAUGUCUUGUUGGGUUAGGAGUUGUUGGUACUAUAAUUUCUUUUGCAAAACACAUCAUUGCUGUUAGGACCUCGUGAAAACAUUGAUGAAUCGUUUGUGUGGAGUGAUGAAAUCUUCCCUUAACCGCGCGAAAACGUUCAUUAUGUCCUAUAACAUGUAAGAAGAUAGCCAUCUUCUCUUCAAUGCUUAUUGUCCUACUAGCUUGCAACCAAUUUUUUUGGGUAAAAUGGUUGCAUAGUAAUGCAAAUGCCUCUUGUGUAAGACGCAUCAUAUCGAAACAUUGUGUAGGGUCUCCGUAUAUCAAAUCUUAUGUAUACGCAUACCCGCUUGAAUCGUUAUCUCUAAUUCUAAGAAUUCUGAUUAGUCUGCGCCGGUUUGACCUCAACCAAUAAAACACAAGUAAAAGAAAAGCUACAACUUCACCAUCAGAAACCAUACUUGAUCUAUUACAAACAAUUAGGUAAUAUGUUAAAGUAAAAAAAAAAUCAUGCACCAAAAAAAUUAGUAAACAUCAUUAAAAGUAACAAAAGUCGUAUAACAAACGUUGUAUAACAAAAUACUAGUAAACAUCAUCCAAAAAAGUCAUCAAACUAUAUAACAGUAAACCAAAAAGUCAUCAAACAUAGGAUCCAAAAAACUAGUAAACAUCAUCCAAAAAAAGUCAUCAAACAUAGGAUCCAAAAAACUAGUAAACAUCAUAAAAAAAACUAGUAUCCAAACUUUUCUACCCGCACCUAUCAAAGGUAACUAUACUUCCUACCCGCACCCAUCACCCACGACUCACAACUACUAUGCGAAAGUCGUAACCAAACUUUUCGAACAUCAGCACUUUCACCAAAUAGCAAAAGAGCGGUCUUGUGUCUUUCAUCUUCUUCUCCCCAUUCCAUUUUGUUCAAUUUCUCCAUACACGCAUCAACAUCCUUAUCCAUUUCACUUUUUUCAAUUCUUUCAUUUUUUUUCCACUAAUAACCUUACAAUCUUGACAAUCUCCUCUUCAACUUCUAAUGCCCUUGCAUCUCUUUUUUUUCCACCAACUCUUUUGUUUCCACCAACUUCCUUAUUUUUGAACGCCCCGAAGAUUCUUCACUUGCACCUACGUGUUGUGUUGAGGUUUCCAUUAGAACAUCAUCAUCAAAAUCAUGGGGACUAAACUCUUCUACAGGACAAGGGAGUGUAGAAGAUGGCCCCCAACUUUGAGAUCCGGUUGAUGUCAACCCUUCAAAUAGUUGGGUGCAAAGAUCAGGGAACAAUAGGGGUUUAGUUUUCAAUGACAACACGAACUUGUUCAACUGUUUACAAUUUUUAUAAAUAUUAGUAUAUGUUAUAAAAAUAAUCAUAAUAGUAUUGAUUAAAAAAAUAAAUUUAAUCAAAUAGUAUAUGUUAUAAAAAUAAUCAUAAUAGUAUUGAUUAAAAAAAUAUUACCUUCCCCUCUUCUUUCCAUUGUUCAUCGGUCAAAUUAAAUUUAUUUUUUAUAGGAUCAUAUAUAUUGCCGGUUUUGUUUUUGAGUUUCACCCAAGCAACAUACUUUGAUUUGUAGUAGUCAAAGUGGUUUCUCAUUUGCUUCUGAUCAACCUCUUUACCGUGUUCGUUUAUCAAUUUUUCGCGUAUUGUCUUCCAUGAACUUGCCUUAAGCCCAGAACCCUCACGACCAUUAGUGGUUAGUUCAUGGAUACAUGCAUCAAGAAAAGUUUUGUCCUCACUCUCGUUCCAAACCAACAUCCUAAAACAUUAAUAUUUAAAGUAAUUUAUCAUAGUUUUUAUCAAGUUAAAGAACAAUUUUAAACAUAAAGCAAUUUUCAACCAAGGAAGUUAACAUCAUCCUAAAUUAUGAUUUGAUAACUUAUACACAAACAAUUUCAGAUGUCACAAAACAUCAAUAUUCAAGCUAACAAUUUCACAAAAGAUAACAAGCUAACAAUUAAGGUCAACAAUAUCAAAGCUAUAAAAUUAGAAAGAAAAAAAAAACAGCCCAAUUUUUGAUUUUAUAGCUUAUACUUUUGAUACUAAUACAAGCUCAAUAAUUGGAAGACAUGUGAUGUUGCAUGCAUUCCCCCUCUCGCCCACUCUUCAAGGAACAAUUGGAUUAUUAAAAAAGUUAGGUUACCAUUAAUCUUAUAAUAAUUAUUUAUUAUUAAUUUUACUUUUGUACUUUACACAUAAAAACACAACNAAAACCAAAAAAAUAAAAAAAAAAAAAAAAAAAAAAAAACAGCCCAAUUUUUGAUUUACAAACCUACUUGUAUUUUCCAAUUCACAUUCAAUUUCAAUUCACAAGCUAUAAAAUCAAAAUUCAAAAAAAAAACCUUCCAAUUCACUUUCAAUUUCAAUUCAUAAGCUAUAAAAUAUGAACCGGAGAAAAAAACUUCCAAUGUGAAUUGGAGAAAAAAACUUCAAAUUCAGAAAAAAAAACAAAAAAACAAAAACAAAAAACAACUACCAAUUCACAUUCUAUUUUAGAAUUCAUAACAUUAGAAAAAAAAACCUUCAAUUUUCAGUUCUUAUACACAAAGAACUACAAAACAAAACAUAAACAAACUUCCAAUUCACAUAUAAUUUCGAAAUUCAUAUAUUAGAACAAACAAUUUCAGAUUUCAGUUCUUGUACACAAAGAACUACAAAAAAGAACAAAAAAAGCUUAUCAUAUGAACAUACAGGUUGAGAAUUCAUAAUAUUCUAACAUAUACUAAUUUGAUUUCAUAAAGAACUACAAAUUUCAUACCAUCAAAGCAUAAAUGGUAUCUGAUUUUGAAAAUUAUUAACAGAAAAAUUAUCUAACCUGUGUGAUGGAUCGAGAAGGCGUCACUGAUGGCGGUGGCGGAGGUCCGACGAGAUGGCACAGGUCCGACUGGUCGGACUGUUUGGCGUUCAAUGUUGUGGAGUUCUUCCUAGCGGCUGCUGUGCUUUUAGGUCACUAGAAGGGAAGCGAAUGGGGAAAGAAAUAAUAACGACGCAGGGGCAAGAUAAGGGCAAGAUUGUCUAAUUUCCAGUCAGCAACUGUUUAAAAACUGAUCCAGAAAGCGAUUUGGGUCAGCAGAUCUUACCGAGAAAGCUCAAAUCAAACACCAAAGGUCUGACCGAGUCAGCCCAAUUUGCUGACUCGACCCAGUCAGACAUUUAUCAAACACUCCCUUAGAAGUGCACUCUUUAAUAGACCUUGACUGCACACAUCUAUGCUCAUGAACCAAAGUUUUCACCAUCCAAUCGCUUUCUUCAUCAGAUCUAGAAAUUAAUACCACCCAAGGGCAUGUUGCUUUUUGUGAGCUGACUGUUUUAUCCUUGCAUUUGAUUCUACUUUUUGUCCAUGGCCCACCUGUCAUUUUCGGGACCACACCCCUGCAUUUUGCCCUAAUUCUUUUUUUUUUAUCAUUUUUUGAAAAGUAAAUGUUUCUCCUAGUUCGAAUUGAAUGCAUUUUAAUGUAGUCCUUCACUUCUGAUGAGGACUUAAAUAUUUGACCCAGAUGGAAUGCAGUUUCAUGUACUACUCCUGAUGAACAUGUGGUUGGUUUGUUUAACCUUCUCAUUAAUUUCUUCCUCUCAUCUUCUUCUACACCAGUUGAUUCAAAUAAUUGUGUAUCUAUCACCUCCAAAUCCUCAUCAACUGUGACAUCAGGUGCAUUGAAUGAUUGGUGGUUAUCUAGAUUUGGAAAAGAAUAAACACCACUGUGGAAGUCUUUCAUAUUCACUUCGACAUCCUCCACCAUAUUAAGUUCAUCCACUAAAAAGUCACUAUCGUCGCUUAUACUUCCAUCGGUACUAGUCUCAUCACUAAUAACAUCUCCAAUUUCUUCAUUUUCCCCCAUCUGUUGGUAAUCAUUAUGAUCCAUAUAAAAGAAAGGAUCAAAGUCUUCUGAAGGGACAACAUCUUGGGCUUUGUUAAGCUCCUCACUUGCAGGAUGAACUCGAACAUCUUUCACUACAUCUCUAUCAAAAUGUCCAAAAGGUACAACAGACCUAGAAAAGUCAUAGUUCUCAUUCAAGUCCAUUUUUCUACUACAUGAUCCUACCUUUGUACUUGUAAACUUUUUUCGAUUGAGUUCCGGAGAAAUAGGCUCAUUGAUUUCUUCCGAUACGACCUUAUUUGGAGAUAUAAAGUAUGCAUGGAGUCUAGUAGUUCCAUGUUCAGUAUACACCAUAAUCUCUUUAUGAUUAGCAACAUGCUUACUUAACAAAAGUACGUCUGAGUUGUUACCUAAAGGAAGUAACCCAUAAUCGAUUUCAAUCUCAGGAAUCAAGAAGUGGUAGUAGAUAGGCUCACCGUUGAUAUAACCUAUCUCCUUCAUCAUAUCGUCUAACUCAUGUACGGAAAACACGUCCAUGUCUACGUAGUCAACAUAGUCAAUACUCCCACCAACGUAACGUCUUCCUGGGUAUUUUGUGAACAUACCCCCAUGGUGAAUCUUGAAUGUGCAAAAACUACUUAACUCAACUGAAAAACAAAUAAAUAAUGAUAUGAGGAAAGAAUGAAGUCUCAAAAUUGAAUGUGCAUAAAUUACUUAACAAAAUUGAAAGUUGUUAACUGAUCACUCACCAUAAGCUUUGAUCAGGUCAGGAUUUUCUGAGAAUUUUGAACGGACAUUCCACAAAGUUAGAACGAUCGCAAAAGAUGAAAAUGAAAACCCUAGUUUCCGUUUGAUGUUUUGAAGUGAUGAAGAUGAAAAACCAGAGGAGAAAAGAAAGGGAUGAUUUCUUGGGGUAAUGUAAAUGGCAGCUAGAUGUAAGGAUCAUUUAUGAAUAUGAUCAUUUCGUGUAACAAAGCAAAAGACCAAAAUACCCUCGUGUGAGGGUCACGUGAUUUAGAUAAACGGAAACAAUUAAACGGAGUAUGUCAUAAGGACUAUUCGUGCAACAAUUUGGAACCAUAGGGACCAUACUCGUCCAAAAUUCCUCAUAAGGACUAUCUUUGGUCUCUUGUGCCAACCACAGGGACCAUCUGUGUAAUUUUGUCUUUUUUUAAAGAUAGUUCAUAAUUUUUCUAUUAUAUACAUUGUAAAUGAAAUUGAGAACUUAAGUAGGUCCUAGGACCUACCUAAGCACAUGGUGGAUACGCCCCUGUUACCCACACUAACCUCAUACACUUACAACACAAAUGAACUUGAACGGUCUAAGACCAAACCAAGAUAUAAUAUGAAAUGUGUAAGUAUAGUUUAAUAGAUGAAAGUGAGGUGUUGUUUGGGCUUGAAAAGUAGGGGUGAGCAUGGUGCGAUUUUUUGAGAAAACCGAACCGCAAACCGCAAGAUGCGGUUUCUAUAGGGUAAAACCGAUAGGUGUGGUUUUUGUUUCGGCGUGGUUUUACAUGCAUUUUCGGUGUCAUUCGAUGCGGUUUCGGUUUUUAACUGAAAAUAUGUGUUGGUGUGAUUUUUCAUACAUGUGUUGAUCUACCAAAGAAGUAAUAACCCCUAAAGAAGCUAGAGCAAGGCCUAAUUGAAAAUGAAGCCAAUUAUUAAUUGUGUCAUAAAGACCCUCAUGCCCACGUCUCAAUCGCCCUCUUGGAGGGAUAUGUGCAUCUAAAAGAUCUUUCAUACUGUGCCCAAUCCCAAAAUUAGUUCUAUACAUAUGCCCAACAAUAAGAAAAAGAAAUGCAAUAGCUAAAUAAUGAUGAGUCAUAUCAGCAUGUCCAAACCCGACUUUUCAGUUAACUUUCCUUUAUUUCCGGUACAGAUUCUCAUUUAAAUGUAUUUAACAUGCUUGUGAAAUAGUUAUAUGUUAUUCUUAUCAAAAUAUAGACUUCUUUAUGAUAUUACGAUUUUGAGAUUUGAAUUAUAUGUUUGAUGCAACAAGGGAUUUGGUUUUAUAAUCUCAAAUUCCAUUACUUAAUCAUUAUUGUUUAUACAGAUAGAGGCGGCUUUUGAUUCGAAUUGCAUUUUGCUUGUGAUAAGCAAAAGGAAAAUUGUUAAUGGUACGCACUUUGAUACAAAUGUCAAAUUUUAUAAAAAUAUAGCAAAACAUAAGGCAUGCACAGUGGCAAAAAGAACUGAAGAGGUCGAAGUUGAACAAAAUAUACUUUUAUUAAUAAGUAUUAUAAUAUAUUAAAUAUUGUCAGGUUUUUAUGGUGCUGUUUGGCAUUGUCCAAACCGCACCACACCGAAAAAUUACCAAUUAAGGUUGGAUUGGAAUGCAUAAUUAUCAAUUUAUCCUUAAUAAGUCAUAAAUCAACAAAAAUGGCCCAACAAUUUUCUUAAUCUUAAUUGUUGCCUUUGGAUUAGAAAUCAUCAACGAUCAAGAUUGGUUCUCACAAUUCUCUAAUCUCUACUUUUAUGUUGUUUUCAUUUGAACUCAACCCAAAAAUCUCACCAGUAAUCACCACACGAACAAAUCCCGUUCUUGAAAUGAUGAAACCUAUUUGUAUCCCGAAGAAUAAUUUCCCGCUCAACAAUCUUGGAAAUAAGCUUAGCAGCAAUAUGACAAUCCUCACAAACACGUAGAUUUUUAGUAAUCCGUAUAGGCGUAAAAGCUUUAGUAUUUAUAAUCACAAACACAAUAGCAAGCUUCUCACUAUGAACAGCAAGAUGAUUUCCUUUAUCUUCAUCUUCUAUAUCAUGAAGUGCAGAAUCCACUUCAGGAACAUACCCAAAAUCCCUCAUCUUCCCCACAAGUACUUCCAACUCUUGAUAAAUCUGUUUAGAUUGUGGAUGGGAUUGAUCUCCAGCAAGAAACGAAUGAACUUGAUUAUUAAGCUCAACAUUACUAACACCGGGCUCUUUUUUCACUCCUUUUGAUUUCAUUAUUGAACGAAUAUUUGUCACAUCUUUAAAUCUACCUGCUUUUGCGUAUAUAUUUGAUAAUAAAACAUAAUACCCUGCUUGUUCAGGGACCAAUUCAAAGAGAUGAUCUGCUGCUACAAGACCAAUUUCCAUGUUGGAAUGAACUUUACAAGCACUUAACAAAGCACCCCAGAUUCUAUCGUUUGGUUUUGUUUUCAUUUUCUUUAUAAAAUCAUAAGCUUCAUUGAUUCUUCCUGAUCUUCCUAGCAAAUCAACCAUGCACGCCAAGUGUUCGAGUCUUGGAAUGAUGUUAUACUCUUCGGUCAUCAAUUUGAAGAAAUGUUUUCCUUGGUUUAGUAAUCCGGCAUGGCUGCAGGCUGAUAGAACUGGAACGAAGGAAAUGGAAUCAGGGGCGAUUCCGGAAUUUUGCAUAUUUGAAAAGACUGUGAUAGCAGUUUCACCAUCUCCAGUCAUGCCAUAAGCAGAGACCAUGGAAGUCCAGGAGACGACAUCUCUUGUUGGCAUUUCAUCGAACACCUUGCGUGCUUCGUUUAAAGACCCACAUUUAGCAUACAUGUCAAUCAAGGCGUUCUCUACUGUUAGAUUAGGAAGAAGCCUUUUUGUUUUUACAUAUGAAUGAAUCUUUCUUCCUAGUAAUAAAGCUGAAAGAUCUCCACAAGCGGGUAGGAUGCUAGCAACUGUGAUUGAAUCCGGGUCGAUUCCGUAAUUCUCCAUUUGUUGAUAAAGAUUAACUGCAUCUUUAGGCAUCGAGUUGUUGACGUACACAGCUAUCAUGACAUUCCAAGAAAUUAAACUCUCUCGAGCGUGAUUCAUGAACAUUUCUUUCAUAAACAUCACGUUGGUAGAUGAAGUAGAAGUUGUUAAAGCAGGGGAAAGGCUGGCCAUGGUGCCUGCGUUGGGUUUUGAGGUAGAACAUUGCAUCAUUGUCUUACAAAUCUCCAAUGCAUCUUCAAACAUCCGGUUUUGGGCGUAGGCAGCAACCAUAGCAUUCCAGGAGACGAUAUCUCUACUAGGCAUUUCAUCAAACACCUGGCGUCCUUCCAGUAACCGGUUACAUUUUCCAUACAUUGUAAUCAAUCCAUUCCCUACAUAAAGAUUUGAAUGCAGACCCUUCUUGAGAACAGCAACAUGGGUUUGUAAUCCGACCCACAAAUUCUCAGACACGGAACAUGCUUUUAGAACUUGAGGAACUGUAAAAUGAUCAGGGUUAAUGUUGAACUUGAACAUGUUUCUGUACAUACGAAGUGCUUUUUCGUAGAAUUCAUUGUUUACGUAGCUUCUAAUCAUCACAUUGAAGAAGACUACAUCUUUUUGAGGAAAUUCAUCAAACAGUUGGCGGGUAACUGCGAUUUGGCGACAUUCAGAAUAAGCUUUCAUUAAUUUCAGAGCAAUAUGCGAUGCUGAGACGAGGUUUCCAUCAAUAAUUAACCUACAAUGUAUCUUUUUCAAUUGUUUGAUAUCUGGGCACUUGUCCAAGAUUUUGAUACACAAGUCUUCUGUGAUUAACAUGAUUGUUAAGGCGAGAUUUGAAUGAAUUUGAACUUAUAUUCCUUUCGCCAUGUUGUACCUGAGGGGCAAUCAAAUAGAAUGGACGAAGAUAACGAAGGUUUACUUGGUGGUGUUCACUUAAAAACAAGAAAUAUGAAGUUCUAAACGCUAUUUCUUGUUAAACAGAAAAUAUUUUGUCCAAUCUAAAAAUCCAAUUUUUGAGUAAGUUCAAGCUUAAGCUCAAAAAUAGUAAGCAAAACAUGUUUAAAAAAUAAAAGUUCGUUUGAAACUCUUUGGAUAGCUCGAGUAUAACAAUCAUCAUAAUUAUAGUCAAUAAAUCAGGCUCAAACAACCAAACUUGAUGUCCAGCCCUUGAUCAUCCAAUUGCCAACUGAAAUCAACUUAGUUUCCGGUUUUAGAAUCGCCCUAACAUUACAUAAGCACCAACUAGUUCCAAAAGUAGUUUUUAAUUCAAUGUCUCCCAUACCCGUGACUUCAAGGGUUUCCAUGUUACCCAACCUUACCAACUUAAGAUAAGUUCUUUACUUCAAUUACUAUAACAGAUCGAUGAGUCAUGUUCUAAUGACCUCUCGUCAUAUGAUGCAAUGCUUAGACUCGAGUCUUUUAAAGUCAAAUUCUAUAAUGAAAUAUACAUUCCUUCAAGUUUCUAAUGUGAUAUAAUCACAUUCUAGCAUGUAUCACUUCUAGCUACAAGCUUCUUACUUUAACAACAAUCACAAUACUUCUAUUGAUCGCUUUGAUUAUCUUUCAGUUCAAUCUUCUGGCUUAAGUCAGAUGCUACAUCGAUCUUGGUUCUCUGAACCACGUACAAUACUUAUCCUAGCUGUAAUCGAUUUGAUAUGACCACUAGGGUCGGAAUAACAAUCAUCUUCUUAGUCAUUACCGAAAUUAUGGUAAUGACACAUGAACAAAACAGAAUCAAUUACUAGCGUCUUGGUAACUCGUGACUUUCCCUGAUCCAAGUGCGAGUCGUGUGCUUCCAGUAGUAUAUGCCUCUACUACCUUUCACACCUACUCAUACUUGUCCCAAGUAUUGUCUUUCAGUUCUCCAAGUCACCAUAAAAGAAUUUCACAUAGUCAUUUAACACAUCGAAUAACAAAACUAAGGUUUAUAUUAUUUCUUGAAACGAUUACAUAGAUAUUCAAGUUCACCUUAUACCAUGCCUUUUAUAUUAGGCUACACCACAUGAUACUAUCUAUAUGGCUACUUUAUAUCUCGAUCUUCAGAUAUAUAUAGAUCCCUACUCCUAAUCCCUUGUAUCGUCACCUGCUUCAUCCAGGUUAGACUUCGAGAAUCUUCCUUUCUUAUCGAAUCUUGAGGAUCCCUCAAGCUUCUUCUUUUCUCAUGCCUUGUCUUAUUCCAGACCCUUUUUCCUAAAUUAGGUUUCCAUAUUCUUGGUUGCUCUAACGGUUGUCUUCAAAGUAGUUGCCAUUUUUACCAUUGCGCCAAAUUAUGCUGGCAAUCCGUUAGCAAAACUAUCUAUCUUGGAGAGUUCAGUAGCACCAAGUAGGGGAAUAACUUCAUCUGCUCGGUGAAUACGGUGACAUACUCAUCAACACUCAUCUUCCUUUUCUUCAAGUUCGAAACUCGUUGUUUAGGUCUAUCAGAUCUAUCUCUGAGCAGUAUUGCAUUUUCAACUGCUCCAUGAAUGCUUCCCACCUCAGGGCUUCUCCCCCAUGGCUUUGUAUCUGCCAAUAACUUCCACCAACUUAAAACUCUGGUCUUUAGUUGUCUGACUGUAAAGACGGUUUUCUGCUUGUUGCUGCAAUUGCAACUUUCAAAUGUCAUCUCUAUCUCGGAGAUCCAAUCCAUGAUCUCUACUGGCUUCGGGCUUCCAGAAAGACUUGGUGGUUUGGCACCUAAGAAGUUCUUAUACAUACGUUCAUCCUUAUCAAUCGCUUUUUUCGGGUCGUUCCUCCUUGCCACUCGGGGUUCAGCUUGACUCACUGUACGACUGUAAUUUCCCUCCUCCGACAAUUCUUCAUUCAGUUCGGGUUGCACGAUAGGCACAAUAGGUUCAUCCCUAUUAUCAAGAAACAUUUUUCUCAUCUCCUCCCUUUGUUCGGCCAUCAUAGCCCAAAUCAUUGCUUAGACUCUUGCCAUCGUGAUUGGCUCGGGUGCAGCUACUACCUCUGGUGCACAUUUAAUCACUCGUGGUUCAGGCUGUUAGUUUUCAUUAGCAUUUUCUAAUAUGUUGCGAGUUCUCACCAUUUCGAUCUAUACACUCUAGAGAUGUUCAGUGUACAGUGACGAGAAUUAAGAUAUGGAAAGCUUUAUUUACGACAGCCAUAUAAAUCUUCUUAUCACUCGUAAAAGUUAUAUACUAGUUCUAAUACCGUAAUUAAAUGUUUGGAAAUUUUGAGCAAAUGACGGUUCAUCAACAAUAGAGCGAAUCUCAUUUAGGAAUUCGUUGAUAGGUCGAUUUCCUUUAGGAUUUUUAGCAAGUUUGGAUUUUAAAGAGAUGAUUCUUGAGCAGGAGGUGCUGGCAUAGCUUGUGUUGAGAUGCUUUCAUGCUUCUUUUGUGGUAAAUACAGAGGUAAUGAUAGGUUGAAUGAAUUGCAUCUGAGCAUGAACCAAGAAUUGCAUCGAAUACUACAUGAUCUUGGCGAUAGCAAGUCGUGUAUUCAUGAUUAGGUUUGGAUUUGUCUUUGUCGAUAAUGAAUUUUGUGGUAGGAUCAGUCACCCAUGUGAUGUAAUCUUCCAGACCUAGUCCAAUAAAUGUGGACUGCACUUGUCGCCUCCAUACAUGGAAGUUGUUGGUGAGUAAUUUGGUAGGAAAGUGACUUGAGGCGGUGAUUUGUAUUUGGGAUGAUUGUGUCAUGGUGAUGUUGAUGAAAAGGAUUAGAGGAGAAAGGCAAGAUGAUCGAUUGACUCUUUAGAGUGUGUGUGCUCUGAUACGAUAUGAGAUUUGAGAAUCAAUGGGCUCGAAUGAAUAAUUUCAUUUACAAAGAUCGAUACAUAUAUAGAUGGUAACGAGAGUUAAAGAGCUAUACAUGGAAUUUACUAAGAAUAGAUUGCAAUUACAUACAAAUAGAAGAGAUUAUUGUAGAUUAGUCAUGAAGAUGUGUACGAUGUUAUAGUUAGAUUGCUUAUUUGCAAUCCAUGUUAGCUAAGUAUGUCAUGUUGAAUACAAAUUGUAUUAAAACAUUAAAGUUCCAACCAUUAUAUGUUGAAGAAGAAGCAAAUACGCCUUAGUCACACCCAUUCUAAAUGAUAUGGAUGUUAUGGUUGUCGUUUCUAUGCAACCAAAUCGUGAUUCCAAGUUGCAGUUGUCUUACCAAUAUAUCAUGUUAGGAAAAGAUGACAUAGCAUGAAAUAUUGUAUGUUACAACAAAAAGAUAUAUCUUAUAGAUGUCUUGCACAUGGGUUAUUCCUUUUUAAGCACUUAUAUAAAAAUAAUAUCACGUAUGUAUGAUAUCUAUUUUGAGAGAUUUUUAGCAAGCAACUCUUUGUCUAUUAUUGUUAUUGGAUAGAAAAAGUAUCAUCUUCGUUGGGAAGAUUUUACUAGGAUUAGAUUCAUAAUAGUUUGUCAAAGAUUUUACUAUUAUGUAUUUAUAAACCCAUGAAGUUUUCUAUUAAAUAAAUAAAUAAAUAACCAUUCACCAUUUAUAUCUUUUUGGAAUAGAGUUUGUUAAAUUCUAAUAUAAAUAAAAAGAGUAUUUAUUUAGAUUCACACAUUACAAAAUUACAAACUCCAAGCAUAAAUCCGAAACUUAUUUUUAAACUUCUUCAUUUAUAUUACAAGUUUUAUUCUUUUUUCCCAACCCACUUGGGGUUUCGAAACCCUAAAAAAGUUCUAUCCAUGGAAGUUCAUAUUUAUUUCUUAUCUUAAUGAAUUUAAGGUCUAAAUCAAUAAAUGGCAAUGUAGAAUUAACCGCAUAUAUUAAGUUAUUUUUGGAAGCUUUCCAACACAACACAGAAAGGAAAUGAUGAGAAUUUAUGGUACCAAAUAACAAAAUAAUCCCGGUUCCUAUAAAAAUUUAUUAAAGCUCUACUCAUGAUUUCAUAAUCUCCUCUAAUAUGAGGGUUACGUUAUUGUAAUAAUAACUAUGAUAAUGUAAAAGCCAUAACAUAAAUCGUCUUAAUUUAAGAAAUAAUAUAAAUCCCAAGAUAUUGUUUUUAAAAUAAAAAGGAAAAAAGUGGGAGUCCAUUAGAAGGAGCCAAGCUGAUUAUUUGAGCCAAGAGAGCACCGAUUUGUUAUCCUUCCACUGUUCGAAGCGAGAGGUUAUCGCAGCUCUGUGAAGCCAGCCUAACGCAUUGCCCUCUGCUCUAGGAACCAAGAAGCCCAAGCCUUCGCUCAAGCCACUUGAUCCAACUCCGAACUUGGAACGGGCAAACCAGAUUUUGCAACAGCUUUGACCCAACCAAACAAGGCUCGAUCUCAGUCCAUCCCACUUUAGAGCCCUCACUUGAGUCACAAGCUCGCGUUACCAAGCUCGGCGAUAAACGAAGUCCAUUUGAUGUAUAAAUAAUCGGAAAAACUUUCUCCUCCAAGCGAUGUGGGAUGCGAAACGAAAUAUUUUCAUCUUCAUUCUCUCUUUAUCUCUGUCAAAUACUGUGAUUACUGAUUACUGACUACUUAAACACCCAUGCAACGGAUUUCAAGUAUUUUUUUCAAUCCAUGGAUUUAGAACUGUAAACUGAAAAAAGAGAUUGUGGAAUAGUUUUGGAAACUGGAAUUUGUUUACAAGUUUUUCGUGAGGUGUAAGUGAUAAGAUAUGAUAUUUGAGUAAUUGGAAUCAUUCUCUCGAAGAUUCAAGUAUCAAGUAUGAAACUUAGACAAUAUAUAUACCUGUUUUCUUCUCUUUUUUCUGUCUACGAACCGAAUCCAACAUGAUUUCUCUACAAAAUCCGUGUCUUAAUCCUAAUUAACACUCACUAACCGGUUACCCCUCCAGAUGUUGCAGAAAUUUUCUUGAAUUAUCUCUUUUGUUUUUCACAAUUCAAUGUCGGUUGCUCCCUUUCUCUCUGAUUCAAGUAUUCAACCACCGCCAAAGACUUGAGAAAGUGGAGGAGUUUAUCAAUUAAAUGAGUUUAUAUGCUUUCCAACUUUUCGUAAAUUGCAAGUUACUCCCCGUACCUUUCGAAAAUCUUCCUUUAACAAUUGUGGAAAGUUGUUGAAAUUUGAAAAUAAAAUAAAAAUUAUAGUCAAGGGGAUCGUUUUAAAGGUUUCCAGGAGAUACUUUUGUUGAUAUAUUUUUGAAUAAAAAGUUAAUUAUAUAAUAGAUUUUUACCAAAUAAUGUGGAUAGCUAAAAAUGUGAUUAUGGUUUAAAAAAGAAAUCUAAUAAAUAAAGAUUAAAUAAAGAAGUUAUGUUUUAAUAUAACUAAAUUAAUGAUGGUAUUGUGUUUGAUGAAAGGACUAAAACUGAACAAAGAAAAAAUAUUUGUGUUUCACUCACAGAUACUAGCAAUUGAUGGGUCUUAAAUGAAAAGGAGUUGGAUAAGGAAUAAAAACCUUGUAGACGUUCACACUUUUCUCUUUUGAUCAAAAUCUUAUUUAUAAAUUUCAAAAUUUGAUUCAAACCUGUUGUAUAAUUUUAAAUAAUUAAACUCAUAAUUAAAAUUAUACUCUUAUCCAUAAGUUAAUAGAUAUCUUGACUCAUUUAUAGUAUUAUAGAUUACAAGAUUGUUGUGCACGUCACAAAGUAUCAUCCAUAAUAUAUAACAUGAUAUUUUACUUAAUACUAAAUAUACGACAAUUCAAAAAUCAUAUUUUACUAAAUACUUACGAUAACAUUUUUUUUUAAAUGGAUGUCUAUUAUAACAAAUAUGCAUGAGACAACGUAGUCGUCAAGAUAAAUCAUAAACAAAAUAAAUGUCUACUGUAGAAAACAUAUGUUUAACAUAUAUCAAUUGCACUUAGAAAAUAUUUACACUCUCAUAGUAUGCGUUCGAUAGGGAGAAAGCAUCAUAAUCAAUUGGUGAUUUUUUUGGUUGACGUGGUUAUGUGUUUGAUUAGAGAAGAAAGCAAAUAGUAUGAUGUCGAUUGAGGAUUUCUUGAGUUACAAAUAGGGUUAAUGUCAUAAAAAUUCUCAAGCUUUCAGGGUUUUGUCGGUUUUGCCCAAAGUUUAAUUUUAUGUCCGUUUUUACCCUAACAUUUUCCAAAAAAUGUUCGUUUUUACCCUUUUACCGGUGAUAACAGGUUACCAUUAUAUUAGUUUCGCAAAAAAACCCUUAAGUUUAUAGUUUUUUACGUUUUUACCUGUAAGUUUAUAUUUCUUUUACACUUUUACCCUUUGUAUUUUUUUUUUUCAUAUUAUAUGUAUUCAUAAAGAAAAAAUAUAUUUAUAUACGAAAUUUUUUUAAUUAAAUAUUGUAUUUACAUUUUUAUAAUGUUAUUUCUUCAUAUAUAUAUAUAUAUNNUAUAUAUAUAUCAAUAAAAAACAUAAUGAAUCAUAAACAUGUUUAUAUAAGUAUAUACAUAUAUUUUUAGAAGUGUAAAUAUGUAUUUUGAUAUAUGUUUUUUUUUAAGUAUAAAUAUAUUUUUAGAAGUAUAUAUACAUAUUUAUAUAUAAAAAUGUAAAAAUAUGUAUUUAUACUUUUAAAAACUAUAUCUAUAAAACACGUAUUCAUAAUCUUGUAAAAAAAUGUGUGUUAGGAUCUUUUGAUCGCAUUCCGAUCUUAUGAUCACAAUCUUGUAAAAUACAAAAAUAAUCGUAUGUAAGAUUUCAAUUUUGACAAUCUUUAUUUGAAGGAAUAUUAAAAUCAUAAAAUUAUGUUAAUGUGUAACUUGGAACUUGGUGACCCGACCCAAAACAAAGUCAAGAAACCCGACAUCAAAUAUCGAUGGGAUAAAUGUUUGGAAUAAGCUUAGGGUCGAUAGGCCCUAAGUCGUUGGUAAUAGAAGAAUUUUUCAGUUUCCGGCUCCCUACCUAUGAAGUAUGUCAUAUCGACCAAAUCAUAUUAAAUCUAUGUGUCAUUUUAUUGUUGCUUUUUUGCAUAACAAAUUGAAUACUUAAUCUCACAAAAUCAAAAACCUAACUUGAAUAUGAUCAUUGUCGUUGAUACAAUAAAAAUAUAAACCAACAAAACCUUGGAAUUCGGAUUGAAUCCACAUGGAGUUCGUAGUUAAAUUAUGUGUUUGAAAGAUUCAAUUAGCUAACCAAAGAUGCAAGAAAACUAAUCACUUUUGGAACAAUCAAAUUUGAAAUCCAAAGGACAAAAAUGUGCCAAUCAUAAAUUAGGAAUUUAGAAAACCAAAAGUGUAUUGCAAUCAAUUUCUAAAUUGAAUGACCAAAAAUAAUGACCAAAUCUCGCAUUAACUAAACAUUUGAAUGUAGUUAUUUAAUUUUUAUUGUAGCAUAGAUACAUAGACAUGAUCAAUAAAUCUUCUUAUUCUAAUAAAUGAAUAAGUUUAUUCUCAUGUUGACAAGUCUUCUCUAAUAAAUGAAGGUUUUUUGUCAUUUGUUACAUUCUCAUUCAAAUUGUUAAAUGUCAUUUUGUGGUUAUUUUGAAUUAAUUUUUUUCCCACAUAUCAUUUUAUGAGUUUUUCUAUUUUAUUAAAUUCCACAUAAUAUUUUAACAUAAUAGUUGUAAUAAAUGUAGUAAUAAACGGAUAUUAAUUUCACUAAUAAACUUACCUUUUAAUUUCAAAAUUCCCAAAAUUAAAGUUCAUUCGUUUCUUUUCUUUAUUUAAAUUAUGUGUUUAAAUUUAAAAGAUAAAAUACAUUUCCAUUAUAAUAAAUCAUUAUUUUUCUUAUUUUCUUAUAAAUUCAAAGUUCUCAAAUAUUUUGACAUUUAUAUUUAACAUUUUUUUUAAAUAAAUUCAUAUAAUACAUGGGUCUCGCAACUAGUGGCAUACUGUUAGAAAUCUUCAUUAAUAUUAUAUGUCAUCUAUCAUGCCACAUGUCAACCUAUUAAUUCUCCAUUUUAAAUUUUAAAAUUUAAAUUUUCCACUCUAAUUACAUUAAAUUAGAUUAUUUAUUUCAAAUUUUAAAUUUCACAUUCUAAUUACACUAAAUUAAUAACAUUAGAAUAAAAAAUAAAAUAAAAUUAAUAUAUAUUAUAAGGUGAUAUAAUUUAAUGUAUUUAUUUAAAUCAACGAUUAUAAUUUAUAUAACUAAAAAAAUAUCUCUUAAUUAAUAAUUUAUUUGAAGUAAUUGAUUAAUAAUUUUAAAUUUACUAUGUUUAUAUUAAUUUUAUAAUUAUAAUUCUCGCAGAUUAUAAACUAGUUAGUAGAAUAAAAUGACAAACUUUAGGCAUAACCCUUGAUAUGGCCGUAAAAUAGUGUUAACUCCAAAUCUAGGUGGAGCUCGGCACGAUAUAUCACAAUAAUAUUAACUUCAAACAAUUUAAAAAUAAAACUUAUGCAUAAAGUACGAGAAUAAAUUGUUGGGUUACAAAUAAAAUAUUGAAAGAGAAGAGGUUAAAAAUGGCCAACUAAAUGUGUUUGACCAUAUUUAGGGAGGAAGGAGUUGUUUCCCUCCUCCUGCCGAAACCGCUAAACCUUAGUCGGAGGGUAUCGAACCCAUCCAACCCCAAAACCACCGACCCCAUCUUCUUCAACUUUCCAACUUUGAGUUGUCUCCCCAGUGGGUUUCUCAAACCGUUAAACCCCUCUCUUUCUCUCUUGCUUUCAUCCCUUUCCUCCUCUAACCCGCUAUGACUCCUUCAUCCCUUAGUCACUCAACUUAUUUUUGUCUACUAAGAUAAGAAACUUUUCAAAAUCAUCAACUUUUAUCCAUUCAACUUAUUUUGUCAAUUUUUAGGUAAUGAUUUUAACUCAUUGCUCGCCUUUGUGCUUCUAAGAUGAAGUAUCUUGCAUAUUUUGGAGAAAGCAAAUAAGAAUAAAGUAUGUUGCUAAAUCUGGUCCCAAUAAACAAAUAUUUACUCAUAACAAUCUCACACAUAAGAAUUAUGUUAUCAUUAAAAGAUGAAUACGAAUGUUUUGUACUUAGCCUUUGCCAAGUUAUAUAACUUAAUUAAUUAAUUUAUAAGUCCAGACUUUACAAAGAAAAAUCAAGUGAAGUUAAUAAACACAAACUUAAGCAUCAUCAUUGGGUUGAUGCUCUUUUGGGUGUCUCGUCAAAGCUUGAUUAGUAAUGAUUGGAUCUCAUUCAUUAUUCACAUGUCAUCUUGAAACAAAGCUUUGUAAACAGAAUUAGAACCACCACCCCGUUCAUCUUUCUUGUCUCCUCCGCCGCCUAUCAUCGGAGUCUCACAAACCACGCUAUAACCAGCCCUCCGUUGUUUCUUCCUUUUGGAUUCUUUAUUAGAUACGGGUCUAACCUUGGUUGUUUGUAAUGGCUUCGGAGCCCAAACCCUCUGCAAAUCGGGCAUUCGGCCUGUGAAUACGAACCUUUUAGCCCUCUCUCUCCUCUCACGAGCCUCAAUUAACUUUUGUUCAUCAUCCUUUUCUGUCUCUCCUAAAUCCAAGUUGUCAAGCGGAGGAUGCGAUGGUUCGUCUUCUAAAAACAAUGAAUCGUGAAUCAUCAUCUUAUUAGCAGCAGCCAUCUCGUGACUGCUAUCCUCGCUGUUCAACAUCAUACCCUGAUCUUCGUUUUCUUCACCAAAUGGUAACAGGUCCAUUUCAUCGUAGAUCUUCUUCACCACGUCUUCCAGAUUCUGUGAAUACCUGAAAAUUGAAUUUAUCAUAAGCAAAUUAUCAAACAGUUGGUGUGCAACUGAGAAAUGGCUAGAAUUUGGAUACAAAAACUGUGGAAACUAUCAAAUAAUCAAACAAAUAAACGAAGUACCUGGUUUUUAUGGUUUUCUCGACGUACGCAUAAAGACUGAUAUCACCAUGAAAGCCUCCUUCCACAAGGUAUUGGAAGAUCUCCAAUAGCGAACAAAUCUGUUUCACAAGCUUCGUCUUCAAACUCCCCUUCAUACUCCCUGCAUAUUCGGACUGAAGUAUCUCCAUCCGGAGCAAAAUUUGUAAUUCGUAUCUUUAAGUUUAUUAAGGAAAAGAUUAGACCAAAUAAAGAUAUAUUACCAAUUUACCAAGAAUAUGUAAAAGAAAUAAAAAGAAUAAAAGGAUACUCUUUGACUAGGUAUUUUGAGGUAGAACUUGGAUCAUUAUCUUUAUGUUCCUUCAAAUCUUUGGGCUCUGUUAGUAGUAACUGUAUGAUUUCAGCAACUUGAGUAGAACAAGAUUCAUCAAGAUUUUCCAUCUUUUUCUGCUUUUGAGAUAACCAAUAAAUGGACGAGUUUACAAAACUCUCUGCCAUGAUCUUCAAGUCCACACCAUCAGAUUCAAGCCCCUGUUGAAUUCUCUUAGGCAAACUACUGAAAAAAGCUUCUGGAGUUUCUGAACAAGAUUCAAAAUCAGCAUCCCCAUGGAUUCUUGACUGUUGAGAACUAAUAGCCAUUGUAAGAGGUCCAUCGCUUUCUUGAUGGCUUGCAGAAAUAUCUUCAUUUACAUCUGUUUCUUUUUGCUGAAUUGAAUCUGGAGCCAUUUUGCAUGAUCUAUCUAGUAUGUUAUUGGAAGAUAAGCUCUUGUUUUUCACUUCUGUCAUCCAGCAUUUCAGAAACUUCAACUUCUUUGACUUUUUCAAGCCAUUGGCAAAAUAAACCUCUGUUAAGUCCACAUCUAAAAACUCAUAUGCAGCCUUGCAGAAUGCACUCCAUGUAAGGUCCCGAUGUGUGUGUUUUUUAAUCUUUCUUCUCUUUCCACCAGCUAAAUGAACAUAUUUUCCAGAUGGGGAAGUACCCUUUUGAGAAUCAAAGUCACCUUGAGAAAGUUUAUUCUCUAUCAAGAGGUUUGAUCCACCAUCUUUUUGAACAAGAGCAUUGUUAUGAUCUAAGAACAAGAGAACAGCUGAAUGAACUGUGAAGGGCUUGAGAAUCCCUGUGUGAGAAUCCCCAUUGUUAUUUGAUAUAGAUAACAAAGCCCAGUAACCCUUGCUAUAAAGAAAACUAAGUAAAAUCUGCCAUGUUGGAACCGAAUGCUUCUCAAAGAACUCAGAUUUUUCACUGGCUAAUUGUCCAAGAACCUUAUCAGCCAAAAAAAUGUCUAAACCAUCUUUCUCCUUUUUGGCAGAUUUUGCAGAUUGAACUAAAAAAUGAUCUGAAGAAAAUUCUUCAAGUUUUUCACACACAGUGUACUUGUGAACAGAUGUGAUGUGCAACUUCAUAAUUCCAUUGUUUAAAUUACCCAAAAAUGUGCUCACAGAGUUGACAACUUCAUCUUUUGAGCUAGGCUUUGAUGAUGCCUUUAGAUGCAGCACAUUAAGAUCACAGCAUUUCCACUCUAUGGGCUUACCAUGGACAUCCAAAAUCUCGAGACCUAAUUGCCCACGGAUCCUUUUAUCUAAUUUAGGAGAAUCUAGCAACUUAGAUGAGAUCCCAAUAACUGGAUAUAUCAACCCGAAAGAAACAAGCGCAGAACCUAGAACAAUGGAAUCCGCAGAGCAAAAUCCCCAACCAAAUUUCCUAAUUUCAUUUCCAAUAAUAGCAGAGUGCUUCUCGGAUUUAUUGUUUUUGCCUUCUUCUUCUUCGUGGCUAUGAAUGUCAACCCAACAGAAAUGUAUGUCCUUACUAUUAAAUGCAUCAUUAACAGCACCAAAACAAUCACGAAACCUAGCACCAUAAAUAUCUAAAUUCCUCAAGCAAUCAUUAUCGACAUCCACAGACACAAAAUCAGCUAAGGAUUUCAACGAUCUACAAACUGGCGACAACAAAAUAACCAAAUUUGAUCGGACAUCGAUGGGAUCAGAAUGAAUUUUACCUGGAAGAUUCUCAAUAUCGAACUCCCAGCCAUAGUCGCGAGCGAGCUGAAGCAAAGAGCUGGCUAUAUGUGAAGCGUUUGAAGGGGAAUACGUCAAUUUGGUAGAAGAGAUGGAAUUAAGGGUGUGGGAGAGAGAAUCUAGGGUUUGCGAAGGAGAAUUGAAGGAUACAGAAGCAGAAGAAUAACUGGGAAGUAGAUUGCGGAGCGUAGAGACGGAAUCGAGAGAGGAGAGAGAAGAGAAGAAGAGCUUGAAGGAGAAAAGAGAAGAUGAAAGAGGAGGGAAAGAUAAAAGAAUAUUGGAGGUAGCAAGAAUGGAGGUGAGGUAAUUAGGGUUAGGAAAUUGGGAUAGAAAUGGAUUGAGGUCUACGAGAAGAACUAUACGCUGUGUUUUUGAGAAAUCAAUGGCGUCCGCCAUUCAAGCUUGAUAUUUUAAGACUUUCGGGGAGAGCACAGAGAUACGGGGUUCUCGCUGUAGAAGUAGAAGAGCAGAUAUGCUUAUUGCAGAUCCAGGAUGCUAACUUGCGCCGCACCAACGUGGAGAGAGAGGAUAGAGACCGGGACAAUAUGGGCGGCAAUGUAGCAAUGGCGGGAGAAUUAUAUGAGUUUAAAAGUCAUGACCGGUUUAUACAAAUAUAAUUAAAAAAACGACGUAUCAUAAUUGUUAAAGUAAAUGAAAAAAACAAUUAAAAAAAAACAUUGUUAGACGAGAAUAUACUUAUUGAAUAACAUAUAUGUUCAAGAUGAAACUUAAUCCAUUAACCUCAUGGAAGAAUGACAUUUCAUUAUACUGAUAGGUUAAAAACUUGUUGGUUUUUGACUUUCAAUUGUUUAGAUGUAUGUUUGUGAUUCGGUUUCUUAUUUAAGUGUGACAAAACUAUAACCAUCAACUUUUCGUUAAAACGAUUAUCUUACAAAAUAAACUUCACUACACAUAUCCUACACUACACUCUUUAUUCAAUAUUGUUUUAUCCUAACAGUAAGCAAGAACUUGGAACCCUAACUAAGAGUUCUAAGAAAACAAAGAGCAUCAAAUAAUCUAAAGGGCGUAUUAUGUGAUAAUGACAUAAAACCUAACUCUCUCCAUUUAUAUAUAGCGUACAGGAAUAUAAUAUACACCUCAUUAUACAAGUUUGAACACAAGUGUGUCAUUUAAGAGCAUACAAAUGUCAUAGUACAAGUUCCAAAGCCAUUAGUGCAUUUAAUUAAAGCUCCACACGUACAAACAUCCAAGCUCCCACAUAAUAAUCCUUUAAAGCUUCAUCUCUACUUUGAUAAUAAUACCAACAGUCUGUAACAUCUUAAAAUUUAAGACUUUGUUAUUAAAUAAAUAAAGUGAAUAAAAGAGAGAUGAUGUAUAUAGUUAGAGCAUUAAGGAGUAAGCAUAUCAUUGGUUGAUAUGAAGUUUGGAAGAUUAGAAGUGAAAAUUAUAACAUCUUAAAAGUUAAAGGAUUAUUGUGACAGUCGGGUGAAACUUAGGUUUGACUAGAGAUUUGACCAGCUUAAAUAACUUGGAUUAAGUUGUGAAGAUUAUGAUGUUGAGGGGUCAUUUUGGAAGUUCAUUGAAGCUUCUAAGUUAGUUUGGAGUUAUUUUGAAAGAGGUUUUGAAAGGAGGGACCGAAAGUGGCAAGUUGAUAAAGUUCAAAAUUAGUUAAUGGGUCUUCGCUCCCAUUUGCUUAAAAAACAACGCGGUUGAGAGAAAGAGAGAGGUAAAUGGCGAUUUCUAUUAAGCAAAGGAAGAUUUAGAGUGGUCGUUGAGUAAUCAAGCUAGAAAUUGAAGAUAUAAAGCAACAUCAAGCUUAAGAGGUAUAAUUUCUUAUCCUCUAACUCUAUACUUCGAAUUCAAGGUUUGGGGAAAACCUCGAUGUCGAAAUUAGUUUGAUUCUUUGAUUAGGGUUUUGGUUUCUAACCUCUCUUGAGUUGUUUUGAUGAUCUCAAUCUCAAUCUCAAUCAAAUCAUCAUAUUGAUGGGUUUGAGGAUUUUAAUGAAACCCCUCAUGAACCCUAGAAAUUCAAAUUAUGGAUUUCAUGUUUAUAUGUUAGAUUGUAAUGGAUUCAAUGACCUAUAUGCUUUUUGAUGUCAAUAAACCCAAUUGGAAUGCUCAAUCACAUCCAUGAUGGUAGAAUCAAAGUAUGAGCGUGAAUUUUAGGUGAUUUUAGGGAAAUUGUGGUGAAAACAACAUAAUUAUUUAUAUAUGAGCAUUUGAUGAGUACAUGAUACUCAUAAACAUGAAAUGAUACUAAUAAUAUGAUUUAAAUGCACGAACAUGAAGGCUUGGGUGAUCUAUAGUUGAAUUUAUGGAAUAAUUGGCCAAAAGGGCCUUUUAGGAAAUGUAUUGACAAACAUAUAAUGAUUGACAAAUAAUAAGUGAAUGGCAUUCAUGAACAUGAAUUAACACUCUAGAUAUGUUAUUGGAACAUUAUGUAAUAUCCCAAAAUUUAAGACUAAAAAAUUUCUUUUAAUAAAACAUUUCUUUAAGCAAAUUCAUCAUUCCAAAACAUGAAUAGAGUAUUAAUUUCCAAAAUACUUGUUCGUUAUCGGAGUAAACAUUCCUAGGCUAUCUAAUCUGUGGUGUGUGUGCCAUGCGAUCACCCCGAGCUCUUCCCUCCGCUACCGGAAGUACCCGAAACCAAAACUGAAAACCGUAAGCACGAAGCUUAGUGAGUUCCCCACCCUACCACAUACCAUACAUUCACAUAUCAUACACACUGUCGGGCAAUUAUGGGGUGCCCGACCUACCCGGNNNNNNNNNNNNNNNNNNNNNNNNNNNNNNNNNNNNNNNNNNNNNNNNNNNNNNNNNNNNNNNNNNNNNNNNNNNNNNNNNNNNNNNNNNNNNNNNNNNNNNNNNNNNNNNNNNNNNNNNNNNNNNNNNNNNNNNNNNNNNNNNNNNNNNNNNNNNNNNNNNNNNNNNNNNNNNNNNNNNNNNNNNNNNNNNNNNNNNNNNNNNNNNNNNNNNNNNNNNNNNNNNNNNNNNNNNNNNNNNNNNNNNNNNNNNNNNNNNNNNNNNNNNNNNNNNNNNNNNNNNNNNNNNNNNNNNNNNNNNNNNNNNNNNNNNNNNNNNNNNNNNNNNNNNNNNNNNNNNNNNNNNNNNNNNNNNNNNNNNNNNNNNNNNNNNNNNNNNNNNNNNNNNNNNNNNNNNNNNNNNNNNNNNNNNNNNNNNNNNNNNNNNNNNNNNNNNNNNNNNNNNNNNNNNNNNNNNNNNNNNNNNNNNNNNNNNNNNNNNNNNNNNNNNNNNNNNNNNNNNNNNNNNNNNNNNNNNNNNNNNNNNNNNNNNNNNNNNNNNNNNNNNNNNNNNNNNNNNNNNNNNNNNNNNNNNNNNNNNAUAAACCAUUCCUUGGGCACCCGCCCUCUAUCAUUGGACCUCGUCCCGAAUAUCAUACUAGCAUACUGUGCUUAGGGCUAACCCCCGGGUCUUCUACUCAUAACUACAUGGGCCGGCAUUGUGGCCGUAGACCCAUUCAUACAAAGGGAAACUCACCUACAUUGGCUGAACUGGCUGAUGAACCCACUAGCUGCUACCCGACAACUCUCUGAAUUCCUGCUCCACUCGCUCCUUGAGCUGCCAAAAUCAAUGCAACAUUGAGUCUAACUGACUCCCGAAAGACAACCAAGUCAAAUCUGGUCUAAGUCAGAGUCCAGGUCAAAGUCAACCUCCCAGGUCAACCCUACUCGUCGAGUCUUCCUACUGACUCGCCGAGUUCAUGCGCUCAAAGUCCUUCCAAUCGCGACUUGAUUCGCCGAGUCAGUCCAUGACUCGUCGAGUCCAACGAUUUUUGAGUCCUGACCUGUCCAACUCACCGAGUCUCCACUCGACUCACUAAUUCGAGUCUUAACUCGAAGGGUUUGGGGUUUCGCGACCUGACUCGCCGAGUCCAAGAACAGACUCGCCGAGUCCAAGGCAAUCUUCAACCAACUCGCCGAGUUGUUCUUCAAACUCGCCGAGUUCCUGCCCAACUUCAUCUGACUCGAUGAGUUGUUCAUCCCACUCGUCGAGUUCCUCCAAAUCUUCAUGCCACUCGUCGAGUCCACUCAAAGGACUCGCCAAGUCCAUUCAGACCUCCAUACAUGCAGAGGACUUUUGAGUCAUGCAUGGACUCCAAACUGUAGAUCUACCCUUCCCAAGCCUAUUCCUCACGUAAAGUUGCAAACUUUACGUGUAGAGAAGGAGAUCUAGGCAAAAUACACCAUAAACUAGGGUUUAAGGCAAGGAGGCUCCAUAAUCANNNNNNNNNNNNNNNNNNNNNNNNNNNNNNNNNNNNNNNNNNNNNNNNNNNNNNNNNNNNNNNNNNNNNNNNNNNNNNNNNNNNNNNNNNNNNNNNNNNNNNNNNNNNNNNNNNNNNNNNNNNNNNNNNNNNNNNNNNNNNNNNNNNNNNNNNNNNNNNNNNNNNNNNNNNNNNNNNNNNNNNNNNNNNNNNNNNNNNNNNNNNNNNNNNNNNNNNNNNNNNNNNNNNNNNNNNNNNNNNNNNNNNNNNNNNNNNNNNNNNNNNNNNNNNNNNNNNNNNNNNNNNNNNNNNNNNNNNNNNNNNNNNNNNNNNNNNNNNNNNNNNNNNNNNNNNNNNNNNNNNNNNNNNNNNNNNNNNNNNNNNNNNNNNNNNNNNNNNNNNNNNNNNNNNNNNNNNNNNNNNNNNNNNNNNNNNNNNNNNNNNNNNNNNNNNNNNNNNNNNNNNNNNNNNNNNNNNNNNNNNNNNNNNNNNNNNNNNNNNNNNNNNNNNNNNNNNNNNNNNNNNNNNNNNNNNNNNNNNNNNNNNNNNNNNNNNNNNNNNNNNNNNNNNNNNNNNNNNNNNNNNNNNNNNNNNNNNNNAAUAAUAGACUCGGUUCACCCUGACCCUGAACAUCCUGGAAACACAACUUACUUACCGACAAUCCUUCUGGUACUCACCGAGUACUGCACUGAACCUAUAGGGGUUCACCCCUUCUUUCCUUGCACAAUUCCUUGCCUUCCCAAGGCAAAGCUCCAUAACCAACUAUUCCUUCUGUCACUGUGAAGGCCCUAUCCUUCACCAACUCCAUCACCCCCGCUAUUUCCAGUACGGGUCAUAUCCGUCAGUAACCACUGACACCUCCUCUCUGCCAAAACUUGGUGCCGAGCACCCCUCGAUUCAAGUAACUGAAUUCCACCAUACGCUGCUUACCCGCAAUACCACUGACUGAAAAUUCUGCUAUUCCUUGUCUGCCUUCCGGAUGAACUGAGACCACCCUGGUCCCUACCAACCUAUCAAUGACUGGAUUACCGGCUCCCACCGGUAGUUGACCCAACACAACUACUAGUCGCUCCCAGGGACUUCCGAAGAAACUUCGACCACCUAUAACUGCUCAAUCUAUUCUGCUAUUCAGGCACUACAAACAUGGGAUCCCCGAUCCCCUAACUUGACACUAAGGUCCCUACCAGAUCCCACCUGCGCUGCUAAGACCCACGGGCCUCGCCCACGGGUCCCACCCGUCUCUAUCCUUCUAGUCCCACUAGUCUAAUCACUCUCGCUCGGGCCUCGCCCACGGGUCUCACCCCAACCAUAUCCUGGAGCAGCCUCUCCCAAGGUCUCACCUCUCUAGAGCUAAAUAGGCAAACUCCCUAUCAUUCUCAUCCACUACCCAUUCCUGAUCCCUGACCGAUCACUAGGAGGUAAGGGCCUCGCUCCAACUCCGCUAUCGAAGCUACUAAGGAAUGCUAUGGCUGCCCCGUAGUCUGACAACACUUCCGCCACUAACUGCUAAUACGAAGGCACCCAUGUGCCAUUAGCUCUCAAGAUCCUCAUUCUGACUCCCUCGAGUCCUACGGGCGAUCCACAACCUGAAUUCCCAACCACGUACUAACCAUUACCAUCACACGCACUAGUUGUUGGGGAGUUUCUCAAACUCCCAACCCUGAAAUCCUCAAUCCAUCAAAUGCUGAACUACCUCUUUUCCUUCUCGGAGGUUGCACCCUCAUUCUGGAUCUGCGUGCUCCUACCUUUUCACACUCGGAGGAUUCUCCCCCACUUCGAUCCUGCUUACCCCUUGUUGCUCAAUACUCAAAAGAAAUCCUUGCUACCAUUUCAUAAUCAAUCUGCUGAGGGACCCGUGCUUACCAUAGCUAGGGAUCUAACCAAUCCAUUUCUAACACUAUACAACUCCGAUCUUUUCAAUACUCAAAAGAAAUUCUUUUUAAAUGCUUUUAAAAAGAAUGUCUUGAAGGCAAAAACGUUUUUGAAAGUAAAGAAUGUUUUGGAAGAACAAAUGUUUUGAUAUGUGAAAUGUAUCUUUUCAAAGUAUAUUUUUCUAGUAACAUAUGCUAUUGAAAAUUAUGAUAUGUGUAUUGAUAAUGGGGAAUAUGAAAGCUAAAAAAAAAAAGUAAAAAGACACAAUGAAAACUACUCGGACCAUGAUACCUCAUAAGAGGCACUAGAGAAAUCUAUCGGGAUGACACCUCCCUCUUGCGAGAUAGAUGUCCUAAUUGAUAUGAUGCCUUGAUAAAUUGAGUUGCUCUUUCCACAUUAGUCUAGACUUGGGAGUGGUUCCUUUAUUGGGCGUAGACCCUAAGUAUAAAAAUGACAAUGAUUUAAUACCAUAAUUAGUCGUUAAUUAAAUAAUUGAAUGUAAUGUGUGUAACAUCGAAAAUUUCAAAAUAAUUUUUCAUUUAAAAAUAAUCGUUUAAUUCUUAAAAAAAACACUUUGCUUAAAAUCUCAUUCAUAAUCGAAUUACAAAACAUGACUCCAUUUCCACUUGCAUAAUAAACCAGGAUCCUCAAAACAUGACUCUUUCUCUGGUGUGUACAAUCGAGCCGGUGCCGUCCCGUGAUCCUGAGAGAAACCUGAAACACAUAACACAAAACACUGUAAGCACGAAGCUUAGUGAGUUCCCCAAAAUACCAUAUAUAACACAUAUUAGCCACUCGAGGCUAUAACUCUGUGGGUCCGUGCACCCAACUCUGUGAACCCUCAGGCUCUAUCUCUGUGAACCUUCCGGUUCUAACUUUGGGAACCUUCCGGUUCUAACUCUGUAAACAUGCACAUCAUAAAUCACAUAGAAAUAAUGCAGUACAACACAUAAGAUACAUAGCAUACAAAUACUCUGUCACAUAACUCUGGUUACCUAUUCAAGGUAAGGUAUAGUAAGAAGACUCACCUCGCGUAUCUCGGCAACUCAUAAAUCCCGAAAAUCACUAGUGCUCGAUCUCCCGAGUUAUAGUCCUCCUAUAACACAAGUAUAUCUCUAAUUAACACUAUCCCAACUAUGGUUGACUAAUUCUACCAAGUCAACACCAGUCAACUCUGGUCAAUGGUCAACGGUCAACCCAACUCGCCGAGUCUGGCGUGGACUCGCCGAGUCCCUACGGGGACCCGAUUCCUCUGAAUCCCUUCCGACUCACUGAGUCACUCACCCAACUCGGUUACUCAACCCCUGGUUCGAAAACACAGAACAACUCGCUCCAACUCGUCGAGUCUGCCAAUGGACUCGACGAGUGCAUUCCAUGCACAACCCCAAACGACCUUCUGAGGUCAGAUCUGUUCCACUAACUCAUAGAUCCAGUCUUUCCAAGCUCAUUUAUCACGUAAAGUUUAUGUCUUGGCGCUCAUAUCACACCUAUUGACUCAUAAGUGGUGUUUUAACCUCAAACACAAUGAUCCCAAACCAAAACCUCCAUAGACUCAUAUAAAGCUUGGAUAAAGAGGCACUCUAGACCUCCAUGGGUCCAGAUCCAGAACCUAAUUCGCUUAAGGGACCAUGGGAGCACUAGAUCUAGUCACAAAAGGGCUCAAUAAGCCCUAAAUCAACAUGAACAUCACCACAACAUAAAAUGGUUCGAAAAUAGUACCUCAAACGUGAUGUUCUGGACCUCAGAUCUUCAGGAAGUUAACCCUCUUGCUUCCUCUUGGCUAUAGCUUCCUUUCCCUUGCUAGACAACACCUCCAAGGUCGACAAUGGCUCCUUCUCUCACUCUGAACGCUCAAGCUCACUAGGGUUUCGCUCUGGGGGCUGGUGAGCACAAAUGACGGCCAUAAGACCCCUUUAAAUAGGUCCCAGACCUGAGAAAUUAGGGUUUCAUUAAACAGCACGGACUCGCCGAGUCCACCAAUGCGACUUGGCGAGUCCGGUCAUUAAUCCGGGUGAGAAAUCGCGUCUCUACUCGGCGAGUCUACGCACCAACUCGCCGAGUUCUUCCACAAAACUUGAAAUAAAAAGAAUAGAUAUAAUACCUGAAAUUUCGGAUGUUACAAUGUGAAAUGAAAUGCCUUUUGAAUUAUGUUAAGUCCAAUAAAAUGUUUUGAUAUGGAAUAGAAUAUGGAAAAUGUCUUAUGAAAUGAUAUAAUAUGAUAUGUUAUGUUAUGUAUGAGACAAUUUACAUGAAAAUACUUUGAAAUAUUUUUGAUAAAAAUAUGAUAAACGUUUUGGGUCGCAAACCCACGUAUCUCAUGAGAUAUUAUUGUUAAGUAUCUUUUUUUAAUGUCGUAUAUCAAAGGUUGCACUUAAGGAGAAAAUAUGAUAUAUGAAAGUUAUAAGUAAAGAGAUAGAGAAUGGUGUGGAACUUGUUAAGUUCCUUAUUUAUUGUAUUGAUGUUAUCCUUAUUUGCUUGCUAUUGUUUUAUUGAUGUUUAAUAGUAUCACACAAUGUUUUAACUGUAAAUGCUUUUAUGGUACCGAGUUUUUAUUAAAUGCGGGUUAAUUCUUGAAAAGAUUUUAUAACCAUAACUUUGAAACAGUUUGAAAAUUUUGGGGUGUUACAAUUUGGUAUUAGAGACAUAGUUUAAGUGAAUUAGGGGUUGUUUGGCAGGAUCAAAAUUUUAAGAGGUAUGAAUUCUAAAAAUGUCUGAAUUUUUAAGAUCCGAAUUUUAACAUGUUGUUUGGUUGGAACCUCUGAAUUAUUGUGUUGAAUGAUGAAAAUGAUCAUUUUAACCUUCUCUAUUAUUAGUUUUUUGCUAAAUUUAAUGCUUCCAUUUUAAAAAAUAACUAAACCAAAUCCUCGAAUAAUUACAAAACAAUUAAACACCAUACAAAAAACUAGACGGUGCAAAAACUUAUAUAAGGUUCAACAUCUAAGAUUUAAAGUAUCGAAUAACAAAUAUCUUUCUACUCAAACAUGACACCAAAAAAUUUCUUCAUACAAUACAUCAUACUUCUCAACUUCAACCAUUUUACACACAACGAACGUCCUUUAUUGAUAAACAAAAACCUUAAUAAUCUACCGGUUUUGAAUUUGAUUUUUUGAUUCAAUGAUAUGAAUGCUUAAGCAUCAUAUAAAGAUUGACAAAUGUUUGUUAAAUUUCAUAACAUUCAAACAUAAAAUAGUUACAAUUUUGGACAAAAAUAAUGAAAAAUGUUGUUAACAUAAAGGAAAAAACCCACACACAACAAGUGAAAGUUGAUCAAUUCCUUGCAAAUCCCUGUUGCUUGGGGUGGUUUCUAAACAACUUGCACAAAGCAUGUCCUGAUAAUCAUAAAAAUGCACAUAAUACACAUGAAUUCAUAAUAUAUCCAAAUCAGUAACUGUGAAACUCUAAUUUAAUUAUGAAAUGGAGUCAAACAUAAGUAUGUUACUCGAAAAGAAACAAAUAAAGAGUAAAGACAUCCAACAAUCAAUACUAUACUUAAUCCUACCGGUAGAUCAUCCAAUUCAAACUUCAUGAACUUUUUUGCAAAAUCAACAAAUAAUUUCAUCAAAUCUGGAGGAUAAUUUCAAAUUUUUUGCACUAGAACAUAAUUCGGCCCAGUGAAAAAAAAUUCAACAAAAUCAACACAAAUUCCUUAACACCAUAACAUAACUCCAUCAAAUAAUUUUAGCGAUUCAGCAAAAUCAGCACGAAUAAUAGCCUGAUUUUAACCAGAAAUCGGCGAUUCAGCGUAUUUGGGGGAGAGAGAAAAAAGUAAAACUGAAGAACGGUACAUACCUAAAGCGACUUAUUCUGCCCUUCGACCUCCUUCUCUAUUUGUGUUCCUGUUUCUACCGUACACCAAAGAUCAAGUAGGAGUCAGUUUUCUCCCAUGCUCAAUUGAUGGUGGCCGGAUUUGUGCGAUGGGCGUCGGUGCUAUGUGACGUCAGAGAUACAGGAAGAAGAGGGAUGGAGGCUGGUGUUCGGUGGAUGAAAGAAGAAGAGAAAGGGACAACAAGGGUAGGGCAAAAAGGGCAACACACCUUUUAUGGUUACAUGUCUGACCGAAUAAAUGAUGAUUUUAAGAUUCAGAUGCCAAAAUAAGUUAUAAACAAACACCAAUAAAUUCAGACCUAUAUCUUAUUAAGAGGUAAUACAAGGUAAAUAAAGAGGGCCUGAGGAUUGUAUCAUUUCACUCCUUGGCUUAGACUUUAGUUAUGGAAAGUGUGAAUGAGUUACAGGAUUGCUAUACCUUAAUUAGAUAGAAUCUUAUGCAACAUGUGACAGAACUGAAUUAUCAUGCUAGAUGUUUUAUGAAGCUCUAGAUAAGUUAGAUGAACUUAUAGAAUGCUAUAUUGAAUGCUUUUUAAAGUGAAUUUUGGACAAUAUAGACCAAUGGAUCAAAGUCUUUAAGUGGUAAAAUCAAGUUCGGUUAUAUAUAUGAUUUGAGUAUAGUAUAGGGCCAUACUAUUAUAAAUAAAUGAUAGAUACCCGAAUUGAAUAUAGCGGUACUCACAUUUUUUAUGAGAUAAAGUGAUAAAUAGGAAAGCAACAAUCGUGUUAUGAAAACUGAAAAGUACAAGUGGUAUUCAUAUUUCCAACCAAUAUCAAAAAUAUGUUGAUGGUUAUACAAUAUGAAAACGGAGACUAUAGCAUUGUUCUGAUUAAAUGAGUACCUUAAACUAUAACGCACAUAAUAAUAUGCUUAUAAUUCAAAUACAAAUAGUCUUCGAAGCAUAACUCAGUGAUUACGAAAUGCCCUAAGAUAAUUUAAGAGUUUAUAAUAGUAGAGACUAGCACAAAACCGACUUUUCUUCCUUUGGGUAGUUUGUCUUUACACUAAAUGCACUUCUCAGCAUCCAAAAUCAUCGUCAACAAAAGAGCAGCAGAACAACAAUGUUUAUCCAUCCUCCAAAUCUGCACUACACUCCUUAAUCUCAACCAAAUUCAUGCACAGAUUCUCAAACUGGGUCUCCAAAACAACCCACUAGUCCUCACCAAAUUCACUUCAACAUCAUCCGAUCUCAAUGCCAUUGACUACGCUUCAUCCAUCCUAUUCUCUCCGGAUGCUAAAACACAUCUCUACGAUACUUUCCUUUACAACACCGUCAUUAGAGCUUACGCGCAAACCCAUCAAUCCAAGAUCACAGCUGUUGAUAUUUACAAAACCAUGGUUUGGAAUGAUGUUACCCCUAAUAAGUUCACAUACCCAUUUGUCCUCAAGGCCUGCGCGGGUGUGGGGAGGUUACGUUUAGGCGAAUCGGUUCAUAGUAAGGUUGUGAAGUUUGGGUUUGAUGAGGACAUACAUGUCUUGAAUACUAUGGUUCACAUGUAUUGUUCUUGUGGUGAGGUUGAUAAUGCACGAGUCGUGUUCGACGAAAUGCCUAAGUCGGAUUCUGUAUCCUGGAGUGCAAUGAUCGGUGGGUACGCACGCAUGGGAAGGUCAACCAGUGCUGUUGAGUUGUUUAGAGAGAUGCAGAUUGCUGGGGUUAAACCCGAUGAGAUCACCAUGGUUUCUGUUCUCUCUGCCUGUAGUGAUUUAGGCGCUUUAGAGCUUGGAAAAUGGGUUGAAAACUAUAUAGAAAGAGAAAAGAUUCCAAAAAGCAUCGAACUUUCUAAUGCCCUUAUUGAUAUGUUCACUAAAUGUGGCGACAUGGAUAAAGCUUUAAGGCUAUUCAAAACCUUGGAUCAUAAAACCAUCGUUUCUUGGACUUCUGUGAUUGUGGGCAUGGCAAUGCAUGGACGUGGGUUAGAAGCUGCUUCAUUGUUUGAAAAAAUGAAUCUUUCUGGGGUCCCACCAGAUGAUGUCACUUUUAUCGGGUUGCUUUCAGCUUGUAGUCAUUCAGGUUUAGUCAACGAAGGCCAAAAGUACUUUGACUCCAUGACUUCAAACUUCCAUAUAAAACCCAAAAUCGAGCAUUACGGAUGCAUGGUUGACCUUUUCAGUAGAGCAGGAUUAGUCAAAGAGGCACUAGAAUUUGUUACCAAAAUGCCCCUUGACCCAAACCCGAUAAUCUGGAGGACGUUGACCGCAGCAUGUCGUCUCCACGGUCAACUCAAUCUCGGUGAAACCAUCACAAAAAAGCUGAUCGAAUACGAGCCGUUGGAUCAAUCUAAUUAUGUCUUGCUUUCGAAUAUAUACGGGAAAAUGUCGGAUUGGGAAAAGAAAAAGAAAAUCAGAGACGUGAUGGGCGAAAAGGGAAUAAAAAAGAUUCCCGGGAGUACAAUGAUAGAACUAGACAACAAGAUGUAUGAAUUUGUUUCGGGUGAUAGAACACAUGAUUUAGAUAAAGAGAUUCAUGAGAUGAUUGAUGAAAUGGGGUGGAAGAUGAAGAUGGCUGGAUAUGUUGCUACUACUUCAGAGGUGUUACUUGAUAUCAAUGAAGAGGAUAAAGAAGAUGCUUUGAAUAGACAUAGUGAAAAAUUAGCUAUUGCAUUCGCGCUUUUGAAAACGCCACCUGGCACUCGUAUACGCAUUGUGAAAAACUUGCGUGUUUGUAGCGAUUGUCAUUCUGCAACAAAGUUUGUUUCCAAGAUUUAUAAUCGGGAGAUUGUUGUUAGAGAUAGAAAUAGAUUUCAUCACUUUAGAGAUGGGAUUUGUUCAUGUAAAGACUUUUGGUGAAACUUGAUGUAAUUUGCAUAACAUACUAAACUUGCAUUUUACAUGAUUACAUAACAACUAUCAAGAUCUUUCUUUAACUCGACAUAAACAUUAAUUCUAUAAUUAAUCAGCUUGAUCCUAACCUUAAACCACGAACAAUGUCGGGUUAACACAAUGUAUAAUUCGUGCAAACAUUUAAUGUAACAAACAAGUUGCACUAGGUUCUGUAGAAGAACUUGCCCCAUAAGCAUUGUUGCAACGUGCAAUUGUAUUUUCUCCAGUCACAGUUGAUGUUAUGUUAAUCUGAUCCAAAGAAAUACCAGAACAUGCUACUUUGUUACUGCAGUCAAAAUUUAUUGCAGUUCGAGAUGAUGAUGUUCCUUGAAAUAAUCUGUAAGUUAUAUCACUAAUCUCCACUGCUGAACCCUGCAAAUCAAAAAUUAUAAGCUCAUAAUUCAAUUUUUUAAGUGAUUAUUAUUUGAAAAGGUUUUACCUCUGUAGGGCAAUUAUUUCCACUAGGACAAUAGUAUUGAUCCACAAGUAUCGGGUUAUUCACAUCAUGAAGUGUAAUUUGCUCAAAUGUGAUAUCUCUGGCAUAUCCAGAUCCUCCCUAUAUGAUUGUGGAUAACAAUGUUUAACAUUGACUAUUUAUGAUGAUGAGAGAAAAAAAUUGUAAUUUUUGUCUUACUGACACCGAUACAAUUUAAGCUGACAAACACAGUAUACCCUAUUACCUGCCAUGUUUUGAUUCUUGCUCCGUUUUGUGUUCCGGUGAAGUUGCAAUUUCGUACGUAAACACCUUCCACAGUAUCAUAUUCCCCAUUUAUGCCUAAACUUCCGAUGCUACAAAGAUUAAAGAAAAAAAUAACAAUAAGCGACAACAAAUAUUUGACCCAUAACAUUGAUCCGACCCGACUUUGAAUUUUACCUUAUACCAUGGCCCGGACCGCAAUUUAUGCCCGUAAUAUUGAUUUGAGAGGAUCCGUUGAUUAGAGCAAUACAAUCGUCACCUAACAUUUUAUAGCACGAAAUGUUGUCAUGUAAUAUAACAAAAUGUGAAGGUAAACCAAAGACAACGAAUAUUAUAUGAAGUAUGUACCAGUUUUAAUAACGGAAUCGUUUAUUUGUAUGUAGGUUGAGAUUGAGACGUCGAUUCCAUCAGUGUUUGGGCUAUUUGCAGGUGCAACUAUGUCUAAAUUUGAAAUAAUUGAAUUACUGCAUCUGUAUAGACCGAUAUGAUUUCUAGGGCUAUCAAGAUGCUUAAGUUGUCUUAAUCGAAGCCCAUAGCAUUUUUCAAAAUGUAACGCCUACAUACACAUUGCAAAAAAACUUACUAUUAUGGUGUCAACAUUCACAAUAUAGUAAGUACAACACUGUUAUGUAGCAACACGUUUUUAGUGUAUGUUUAAUUAAUAACGUUUAUUAAACAAGAUACUUACCGUUGGUGGUAUUGAACAUGUAGAUUCUUCUGUUAUCUACAAAAAAAAAUAUAUUAAAUCAGUAUAAUUAUAGUUUUAAAAAUCAAUGAUUGUGAAUAUUAUCUAAAAAAAGAAGCUAAAAUGCAUGUACAUCAGACAGAGAUUUGGUCCACCAAGCACUGCCACGACCAUCGAUAGUACCACCACCAUCGAUAAUAAGAUUGUUAACGUCAUAAAAUAAUAGCCAUGCCCCGGUUUCACAACUACCCCAUGAACUAGGGUUUUCAGGGGCAAUGAUUGUACCCAAUAUCUGCUCAACAUAGUAAAUGUGAGUUUAAUGAUGGUUUGCGACUUUGUGUGUUUUUUGUUCUUUUAUAACAAUUUGAUGUAUUUGAAAUAUAACAAAAAGAUUUUGUAUGUGAAAUAUAAGUUUGUAUUUUGGGAGGGGGGAUAGGAUUACCAGAAAAUGGAUAUUUGGAGAUUUACACGGGCCUUGAAAGCUGAUCGGGCCCACUAAGAAGGUUUGGGCCGAUGGUAUGAUCAUCCUUGACAUUGGUCCAACAUCAUUACAUAACUCUUGCCAAGCUUCUUCAAAAGCCUUGUUGCAAACAUUAAAUUAAACAACAAAAAGAUAAACUCAUUGUAUUUUAUUAGGUAAACACUUGGGAUUUGUUAAAAGCUUAUUCAAACAAUUACUAUUUUUAAUGCUUUAUUUUAAAAAAUAGAUUAUUCUUUUGAAUAAUUUAUUUUUUAAGACAUGAAAUUUAUGGAAAAGAAGUGUAAAUGAUCGUAUAUACCUUUGUAUUAUCAGUCAUUCCAUCGCCCUUGGCGCCAUAAUUCAUUACAUUAUAAGCACCACCAUGGCUAUGAUGUAACAAACAAAGCAAUAACAUGAUAAAAAGUAGCAUUUUUAUUCUACUUAUUAUACACAUAUAUAAUAUUAAGAAUGACUUGUGCAUGAAAUACAAUUCUCUGGUAUUGUGUAGUUUCUUUUCUUGAUCAAUAGUUGGUGAAUAUUUAUACAUAUUUGAUAUAUGUAUGUGUUGAAUGAAGUGAGGGAAGAGUCCAUGAUUUUGACUUGAAAUUUAAUGUUUUAAAACUUCCAAAAGAGAAAACAAGAUGUUGAAACUAGAAUCUAAACUUUACAUAUUAAAGAAUAUCAAGUAUCAACGGAUAUUCUCCAUUUCACCAUUUUUUGUUUUAUUACUCUAUUUGUUUGAAAUAUCAAACGUCUUUAAUUUCAAAAUCGUGAAAUAAGUAAUUUUAUAUGUAGUUCCAAAAACGGCAUUUGUCUAAUGAAACUUCAACACAUACUUUAUUUGUCUUAAAGGAAUAAUACCAUUUGGGUAAACUGUGAGAUUAUUUGUAACACAUCUAAAACAUCAUUCACUAAGUUACUAAAAGCAUUGUCUUUUACCUUUUAUGAAAUGUCAAAAGCGUGAAGUAUUUCGAUUUUUAUUCAACAAAAGUCGAAUCUUUUUUUGUCAUUUAUGAUAAAUCAGAAAUAAUGACCCUUACCUUGUUUUCUUUUACUGUUAUUUGGAAUAUAUGUUUCUUAUUGCAGCCGAUAAAAUUAUGCGUUAAAUUCAUAAAGAUUUUGUUUAGGUAUCUUGUGAUAAUACUUAAUUUUGUAUUUUUCAGGAUUAAUAAGUUUAACAUAAUUAGCUAUUUAUAAUAUCUAUUUUAGUCCAUACCAAAUUUACUUUGCUCUUAAAGUCCUUUUAAUUUAGUUUUUCAUUUCAAUUUAUGUAAAAACAAGAUUUGAACUGAUCACACGAUGAUUUAGCAUUAGCAUGACUGUUAUCGACACAACGUGACUAUCUUUUGACAUGAAUUAAUCUUGAUGUAACAUUUCACAUUCAAAUUUUGUUUUAUUGUUUGUUACCAUCAUUAAACAAAACACCACAUCUUUAUAUCAUCAUGUUAAACCAUUGUAAUAACACAAGUAAGAAAGGAUGCUAAAGAUCUACAUUUCCAACUACAUAAUACAUUAUAAACCAGAUAUGAUCACAAUGUCAAUCAAAAAAGGGAAAAAAGUCUACAAAUGGUUUACAAAAGUUGCUACAGAAUAAAACAUACGAAAAGGUGAACAUAUGCAAAUUGAUGCAACAUCAUAAACCAUUAAUUGUCAACUAUUCCUAAGAAGCACUGCAAGGACACAACUAAACAUCAGUCACAAUUUCCGUAAAAAAAACUGUAAAACAAGUGCAUUAGGAGUGGCAGAAAAAGUAAUUUGAUGGGUAAAUAAUACGUACUAUAUGUAUAGUAUUUAUCUAAUCAGGAAGCUCUUUAAUAUCCACUUCAACUUUUCUUGAAUCUAAUCAUCUAUAAUCACUUAGAAGUUGUUUGGCAACCUCUGAAUGAUUCAAAGGUUUGGAUCCGACUCUAAAUGAAAACAUGUUGUUUGGUAAAACUGCUUAACGGAUAUAUUGAACGUGAAUAAUUAUCAUUUUACCUUAUUGUUUAAAAGUAUUAACAAACACCAACAAACCAUCCAAAAAAUAAAAUAUUCAUACCAUCUUAAAAUUGACAAAAAGUCAUCACAUGAAAUAACAAAAGGAUUCUUUCAAUUCACCAUUCAUGAACUGCUAUACUACUAUUCCAUACCGAAUUACCACAUGAAAUUGCUAUACUACUAUUGCAUACCGAAUUACCACAUGAAAUAGCAAAAUGAUUCUCAAUUCAGCUUUUAUGAAAUAACAUUCAUACCACACAAAAAAUCUCUCUUUCAAUUAGUUUUCAUGAAAUAGCAAAAGGUUCCGCAAAUGGAAAGUAUAACAAUCACCACUACGAGUGAUAUCGUUGAAACAAAAGGACCUUUGACGAAGCCAUGCAUGCUUACUCAGACAUGAAAGUUCAAACUCUAUCGACAGAUAACUAAGACAUGUGAAUGCAAUGGUGCUCUAUCACAUGAUCAAAAAAUUCAUAGGAGGAAGGCGAAGAUAAGCUUCAAGAAGCCGAACAUACACCCAACCUUUCCGCUUGGAGAAUACAUGAUACUUGCAAGAGUAGAGAUGUCUACGAUGUCUAUCGACGACAAUUAUAGGGAAUAACACACUCUAUUGAAUUCGGAGUAACCGUAGACACAACGAUAACUAAGUGAUCACCAACCAUUAUCAAAGAAUCCGAAGACGAGCAUCCCAGAAAAAACAUAGUACGUAAAUGGUAAAGAAAAAAUAACUAAACUGAUAGAUUUUUUUUAUUUAAAGAGGGGGUGAUUUGGGCGGUACUAUGAUAUCACGCCCAUUAGGCCAUUACCAUUGAUGUGAUGAGACGACCAUUCCGUAACUGAAACAACGGUUUGGUGUCCCAUGUGCACAUGCAUUAAUACACCUUAGAAAGUGGGUACAACUGUAAAAGAAACAAUUAAAAAUGGGCACACUCUAGUUUCGAAUAACAUAGCACGAUUAACACUCACUUAGGGGCUGUUUGAUUUAAGCUGACCGGGUCCAGUCAGUGUUGACUGCUGACUCGGUCAGCAGUCGGAUGUUUGAUAAAUACAAAAUAAAGCUUACUCGGUCAGCCCAUUACUCUUACCCGGUAAGCCAAAAAAACCCUCCUGACUGGAAAAGCUACGCGUUUUCUUUUUGUCAUUUGCCCUCACUCGCCUCCUUCGCUAUCGGUAAUAACCUAGACAGUAGACAUCAGCCGUCUUCUUCUUCUCCAUCGCCAAGUGCUGAUCGCCUCCCUCCUCAUCUUCUCCGGCGACGACGCAGCCCAUCUUCUCCGGCGACGACACUGCGCGACUUCUCCGGCAACGACAAGGUAACUGCGUGUUUUUUUUUUGCUUUAUUUGAUCUGAAAUCACAAAUUGCUGCUCCCUAAUACAAAUUUCUUCUCCUGCUCCUGCUUCCCUAAUAUAAAUUGCCGCUCGUUCUUCCUCUUCCUCUUCGUUUUUUUUUUUUCUGAAAUCACACAACCCUUCAUGUUUGCUGUCAAAUUGAUGAUUUCAUUUUGAAAUCAAAGUUUGCAAUGUGUGAAACAUCAAAAAUCACAGCCCCUUAUAUAGUUGUUUUAUAUAGUUGUUAAAUCACAGCCCCUUCAUGUUUACUAAUGUGUGAAAUCAAAGUUUGCAAUGUGUAUAACAUCAAAAAUCACAGCCCCUUAUAUAGUUGUUUUAUAUAGUUGUUAAAUCACAGCCCAAUCAUGUUUACUAAUGUGUGAAAUCAAAGUUUGCAAUGUGUGUAACAUCAAAAAUCACAGCCCCUUAUAUAGUUGUUUUAUAUAGUUGUUAAAUCACAGCCCCUUCAUGUUUACUAAUGUGUGAAAUCACAGCCCUUAUAUAGUUGUUUUAUAUAGCUGUUAAAUCGAAUGAAUUGUGUACUGUGUGUAUAUGUUAUGUUUAUGUGCAUAUGUGUGUAACAUCAAAAUGCUCAAGACAAUGAUUAGAAUUUGUUACAUAGGUAUAUAUGCAUUACCAAACUGAUAUAUGAGAUCUUGUCUUCAAGUUAUGUACUGUGUGUAUAUGAUAUCUCCCAAGUCUUGUCUUCAAGUUGUAUUAUCUUUAGGUUAAACAAAAAAAUAUAUGUUUUAUCUUAUUGACAUCAAACAAAUAGUGUUAGCUAUUUGUAAAUGUGUGUUAUGUGGAUGAUUAUUUUUUUUUCUUUUUACAAUAGACAUGACAGAUAAAAGAAUUAGGGUUAGUUGGAAGUCGGAAUUGGUGGACAAAACUUUUUUGGAAGCAUGUAUACAAGAAUUAACAAGCAAUGGCCGGGAGGGUAGCGGACUAAAAGCAAGCUCAUGGGCUGUGGUCGCGGAGAAAUUGAAAACAGAUCAUAAUUUUAUUGUCGACAAAAAACAAAUGAAAAACCGAUACGACUAUUUAAAAGCAAAGUAUGCAGUGUGGUUAAAACUUAAAAACAAAACAGGAAAUAUUUAUAAUCCCGUUACGAAUUCUUUUAACAUGACUAAUGAAGAAUGGGAAGCGGAAGCGAAGGUACAUAUAUACAUAUUUUUUAAAGUAGAUUAUUUUUUUACUACUUUAAUAAUAUUUAUUAAAUUUGUCAAACAGUUGAACAAGUAUGUAGAUAAGCUGAGAAAUGCACCCCUCCCUUGCCCUGAACUUUGUACCCAACUAUUUGAUGGGGCAACCUCGACCGGUGUUCACAGUUGGGGGCCAUCUUCGACAUUACCUCAUCCCAAUGAAACCUUCAGUACACAUGAUUUUGAGGAUACAGAGAUGGAUGAGCCAGCACCUCAUGCAGAUACCCCAAGCUCAACAAUACCUCAACCUACUAGUGAGGAAUCAUCUGGGCGGACAAAAAACAAGGGAGGCAAACGAAAUGGUCCUAAAGAAACCACACUUGAUGAUGAGUUGAAAGAAGUUGGAAAAGAGAUUAUCAAGGCUGCACAAGCAUUCACCGAAGCAAAUAAUCUUGACAAGGAGAUGGAUGCUUGUAUGGCGAAGUUGACAUGCUUGGAGUGGGGAGAAUAUGAUCCGAAAUACACCACUGCUCUUAUGUUAUUUGCUGAAAGUGCUGGUAAUAGGAAAAUUUGGUUGCGCCUUAACUUGUCAACUUGUGAGUCGUGGGUAACAAAUGCGGGAAAAAAAUUUGGAUUAGUUGGUUGACUUUAGUAUUUACAUGUUACGUUUGACUUUAGUAUGUUAUGUUUCAUUGUUUGACUUUAGUAUGUUAUGGUUUAGUUAUGUUAUGGAUUGUUUUUCUUAGGUGCGGUUAUGUUAUAUGAAUUUAUAUGUUAUGGAAUGUUAUGUUUUUCGUAUUUACAUGUUACGAUUUGUUAUGUUAUGGUUUGUUAUGUUAUUGAUUGUUAUGUUAUGGAUUGUUAUGUUAUUGAUUGUUAUGUUAUUGAUUAAAAUGUAAUUUGUAUUUGACAUCUAACAGGACACAUGGAUAAAGAAGGUGACUUUUUAUAUUUUCUUAUAUUCUCGUGGUAUUGGUUGAUGUUGGUCCGACAAAGGCAAAGAAUAAUUAAAAGAAUAAGAGCUAGCGAACAGGUAGCAAAGGGAUAUGUGUAUACGCAAGAUUUGAUACACGGAUGUCCUAUACAAUGUUACGAUAUGAUACGUCUUUCACAAGAUGCAUUUGUACUAUUAUGCAAUCACUUUACACAAAGAAAUUGGUUGCAAUCUAGUAGGACGAUAAGCGUUGAAGAGAAGAUGGCUAUGUUUUUACAUGUUAUAGGACAUAAUGAACGUUUUCGAGCCGUUAAAGAAAGAUUUCAUCACUCCACACAAACGAUUCAUCAAUGUUUUCAUGAGGUCUUACGUGCAAUGAUGUGUUUUGCACGAGAAAUUAUAGUACCAACCUCGUCUAAUUCAACAACAAAUACCUCAGAACGACAUAGACGGCUAAUGCAGAUAUUUCCCGGAGCAAUAGGUGCACUAGAUGGAACACUUGUACAUGCAGUUGUGCCUGUUGAUCAACAAACUCGUUAUAGGGGAAGAGGAAAAGGUGAAUGUUAUCAAAAUGUAAUUGGAAUUUGUAAUUUUGAUAUGAUAUUCACCUUUGUAUGGGCUGGAUGGGAGGGCAUAGCACAUGAUUCUAAAGUUUUGAAAGAAGUUGCAUUUAACCCAACUUCCGGAUUUCCAUUCCCUCCACCAGGUUUGUAACUUUACUAUACGUUUUAUUAUCUAUAUUAUUUAUAUGAUAAAUUUGUCAUGCAUCUACAGAUAAAUAUUACCUUUGUGAUGCCGCAUACACCAACACCCGUGGAUUUAUGGCUCCCUACCGCAAUACUAGGUAUUGGUUAGCCGAUUUUCGAAGAAACAGAGCUUUGACUAAGGAAGAAAUGUUCAAUCAUGCUCAUGCACAACUUAGAAAUUACAUUGAACGUGCUUAUGGUGUGUUGAAGGCGAGAUUUCCAAUUUUAAAACAAAUGGCUCCUUAUCCUUUUCCAGUGCAAAGAGACAUAGUCAUUUCUUGUGUUGCGGUCCAUAAUUUUAUAAGGAAAUACGAUAUUGAAGAUGAAUUAUUUACGAACUUUGAACAAAACACUAUGGUUAGUCAUAAUGUGGGUGGUGGAGGAAAUGAGGGUCAAAACAUAGAAGGCAUAGAAUGGGGUUCAGAAGCCGUUAACUAUAUGACUAAUUUGCGUGACCAGAUUGCUAAUCAGUUAUUUUCAAAUGGUUCACGUUAAAUGGUGUACUUUUUUUAUUAUGUAUGACAAUUUGUAUUUGGAUUUUGUAUUACACUUUGUAUUUGGAUUUUAAUUGAUGUAUGUUUAAUUUGGAUUUUAUAUGAUAAUUUGUGGUUUUAUAAUUUUUUUAUCCAGCACAAGAGACAACAUAAGGGUAAUAUGGUCAUUUUUUCAUUCAGCACAACCAUUCAGAUAAAUAAUCAAACAACAUAAACUCAGUCAGAUAUGGACUCAGUCAGCAUUUCUAACCCAGUCAGCUUCUAACCCAGUCAGCUCUAACCCAGUCAGCAACUAUCAAACGACCCCUUAGUCAUCCUAUGGGACUUGAUAGGGCCCUACCUUCCGGACAUCGAAAAUCUUGUUAUUCCCAUAUUUAACCCCAACAUGUGGACCUAUUCCUGAGAAAUAAUAACAGGAGUAACAUGAGUUGGCAUACAAUAAGUGUUGAAAUAAUUAAUAUUUCAUUAUUAUUCUACAAACUAAACAAGGUGAAUCAAAUAUUAUAAGAUAUUGAUUUAUUUUGGUUAAGUGUAGGAAAAGAAGGACCAAAAGUGUUCAAAUAGGAUGUUGUUUAAGCUGAAGGUUGUUGAAACGGGAUGAAGGUGAGUAGAAGAUGGAAUUCAUGGCAUGCAUUGUUGGGGAGCAGUAAGUAGGGUGAUGGUGGAGAACCAGAUUCCUUAUAGAUCAUGUAAGUUCACUUACCAAACUGAUAUUUUCACCUUAUGUCUGGGUUACAGGAAAUCAAGUCUAGGAUAAUCCAAAAAAGACACUUGUGUAUCUUGGUACAUAAACACAAGCCAAAAGAUGAGUCCUAUAUAUGCAUGACAAAUUAGGGUUUCUAUCUUCUAAAUUAGUUAGGAGAGUCACAAAUUUAACAACUUAAUCAAUGGUUUCCAAAACUUACAACAAUUUUCAAUCUUACCGUAAUUACCCUACUAGAAUUUGGUUUUUCCAUAAUGAAAAUAAUUCAAAUUUCCGAAGACCUUUUAAGGUGUUACCCUAAACCCCUUAGGGACGUUGACCCUCGAUCGCCAAGGGCUCUGUCUCUUGGACCCUGAUAGGGGCGUGACCCCCUUAACCCCCUACGUUUUGCCGUAUUGGCUUAUAAUUUGAUCUUUUAUAUGCAUGCAUUAUGCGUUCACCAAACAUAUAAUAUAGAGUACAAAUAAUAAGCCUUUUAGUUCACAUGUUAGUUUCAAUUACCCAAAAUGCCCGAUAACACUAAAAUCACCAACAUGCAUCUCAUUAUCUCAAAGUUGUGAAGAAUGAAAAAGGUUAUUUUCGAUCCGGGUCAUAUUGUUGGAUCAACCUUUGAAUAUCAAGAGAAUGACUUAGGAUUAUCUAUAAUUAAAUUAAUAAUCAAUUAAUUUAAAUUAAAAAUAAACCAAUUGAUUUAAGAUUUAUCUAUUAAUUAACAUUUACUUAAAUAUAUUAAAUCAAAUAAGGAUUAUCUAAUUAAAUUAAUCAAAUAAUUUAAUCCUAAUCCUUACCCUCUAAAUUUUCGAAAACAAGGGUAUAAGAUUUAUUCCAAUUUUAAUUAUCUAUAUUUAGGCAAGUAAAAUGAUAAUUAAUAAAAUUUGAAAAACCCUAAUAGCCUACCAUAUUUCAAAAAUACUUGGGGGGGAGGCUAGGGUUUCAAAACCCUAGCCCUAAAUUUCGAAAACUUGGGGAAGGGGGCUAGGGUUUCUUAAACCCUAACCCUAGUCGAAAUUAAUGACCUUUUAAGGUUUAAUUUCUAUAACCCCUAAUUGAUCUAUUCUUUUAUUAUAGUUAUUUAACAGAAAACAAACCAAAUGCUCUAAUACCACUGAUGGGUUUUAGGCAUAACAAACAAACCUAAAACUCUUAAGAGUGCAUGCAACCUAAAACAAGAUCUAUGUUUUCUCUAUUGAACCUAUAACUAAGAACAUCAAAAAGAAACCCUAAGAACCCUAGUAUAUUUUCGAAAAUACUAAAAAAGGUUUAGGAUUUCAUACCUUUUAGUUGUUAUAGCAAACAACUAGAAAUCUCUUUGAAGAUCUCUUGGAAGUAAGCACCACGAGUCUCGAGCCUCUAAUGGAAUCACACCCAACUAUCAAGAGAAAAAAUUAGGAGAGAGGAGGGAAUUUAGUCCAAAGCUUGUGGAGGAAAGGCAUUGAUAAAAUCAAGGGCCAAGAAUCUCUUUAUAUAGUUGAGGAAACUUGGUGCCAUAGCUAGGGUUUAAGGGAUAUGCCCUGGAUCCCUUUGCUUGGUGACCAAACAACACAAUCCCUUUACCUUAGGGUCUUGAACGAAAUCUCCUAGGGUUUCCCAAGAGAUUUUUUGUCCACCUCUUUCAAGAGGUUCUAGAGCCUUCCUUUCUCAAAUAUUAUUAAUAAAUAACAAACAGUCCCUGUACUUUUAAUUAAUCAAAUUAAUCCCAAAAAUAAUUCCAAUUAAUUUUUGAUUAAUUAUUAAUUAAAUAUUACUAUUUAUAAUUAGAGAAAAUGACAAAAAUAGCCAUUUACACUAAUUACAUUACAAAAAUAGCCAAAGAAAACCGAAGUUGCAAAAAUAGCCCUCAAUUUCGCAGAUGGAAUUGCGCCAUCUGCGAAAUGACCAUUCUAUCUGCGAAUGUACAAGCAGCCAAAACACAACUGUGCUUUAGCCGCUUGUACAUUCGUAGGUGUUUUUUUUUUUAAUUUUUUUUCUAUAUAUAUAUUGAAAAUGUAGGGUAAAAUCGCAGAUGGAAUAGCCCCAUCUGCGAUUUACUCUCAUUCCAUCUACAAAUUUGUGAUUUUUUUUUGUUUUAUUUUUUUUAGUUUAACUAUGAAAUCAAUUGGUUUGACUACGAAAUCAUGUUGCUAUAUAAAAAGUUUUGUAGAAAAUUAUCAGUUUGGUUGUUAUUUGUUUAGGAAGUUUCUCUAAAAUUUGUUCUAAAAAAUGAUUGAAUAUUUGGUUUGUCUUGUAACCGGUGGGAGAUGGCAAGUUAAUGGAACUAAUCUGGAAUACGUAUGUCCACAUGGAGGUAUUUCUGAAUUUGCUUUGAUAUUUUCUGAGUAUAUUAGUUAUAGUGAUUUUGUAUCUUUGGUAAGAAGCAAAAUUGGUUUGUUAGACAAAUAUAGAAUUAGUCUUCGUUUUCACCAUCCUGAAUUAAAUUAUUAUAUAGCUAUAGUUGAAGACAUGGAUGUUAGAAUGUUGAUAAACGUAAUCAAAUGUAGUGGAGGAAGGGUUGUGAAAAUGUUUGUGGUGGUUGAUGAAGUUGAGGAGGUUAAUAGGGGUGGUCAAACUAGAAAUCAGUUUGUUGGUAAUUUAUGCAGUUAUAAAGGGAGCAACGAUCUGAUAGGUACUUUCAAUACUCCUAGUGUACCUCAGUUUCACAGUGUUGCUGAAAAUGUUAAUAUUAGCUAUUCACCUAUUCACUAUGUGGAUCAUGAGAAUUACAAGUCUGUUGGUGAUGAUGAUGUUGGUACAUAUCUUAAUGAUGUGGGUGGUCGUUGUGAUGAUGUUGCCGAACAAGAAGUUAAAGUUAUGAAUAGGCGUGUGGUAGAUAAAACUAAAAAGAAAAAAAAUUCAAGUCAAAAAAAUGAAAAAAAUCAUGUUUACGGGCAUUAUGUUGAUGUUGGUGAUGUAUGUUUAGAUAUAACCGAGCUACAAAGUAAUUCCGAUAGAGAUGAGUUGGGUGAUGAAGUUAAAGCUAAGUUUCCCGAUAACCUUUUUCACGGUAUGCCCCCUGUACCAGCAUGGCCAGUUGAUAUUAAUGAAGAUAUCCCAACACAGAUGGUAGACAUGAAUCUUCAAAAGAUUCAAUGUGAGAGUAUAUUUAAGAACAAAGAACUUUUAAAGCGGUGUAUUGGUAAAAAAAUGUCUUCGAGAAGGUUUCCAGACGAGGACAAGUAGAUCCACCAAAUCAAGGUAUGAAGCUGUGUGUGUUUCGAAAAAUUGUUCUUGGUUACUAAGAGCAAAAGCAAUUAAAAAUUCUGAUGGACUUUUCCAAGUGAAUAAAUUUGUUGAUGUACACACAUGUUCUUCAACAUUGUUGCAACCUAAUCAUCGACAAGCAAACAAAUAUGUUUUGGGUGAAUAUGUUGCUGAUGUUUUGGCUGAAGACUAUAGUAGAGUUUAUCGGGGAAAAGAAAUUGUUAAUGAUAUGAAUGCUCAAUUGAAUAUCAAUAUCUCAUACCAUCAGGCAUGGCGUGCGAAGCAAUAUGCAUUGUUGUCGUUAAGGGGUACGAAAGAGGAUUCUUUUACCAAACUUCCGGCGUAUUGUCACAACUUGGCCAAACAUAAUCCGGGUACUGUCACACAUAUUAAAACAGAUGCUGAUGAUCGGUUUGAGUUUUUGUACGUCGCACUCGGUUGCUCGGUUAGUAUUAUCAUGUCCUAAUUUUUUUUUAAUAUUUAUUUUGGUGUAUUUGAAUAGAUAUACAAUGUAUUGUAGGUACGAGCUUUUGUCAAUUUUUGUAAGCCGACCCUAGUAGUAGAUGGAGCUCACCUAAAGGGCGAGUUCAAAGGUACCAUGCUACUUGCAGUUACUAAGGACGGACAAAAUCAAAUAUUACCGGUUGCAUAUGGUAUAUGCAAAAAUGAGUGUACUGAUUCUUGGACAUGGUUUUUUCAAAAACUACGUGAUUGCAUAGGAAAUAUGCAGGAGCUUACAAUUAUAUCUGAUAGGUCUCCAUCUAUAGCAACAUCCGUUGCCAACAUUUUUCCUCACGCUCAUCAUGGAAUAUGUGGUGUCCAUUUGUAUUUCAACAUAGUAUCUAGAUUCGGCAAGAGUAAGACGGUUAAAGGAAUUUUUUGGGAGGCGUGUAGGGCGUACACAGUUGAUGCUUUUGAUGCUGCCAUGGAUGUUAUGAAAAAGACAAAAGAACCAGUAUGGGAGUACUUAAAAAGUAUAAAUCCAGAAACCUGGUCAAGGGCACAUUUUAAAGGGAACCGAUACAAUCUUAUGUCGUCCAACAGUGCGGAGUCUAUAAAUGCAUUAUCUAGACACGCACGUAAGGUGCCAAUACUUAUGUUGAUCGAUUUUUUUCGUGUUACAAUGCAACAAUGGUGGUUUCAAAGACGUAACUUUGCAGGUAUUAAGUAAAUUUUUAAUAUUAAUGUUUUAUUAAUUUUGAUGUUAUUGAUCUUAACUUCUUCAUUUUGGUUGUUUCUUUAGCGGAAGCAACAACAAUACUUACCCCUUAGGCGGAUGAAAUUGUAAAAGAAAACAAGAAAACUUUUAGUAAAUGGGAUGUUCGCAUGAUCUCAAAUACGAAAUGCGAGGUCAAAAAGGGGGCACAAAAUGUGAUUGUUGAUUUUCAACAUAUGACAUGUACNGCACACCUGGCCGCACACACACAUAUAGUGUGUAUUUUGGCCAUACACCCUCUUGUAUAGCCUUAUAAACCCUCAUACAAUCAUAUAUGAUUGUAACACUUCAUUAUAAGUGUUUAGUAGUCCCUAAGGUGGUUCCAAAAUCAUUAUUUCAGUCGUUCAUAACACUAAUUAUAUUCAUAUAUAUGCCAAUAUAUGCUAAAUAGGAUUCGCGUGUGUACUUAAGCCACCACUUGAUGCUUAGCAACUGAUCCAACGUUUUCAUCAGAACCACUCACUACAGGUGAGUUCAUACCCCUUAAUCAAUGUUUUAAACUAUUUUUUAAAUGUUUUAUGGGGGAGGAUACAAGUAGAAUUAUGCUAAUUAUUAUAUCAAUCACAUGUGAUUAAUAAGCAGCAUUCAAAUGAUUGGCUACUCAUUAGCCGUUUUACUAAACAGUUUCCUUCAAAUGUAUUUCAUAAACACUUUAUGUGUCUAAAACUCCUUAUUUCUCUGUACAUUUUACUCUGUAUAUUACUUUUCAAACUUAUUUACAAUUGUGAUUCAAACAAAAGUUUCCUUAUACUAAAGUUGUUUUAUCAAACCCAUGCCUUCAAAACGUUUUAUAAAUUGACAUCAAGUCGAUCUUUUCUUAGAUAAUAAUUAUGUUCAAAGGUUUUACAAAACUUAUUUUAUGCUUUUAUAUUAUAAAUUGCAUGCCUCUAUAUGUAUAGUUAUAUAAGAAAUAUUUAAAAGACUUAGGACGACUAUCCACCCUAUUUCCUUUUCGCGCUUGAGAUGUGGUCUGUGGGGAUAUCGGGUACUCGUCCGAAGGUCAUUUAAAUAUUAGUUAUAUAACAUAUAUACAUAUAUAGUCAUAAAGGUCCUUCCAGUUCAUCCUAUGCCCUUGGGUAGCAAGGGUAUACAUCCAUGUCCAUACGUACCAGUUAGAUUACUAGUAAACUACCAUAGGGGUAGUUUAGGAAGAUACUAGAACCAUUACUAGAACGAAAUAUUAUACAAUGAGCCAGUUCAUUCAUGAGUCUUACUUUCUAGAACAUUACAAUACAUUACUAUACUUACUAGAUAGAGAGCACGUACACUACAGCUAGAACAUUACAGUACCUUACUAUACUAUUACAUAGAUAUGGUCACAUGUACAUGAGUACACUUACAGGAAUUACUAGUACACUUUAUAUGAAUAGAUUCUGUUAUAUAAUCCUUGUUCUUAUCUUUACCUUGUGAUUCAAUCACACAAUCGACAAGAUAAAUUGGAUUUAAUAUCCUAGUACCCAAGGAUACGUUGCGGGACUGACCAUUCCUAGAAUCUCUGUUAGCUACAGAGGUAAAAGCACAUCCACGGAUGUCAACGGUUGAUACCAUUACAGGUAUACUUUUGGAGACUGACUAUUCCUAUACCCAGCUGUUAGCAACAGAGGUAAAUGUACAUCUACGGAUGUCUUCAGUUAACAUUGUUAUUUGCCCGAGUACUAAAGGGUAAUACUAUUACAGUUAGGUCUUGGUAGAAGACUACAAUUAGAACAGUUAGGUCUUGGUAGAAGACUACAUUCAGAACAGUUAGGUCUUGGUAGAAGACUACAUUCAGAGCAGUUAAGUCUUGGUAGAAGACUCCUUUUGUUACUAGUAGGAAUCAUAGGGAUUUCUAGGGUUUUUCAAACGUUUACAGUUGUUUUACAAACAUGUUCAUACUUACAAUUCAUAUACAUUUUCAUACUUACAAUUCAUUUACAUUUUUAAUACUUACAAUUCGUAUACAUACAAAUACUUACAUUUCAAAUACAUACAAGUAUUUUCAUACAAAUUAAGACACUAAAAUUACUUAUGAUCUCACCAGCUUUAAAACUGAUACUCUCUUUCAAAAUUACUUGUAUCCUCAGGUCAUCAUAGACAGGUACCGAUGCAAGGAGAAAGGAAGAUGGAGCUUGUUCAAGACUCAUUUUUCAUUUUGAUUUAUGCUUUAGUGUUUAUCAAAAUUUGACAGAACACACUUGUAUCAAAAUUAUAUUAUUAAUGCAAUGGAUGAUGUUGUUGCUUGUUUACUACUUUUCAUUGUUGUGAUACUGUACAUGACGUCCUCCGCCCCAGAACGUUUCCACCGUUCAAUGGUUUUGGGGUGUGACAGUAGAAUCUAAAAAACAGUAUUUGAAUAGCUGUAUUGGUUGUUUAGUAAACUAUUUAUUUAACUUAAUGUCAAUUUAUAGUAGUUUCUACACAAAAUCGCAGUCCAAUCUUCUAAUAUGUCUGCAAUUCAUAGUCAAAAUUAACUGACGAAUGCAGUGUACUAUACUUAUAACACAACAGAUCAUUGUUCGAGUUGACAAAUCAUCCCCCGUCGAAUGACAACACAAUACAUUGCUACUUGAAUUGACAAGUCAUUGCACCGGGAAAAUAAGGAGUCGUUAUAAAUAGAUUUUAAUAUCCGUUGUAAUUGUAUCGUAUUACUUCCUCACUUGCAAUUAUUGACUCACCACAUAUAUGGAGGAACGAAGAGGAGGUCACUUUGGUUCAAGCUUGGAUUAUAACUGUAGAGGGGGAUUUUCCACCGGGUCCCCCACAAGUUCGUGCUGGAUCAUUUUGGUCUCGUGUCUGUCAUUUGUUUCACCAUUUAAUGGGGCGUACUCAAUAUCGAAGAAGAAGAGAUGUCAAAGCGAAGUUUCUGGAUUUGAAAAUAAAGGUGAAACAAUUUCAACGUAUUUAUAACGAGUUGGAUAAUGAACAUGCAAAUACGGAUGAAGACAUUCUACGGCAGGUGGCUUUGGAACUAUACCGUUUUGAAUAUGAUGGUAGCGAGUUUACCCACUUAGAUGCAUGAAAUCUUUUAAAGAAUGUCCCUUAUUUUUAAUAUGCAUGUUGGUUAAGUUAAUUGUUUUUCGUUAUUUUAGUUGCUUGUUGUUGUAUGUGUGUUUUGUUACUAUUUAAUAAAUGUCCAUUUCUUUUAAUGUAUGUUGUUUCCUCAAUCGCCAAUACAUAAUACGACAUAAAAUAAAUAACUAAUAUAUAAUACGCCAUAAAAUAUAAAUGGGGUACAUAAGUAACUAAUACAUAAUCCGACAUAAAAUAUAAACAGGGUACAGGAAUAACUAAUACGUAACACGACACUAAAAUAAAAACGGGGUACAUAAAAAACUAAUACAUAAUACUACAUAAAAUAUAAAGGUGCUACAUGAAUAACUACUGCAUUGAGGGAGGUAACAGGACCAUCGUUUCAUUUGGUAUUUCCCAAUGCACAUGUGAUGGUAUAGUAUUCACCAACUCAGAUCCAUAUGCAAGUCGAUACAAAAAAUUAGUGAACUUGUAAUCAACCAUUCUGUGAAUGGAUUCAUAUGUAUGGGUUCUUAGACAUGCUAUAGCGUGGCCACAUGGUAUACCGCCUUUUUGCCAUUUACCACAAGUACAUACCCUUCGUUCAAGUUGUACGUUGGUGGUGGCAAAAUUGUCAUCGACUUCAAAUGUAUCCCCAUACAAACGUCUUGCCUUCCAAUUAAAAGACUUGUUGAGACGUUUUUGAACCUUACUCUCAACGUAAGGGUUCAACCCACCAGACAACCUCCUUGUAAAAUUUGAUAUUUUAAUAAAAAUAAUAGCACAAUAAAAAAACUAAAUAUAACAAUCUCCCUUACCCGCCACUUCAGCCCAUUCACCAUACUUUGAUUGUAUUGACGUAGUGAUUAACUCAAUUAUCGUUGUUAUAGGAAACUCACGUAUGGAUAUAAUUUGCGAAAUUUCAGGGACGUCAAUCGAUUUAACAUUGUAACGUACUUUUGGGAAAAAUGCUCGUGUCCAUUUUGAAAUCGGUAUAUCGUCAAGCCAGUAAAUUGGACUCCUAAGCAAGGUGCAGAAAGGUGGUUUCCUACAUGUACUUUGCAACCUUUCCAAACACAAGUAAAAAUCAUCAACGCUAUAUGCAUUGCAUGACUUCCAAAACAACGAUUCGACUUCCGUAUUGUUAUGUCCGACAGACUCACGUAUCUUUCGAGCUAUAUCUUUAGGACAAUAUCCAUGAUAGGAAUCCGGGUAGGCACUCUGAACACCAAAGUCUAUUUUAUCACAUAGGUUGCUUAUGAAACCAACCUCUAUGUCCUCACCUAAACAAUCUUUUAACCUCAUCAUGAACCAUCUCCAUGAUUCUUCACACUCUAAGGUUCCCAAACCAACUGCUAAGAGUAGUGGUUCAUGAUUUCCAUCUAAAACCACUACGAAGUACAUUGUUGUCAGAUUGCUCCCAAGAAGGGGUAAAUAACCCACAUAUAUCAACGGCAUCAUGCACCUAAGGAAGGUACGAAUCUACAUAAAAAAAAACACAUAUUAGUGAUAAGUAAAAAGUAAUCGAGAUACGUUACCAUGAAAUAUUAUAUAACUCAAUAAAAGAAGUAUGUUAUACCACGCAACCUAAAGCCACAAAACAGAAUUGAAAGCGGUUGGUAUCGGUUUUCUUAAUGGCUGUGAAGGUAUUAGGAUUUGUUAUUUGAAGGUUAUGCAAGAAUAUUGGUAGCUGAGAAAAGCUUCUUUCGGUGUAAGUACUCAUUUUCAAAACCAAUGAAAGUGUUUUACAAUCAUCACACAAAUGCAAUAUCACACAAAUGCAAUUAUAAAUAGAAAAUAUUGUAUCUCUACUGUUCAAAAUUCAUAGUUUAACUUUUAAAUUCAUAGUCAAACCAGUUCAUUUCAUAGUCAAAUUUCACUGACCGGCAUGACAAUACUACAGAAUGUACUUGUCUGCAAUUCAUAGUUCAACUUUUUAAAUUCAUAGUCAAACCAAUUCAUUUCAUAGUCAAAAAUCACUGACCGACAUGACAAUACUACAGAAUGUACUAGACUACAGUUCAUAGUUCAACUUUUUAAAUUCAUAGUCAAACCAAUUCAUUUCAUAGUCAAAAAUCACUGACCGACAUGACAAUACUACAGAAUGUACUAGACUACAGUUCAUAGUUCAACUUUUUAAAUUCAUAGUCAAACCAAUUCAUUUCAUAGUCAAAAAGAAUUGUCUGUAAUAUGAUUUCUUCUGUAAAUGGGUGUCACUCAUUAUGAAAAAUUUAACUGGGAAAGUAACUCGAUUUAAAAGAAAAAUAAGGCUAAUGGCAUACUGUAAUUGCGGAGGAGAACGUAUUGUUAGGAUUUCGGGUACAACUAAAAACCCAGGAAGAUUGUUUUACGCUUGCCCAUAUUUGGUAUCAUGUUGUUAACGUCAUUUAAAUUUAAACCCUCGUGUUUACAUGACAAAAAUUUAUUUUCUUACUGUCAAUGUUAAAUUUAACAGGGACCAAAAUGCGGGUUUAUCAGUUGGGUUGAUGAAGAGAAGGACCAAUCAUCUAUAGUAAUAGCUAAAGUAGCUAACUCUAAUAAGCUCUUUCAAUCAGAAAAUAAGAAGUUAAAGAUAGCAUUGGUUUGUAGUUGGGUGUUGUUUGUAACACGCGUAGAUCAGGGCUAGUCAAUUUAUAGACGAUAGGCGUCAAAAAUGAAUUUUUGAUGAAAGAUUAUUUAUAAUAAAUAAUCUUAACUAAGUUGUAGUAUAUGUUACAAGGAUUCUAUACAUAUAAAGAACACCGAAAUCCGAGUUAUAACGAAGAAGUUAUGGUCUGUCGAAGUUUCGCGACAGAACCGGCACGGCACAGUGCGACGUAAAAAAUGAAUUUACGUUAGAGUGAUAUUUAGCCUUAGCAAUCUAAAUGAAAGUCGUAGAAUACGUUAAACCAUGAGCGUGCAUAAAAAGAACGCCCAAAUCUGACUUCGUAUGAGGAAGUUAUGAUUUUUCGAAGUUUCGACUUAGCGGUAUGCAGUCCGAAUACUUGAUUUGAAACCGAGCGGUUUUUAGCCAAAACAAUCUAAAUGAGAACCGAAUAUCUCAUUAAUUGUAGUAAAACGAUAAAAAGAUAGGCGAAAACGGACGUCGGAUGAAGAAGUUAUGAUUUUAUAACGGAGUUUUCCUGUCCCGGCCUACUAAAAAUAAAUAAUAAAAAUAAAGUCAAAAUUAGCCGGCGGAGUCUAAACGAAAGUUGUAGAUCGUAGUCUCACCUACGCGUAGAUAUAAAGAACGUCGAAAACGGAGUUCGUAUGAGGAAGAUAUGAAUUUUUGAAGUUUAUUAAAUAUUUUCGAUAUUUAAUUUAAAUAUAUAUUGACCGAUAUUAUCCGAAGGGGGGGAGUCAGCGACCUUAUUGUCAUUACGCCCAGCGUAAUCUCAAGUUACGCCCAGCGUAAUUCGACCUUCCAGCCCCUAUAAAAGGGUGUCGAGGGCAGCCGAGUAGUUUGCUCAUUUCUUCCAUUUUUCUCGCGUUUUUGCAUCGUUUUUCGUGCAAGAAUUAUCCCGAAGCCCCGGUAUCAUUCCCGAGCCCCGAAGCAAGUCCCGAGGCCCCGAAGAUCCCGAGAAGUGCAAUUCCCGAGCCGAAGCUCUAUCCGCGAGGAGUCCGGUUUUUGUGAAGAUCUUUCAGAUCUGCCGAAGAAUACUACUUCUACAAGCCGUAGUGUUGUUCGAUCAUCUUCUAAUCAAGUGAGUGUGUGAUUACUUUCUUCUAACGCAUAAAUAUUAAGUAUUUGCUAUGAAAUACAUGCUAUGUGUAUAAUAUAAAGUUGUUUAUAUGUGUGGGUGUAUAGUCCAUUUCAUAAACACGAUUUUAAUACAAGUAUUGUUUGAAUGUAUUAAAUAUAUGUUUGGUGUGAAUGUGUAGUUACCUUCUUCUAACACAUAAAUAUGAAGUAUUUUCUAUGAAAUACGUGCUAUGUGUUUAUAUAUUAUUUGUCUAUUUGAGAUGGACGUGGAAUUGAUGUUGUAUACAAGUGUUAAAUGAUUUAAACUGUGUAAGUAUUUAUAUCUACGAAAAUGUUGGGUAGAACUUGGGUAGAUGGGAUAGUUGGUGAUUAUGGAGUUAGCGCCUAUUGUAUAAACCUUGACGACUAUGGAGUCAGCGCACGUUGAGUAAACCUUGGCGACUAUGGAGUUAGCGCUUGUUAAGUGAACCUUGGCGACUAUGGAGUUAGCGCUUGUUAAGUGAAUCUUGGUGACUAUGGAGUUAGCGCAUGUUAAGUGAUCCUUGGUGACUAUGGAGUUAGCGCCGCUUGAGUAAACCCCGGCGACUAUGGAGUUAGCGUCUGAUAACUAUGGAUUUGGUACCUGAUAGAUAAACUUUGGCAGCAAUGGACUUCGUUUCAAUUCCUUAGGUAAAUUCUUAGGAAUGAAUGAAUGAAGGAUAAUGGANUGAAUUCAUAGUCAAACCAGUUCAUUUCAUAGUAAAAAAGAAUUGUCUGUAAUAUGAUUUCUUCUAUAAAUGGGUGUCACUCAGUAUGAAAAAUUUAACUGAGAAAGUAACUCCGAUUUAAAAGAAAAAGAAGGCUAAUGGCAUACUGCAAUUGCGGAGGAGAACGUAUCGUUAGGAUUUCGGGUACAGCUAAAAACCCAGGAAGAUUGUUUUACGCUUGCCCAUAUUUGGUAUCAUGUUGUUAACGUCAUUCAAAUUUAAACCCUCGUGUUUACAUGACAAAAAUUUAUUUUCUUACUGUCAAUAUUAAAUUUAACAGGGACCAAAAUGCGGGUUUAUCAGUUGGGUUGAUGAAGAGAAGGACCAAUCAUCUAUGGUAAUAGCUAAAGUAGCUAACUCUAAUAAGCUCUUUCAAUCAGAAAAUAAGAAGUUAAAGAUAGCGUUGGUUUGUAGUUGGGUGUUGUUCUUGGCAGUUCUUGUUUACAAGUUGUAAGCUUUUUAAUAUUGUUUUUAUGGUUUUGAAGUUGUUAGGUCAAUAAAUUGUUGUAUUUAUACUUAUGUUUAGAACAGUGUACUUGUAACGUUAAAACAAAUGUUGUAGUCGUUCUUAUGUUGUAAAUAUUGAUAAAUUAUUAGUAGGUCAUUAAUUUGUUGUAAUUGUCGUAACGUUAAAUUUUUUUCUAUCCGUUGACGAAACUGUAAAAAUAAACUAAUAAUCAAAUCCAACAUUAAUUUAGAUAUACAAUUAUAUAAUCCAACUACAUAGGACCAAGACUAGACCCCCAAAAAAAUUUUGUCAUCCGUUGACGGAACUCUAAAGCUGCGUUCUUUGGGUCAAUAAGAACACGUAUUGGUUGACCUGAAACGAAUUGCUCCAUAAACAUACAAACAAAAACACCGCAAUCUCCCAAAUGACUACUUUGUUGGGGAACAUUUUCUUCAUAAAUGAAUUGCAUAUUCAAUGAAAUCCUUCGGAUGUUCCUCCAGGCCCAAUACCUAAUCUUGUCCAAAUAAUUUGCCACCCGACGUUCAAAUUUGGAAAAGAUUCCUUCGGAUUGGAAUUUUUCAUAAGCACCUCUACCAAGACUGUCAUAAAUAUGCACUUCCAUUGACGCUAAUCGUAGUUCCCCAAAUAGCCAAUGAUUAGGGGAUGAAUGAAUCGGCAAUAAGACCUGUAUAAGGAUCAGAAAAUAAAAUUAUGUUUAUUUACAUCACAAUACAAAAACAUNUCAUUUUGUCUUCCAAACGAUCCUUUUUUACCAUAAUGUGUAUCAACUGCUCAUCCUUCUCAGCAAGCCAUUUUUCAGUCGUUUUGAUUGCCUUCUUACUCUUUUUUAUCCAAUCUUUAUGCUCUUUGAUUUUGUUUUUAUUGAGGUCUAUCCAUUCUUGAGCUUGUUUGCAUUCCGAUGCAAUAUCAUUAGCAAGUUGAGUGAGAAGUCGGGAUGAAUCUUUGUCCUCUUCUUGUUGUUCUUCAGCCUUCUUCAAUUCUUCAAAAUUUUCAUGUGACAUAUAUGGCCCGACUGAAGAGGGUGUAAAAAAAGGGUCUACCGAAUCACAGUAGUAACAAUCUACUUCAUUGCAUGAGCAAACUUCGAAUUUGUGUGAGGAACUCAUAAUAAAGUCGACAUUGUAAUAAACUUGUGCUAUAAGUGGUAUUUAUACAUACUAGACAGGAAUGACAAGUCCAACUUUGAAAUGACUAAACAGUAAUGACAAGCCACUGCAGUAACCUGCAAAUCGUAGUGGAACCCUUAAGUGACAAGACAUAAAUGACAAUUUGACAUGAUAAAUCACCGCAUAAAGCUGAAAAUCGUAGUCCAAAUGUAACCAUUUCAUAGUCAAAGUUUUAAUUCAUAGUCCUGUAUUUAUUUAUAUAAAUAGAUGUUUAAGAUCUAAAAACCAAACACCCAAAUCACCUAAACAAAACGAACUCCAAUUAUUAGAAAUGUUGUCGAAUGCAGCAAGUUCUUCGAAUGAAGUACCUGGUUCCAAUUCUGAAAGGCCAUGGACGACAAACGAGGUGUUAGUUCUUACACGAUGCUGGCUAAGUGUUAAGGAUGGUGUAUCGUUACUUGCUCCCCCGCAUUGCCUAAUUGGUGAUGAAUGGACUCGCAUAACAUCUUUGUUUAACCAUGAGAUGGGAGAAGGACAACAAAGAGAAAAAUCAGAUUUUGUUACUAAGUGGAUGGAUGUAAAGGAAGAAGUGACAUGGUUCAAUCGAGCAUGUAAUUAUGCGAAAAGUAACAAUGUUCGUUAUCGGAACGAAGAAGAGUUCUUGGAAGUUGUUACAGAUUUUUACAUCUGUGAGCAUGACGGCAGAGUUCUUGGAAGUUGUUACAGAUUCUUGGAAGUUGUUACAGAUUGUUACAGAUGUUUCAAUCUACUAAAAACAAAAUAUAAAUUAAUGUAAGUAUAAGAACCUCUUUAACUUCACUAUAAUCAUUUACAUCAAACAUAUCAUCAUCAAAUUUGUUCCCCGCAUAGUCAUUCCUCUCCUCCAACACCUACAUUAAAAAUAAAACUUUAUACUUAAUAACGAAAGACACAUUAAAAAGUAAUUAUUAAAAUCGUAAAGGUAAUAUCUAUAACAACCUUGUCGUCUUCAAUAUCACCAAAAAUAUUUUCAGUUGUAUUGUUUUUAUUCAUCACUUCAUCUUGUACAACCUAUAUUUUCAAAUAUAAAAUAUGAACACAGGUAUUCAUAUAUGUUAAUAAAAUUUAAAAAAUAAUGUAGCGUGUAACUAACCUGGUCAUCAUAUUUUCUUUGUGACACUAUAGGAUCAUCAAAAGUAAUGUCAUUCCAAAAUUGUUCAGUAUUCACUUCUUUAACAAAAACAUCUGUAGGUUGUCGGUUCAUAAACACAUGCUGCUCCAGUGCAUGUAGCCGUUUCAACACAUCGUCUAGGUUGUGUUUCUCACUGCCCCUACCUCUACCAUGAGAGCAACCACUGGACGAUAUACUAGACGAAGAUUCGUCUUGUCUCCUAAAAUGGUCCCACUGAAGAUGNCUGGUUUCCCUUCACCAUAUACAUACUCUUGAAAUGACAUAUAAUAACAAGAUGUCAUCUCACCAUCACUCGGUAACAUGUUUUGUCUUGGUGUUUGCCCCUCCUAAAAAAUCAAACAUAUUAAAAAUGCAUAUAAAAGUAUAAUAAUCAAGUUUAUUAAUAAUAAACGAAAAAUUUAUAAACCUGUAUCUUUGAAAAAAUCUUGUUCACGUCAACCCAUUUCAAUUUUUUUGUUCCACUCCAUCGUUUCAUCCGAGGCAUGUCUUUAUUUUUUCUCAAUACAAAUCCACAUGUACGAACAGCCAGAAUCAUCUCAUAUAUCUAUAUCUAUAAUUUUUUACAAUUACAGUAAUUAAAGUUAAAAUUAAAAUAAAAAACAUAACAAUAAAACCAUUUAAAUAUAAGAAAAUUUGUAUACCCUUAUUGGAGCCGUAAAUCCUGAGACGGAGUACUUUAAAGUUUGACGACGCUCAGUAAGUGAUAAAUAAUUAUUUAUUUUGUUUCAUGUAUCCUCAAGGUCAACAUAAGUAAAAUCCCAAAGAUAGCUACCCUCAAGCGAAACUAGCAAAACAAAAAAACAAAAUUGGUUUUUAUAUAAAUUAUAACUUUAAUAAAAUAAAACUUUUAACGUAAACAAAAUAUACUUGUUCCAGAGAUCCAAAUUCUCAGCUAAAAAAAAAAACAAUCUUGUGGCACCCGAUCAUUAAUUUCUUUUCCCAAAAAACCUUCACACAAAAUGUAUAUCAAACAUGCUCUAACUGCAUCAACGUCGUCAACUUCUAAGAAUGUUAGAUUUAAAAUUAAACGUUUCAGGUCGUCGAUUUUCACCGAACUAUUGGUAUGGUCCGGAAAUAGCCGCUCACGCAAUAAACAUCUUUUUUUUUACUAGUUAAUAAUUUUUCCAACGCUUUUUUCCCAAUGUUUUUUGGAUACUCCCCAAAAUUGAAGCCGAUUAUCAAACAAAACUCUUCCGGCCCAUAAACCAUUUUCGUAUUGCCUACUCUAAAAUAUAAUCGUUUUAUUCCAUCUGGAGAUAAAACAGGGUCCGGCCGGAUCUGAUGAAGGAACAUUUUAUGGAACAACAAUGUGUCCCCUUAUAAACGAGGGACAUCCAUAAAAUAACCAAAUACAGUAUCUCUGAAAAUGACACGCCUGACACCAUCUAAAACUUCAAAUACCCAUAUAUUACCGCCCGAGCCUUUUAAGUUCACAAUUGCUUUCAUAUUGAUAAAACUAAAAUCAUGCUGCAAAAAAAACACAAAAACAAAUUAGAGAACUAAAAAAUAUUUUGUUUUUAAAAUAUAUGAUUAUGAACUGCAAUAAGUUUAUAAACAAUAAUAAUUUUAGUAAUGCAAAUACAAAUUCUUAAUUAAUAAUUUAUAUAUUUACGAUAAAAAACAAUAACAAACACAUAUAUAAACAAUUUUCCAAGUUAUAUAACAAAUAUAUUUACGAUAAAAAAACAAUAUCAUACAUAAUUAUAUAAACAUUUUAUUAAACAAAUUUUCAACUUAAACGACAAAUAUAUAAACAAUUUUUAUCUUUCUAAUUAUAUAAACUAACAUUUUAUAACCAUAUAAACAAACAAUUUUUCAAAUAAAACGACAACCAAAUUAACAAUUUUGCAAGUUAUACGACAAAUAUAUACAAAUUUUCAACUUAUACGACAAAUACAAACAAUUUCUAACAAUAUAUAUACGACAAAUUUUCAACUUAUACAAAUGUUAUACUUAUACGACAAAUAUAUAUACAAACGACUAUUUUGCACAUACUGUAAUUUAACUAUUUUUCACUUUAUAUAAACAAUUAUACGAUAAGAAUAUACAAGUUUUCAAGUUAUACAACAACUAAACAAACAACAAAAAUAACAAAUUGUAAACAUUAUCUACGCAGUCUCUACUUGUACAUUCAAACAACCACUAACAAAAUAGCAUUUAAAGUUCAAGUAUACUAAAGAAAUAUUAAAACUAUCAAACACAACAAAAUUACCCUUUCACAAACUUUAUAAUUUCUAUUUUUUUUACACUAAAUAAUAUAAUAAAUGAUAAAAUAAUAAAUAGUUAAAACAUUAAAAGAGUUAAAAUCUAACCAUAUUUGCGGGAUUGUUGACAUAAUCCUUCAUUUUCUUCAAAAACUAGCCAAAAUCGCGAGAAUAGCCCACAGAUAAAGAGAGUUUUUGUGUAGAGAAGGGUGAAAAAUGGAGAAAAAAACGUUUAUAUAGUCAAAACUAGGGGAAAUCGCAGAUGGAAUACUCAUUUCGCAGAUGGAAUGGUCAUUUCGCAGAUGGGGCAAUUCCAUCUGCGAAAUUGUGGGCUAUUUUUGCAAUUUCGAUUUUUUUGGCUAUUUUUGUAAUGUAAUUAGUAUAAAUAGCUAUUUUUGUCAUUUUCUCUUAUAAUUAAUAUACUAUUAUCAUAAUAUAUUAAUAAAUUAUUUAUUUCAAUUUAUUAAUCAAAUAAUAAAUCAGUCUCUCUCCAAAAGUCAUCAUGUCCAAUUGUUGGGUUUGAGGGCAACCCAAAAGGACCGUGCUACUAUCAAUUCAAGUAUAUAACAAUUAUAGUUAUGGUCUUAGACACCUAAUCCAACAUAUAUAUGGGCCCCACCCUGGGGUAUCUUUCAACCCAAUAAUACAAUAGUGGGCCCCGCUUUGGGGUCUAUUUCAACCCGAACAUACGAUAGUGGGCGCCGCCAUGGGGUAUAUUUCAACCCAACAUACAAACACAUAUAAGCUAUCAUCCGAGAUACAUAAUAAUGGGUCGACAUUGGUGCCUUCAGCUCAUUGAUACAAUUAGAAAACUCACCUUACAGACGAGUAAAAAUUGAAACAACACACUGCCCCAAAACCAACUCUACCGGUCACUUUACAAAUAACAGUGACCAAAUCUUAGAUUACAGGAUCAAAAUACUCGAAAUACCCCUAAGUCAAACUUGAUCAAAAUCCUGGUCAAAGUCAAAAGUCAAUUGGGUUAAAUCCAUUGGACAAAAAUCCUAAUAUAAGGUCUUACGUCGUGACUAUUCCUUGGUCACAUCGUGAGAGUCGACCAAGUACAAUUCCAACAACUCGUUCCAGGCUCAGCAACUCGUUGUCACUUCGUGAGACCUUAUGUCUCAUAUCGUAACUUCAGUCUGCAUCCAAAAAUCAAUGUUUUAAGUCCUUAUUCCGUUAAGAUAUUGAAUCCAUUUCAUCCAGAAGCUAAAGGGGACCCCUAAGGUCCAUAAAAGUGUUUGCUUUAUGGCCAUGCAUGCACAAUGCAUGACCCAACAUAUUCUAGGUCAAAAAGUGGAAAAUAUUCAUAAAACUCAUGCAUGGCUCUUAUACCACACUAACUUCUAGGUCUAGACAAUAUGAUGAUCAAAGAACCUUUGGAAUCUAUAAAGUAGCUAACUUUAUGGAUUUACUUCACUCAAGCAUGCUUAACAUGAAGAAAUAUGGAUAGAAUCCUAGAUCUACCCAUAAUAUGCAAUAAAGCUUGAAGUUUUGAUACUUACAAAGGUACAACAACAAGAAAAGAUGAUGAUGAUGAUGAUACUUUGUCCACUCCACCACUAGAACACUUCUUUCCUCUUAUUUUCUCAUUAUUUAAGCUAGAAAGUGCACCAAAAUGACUACGGGCUUCAAGAAUGAUUGAUAUCAAGGUUUAUGGAGGCUCAGAGUGUGAAGGAGGUUGAGGGUGAACAACCCUAGCCCUCUCAUUUCAUUAAAUACCAAAAAUAUAGGGUUUUGGUUAUUAGUCCACUCUCACGUUGUGAGCAACACGGGCUCACGUCGUGAGAAUCAAAGGAAGCAGGUCAACAAGUCAACACUGCCUCACGACGUGAGAGACAUUGCUCACAUCGUGAUUACAUCAAAAUGCUAAAGAAAACCUCGAAAUCAUGUACCUCAAAACUGAAUGUUACAGAAUAAAGUUUUAGGUUUAAUGAAAUAAUUUUUUUUGAUAAGUCGGGGAAGAGUAACUUAUCCAGAAUGACUUUUCUCAGGUGUGAGACUGCUAUAAGUUGUUUAAAAAAAAUAUUAUCUAAACUUUCUUUAUAACUUAUAUCGGUUCCAUACUGAUUAUAAAUUAAAAGUUCAUUUUUAAAACUUUCUUAGACAUCUUCUUAAUAUUCGUGUCAAAUAAAACAUAAGGAGUACAAAACAAAAUUUACACUUGGUUCUAGAGUUAAUAAGCAAAGGUUAAAAAUAAAAGGAAGGAAGAAGAAGGAACAUAAAAGAAGUGGGAGGGAAUUCAUACUUAUAAGGUUAAACCAGAGCGGAUAAAUUUCAAGAGAAAAAUAUAUAUUCUUUCUUUUUAUUCUUUUUUCGCUCACCUCUUUAAAAAAUCGAAAACACACCUUUUUACCUUUUCCUUAAAAAGAAACUCAAGAACACACAUUUUCUUCUAUUUUAUUCCACUUUUUUCUUUAAGUGAAAAUAGAGCAAAAUAGAGCAACAAGGUUUUCAUAACUUUACAGAUCUACCCUGCUAUUGCACGAAUGACGAGAUUUUUAAAGGGUUGAUAAAUAAUCACAACGAUGACAAAAUGGGGAAGGGAGGGGGGGUUGAUAUAAUAUUUCAAUCAAGUGUUUAACAUCUAUUAAGAAUAUCAUUGUUCUAAAAGGUGUAUCAUGACACGUCAAUAUUUGUGAUGACGGCAACAUGUGACUCUAGCUUCGCGAAUCGCAACAAUGGUGUUAUCUGGGCCUAGUGUGCCCAAAUGAUGGAGGGGCGUGCUAAGGCAAUAGUUUUUUCAAGAUGUUUUUUUUUUCCUUAUUCAACGAUAAACCCUUGAGUUUUGUUAAUUUAUUAUUAGUAGUUGUUGAUAUAAUAUUUUUUAAAUAUAAUAUAUUUGAUAUAACUAUAUAAUUGUAUGAUCUUUCUUUUUGUCUAUUCGAUUUGUUCAACGUAAUUGAGUAAUAUUAGAAUAUAUAAAAAUACCGACUUAAGUCGUAUUUUAAGAAACAAUAUGACACCACGUGACUCGUAAACAUUACAUUUCACCUCACACAUUUAAAACCUUGUAAAAUACUCAUUUCGUCCAAAAAUUAUAGUCCAUAUUUCCUUUUUGGUUUGUCCCAAAAUAAUAGUCAAUUUCUAAAAAUAAAUAACAUUUUUACCAAAAUACUCCCUCAUUAUUACUUAACCAACUAAGUAUUUAAUGGAACAUUAAAUGCAAAGUAAGGACAAAACUUUCAUUUUAUUAUAUAAAGUUAGUGAUAAUUAAUGCUUUUCUUAAUCUGUGUGUUUUUUGUCUGUGGACAAUAAUAUUGGGACGGAGGGAGUAUAACGUAUAUUGGGUUUUUGCAACUUGCAAAAUGGAAACGAUUGGUCUUCCACUGUAAGAUUUUUUUUCUUUUUGACAUAUAUUGUUUAACAUCCCGAUUUUCAACUCAAAAUUUUCCCUUUUUAUUUAUUAAAAUAUAUCAGAGUAUUAUUACAUUGUGCGGAAACAUGUUGCGAAUGUGCGUGUGUACAACUAAGCCUUGCACUUCUUACGAAUCAUUUGAAGUUCUUGAAAAACAUUUAUAUUCAACUAGGUAAGCACGAAGAUUAGUGAGUUUCCUAAAAUGUCAUAUACCACAAUAGAUAUGUAUAUGCAUAUAUCGAGUAUCUAGGCUCAUAAUCGCUUAAGUUCUUAUUGUCAUCACCUCACCUUUUGAGUAUCUAGGCUCACAAUCGCUUAAGUUGCUAUUGCCCUUUUCUAGGCUCACAACCACUUAAGUUGUUAUUGCCAUUAACUCACCCCUUUGCCUUCAGCAUAAAGCUGAUUCGCUACCUUGACUAUCCACAUAACANNNNNNNNNUAUAGCAAGCAGAUAAAUAGUCCACAAACAUGAAACUAACUAAACUAAUCUAAUUGCCUAAUAACAUACUGCAGCCACCUCCAACUAACUUAAGCAUAACAUUAGUCCCAAAGAUACUAUACUACCAACAUAUCCUACUGGUUCUUAUAUCCUAACAUACAUGGAUAUAUAUUGUAGUACACAAUAUAGUGAGGUAACUCACCUGGACAAUUACUUGGAAGUUUGACAACUAUCUAUGGAUAUAUAUUGUAGUACACAAUAUAGUGAGGUAACUCACCUAGACAAUUACUUGGAAGAUUGACAACUAUCUGGGCGAUUCUACUGACGAUUCAACUGGAAGAUAGUGUGCCAAACAAGUAUUAACCUAUAAUAUUUUAUCCUAUUAAUUUGUAUAAUGAUCUAGUAAUGAAAACUAGAUUCUUCACUAAUCCCAAUGAAUACCGAAUGUUCUAUCAAAUAAGGAUCAUGCAGGUCGGUCAAUCUGGAGGCAUGAUCAUUUCGGAGUAUAGUCUUUCUGAAAUCCAACAACCAAGCCAACGUCACCAUUCUAGAUACCUCUCUCGUAAGUAAAUAAAUCAGUAUUAUAGCCGGAAUUAAUGAUAAAUCUUAUUUAUAUAUUCAUAACAACAACAAUGAAUAUAAAUAUAAGUUACACUAAGAAUAUAAAUAUGUGUAACAAUCGACGAGAUCUACAACUUUCAUAUGCGUAACAACAACAAAUAUAAAUAUGCGUAACAAUCAACGAGAUCUACAACUUUCAUUUAGACUUCUCAACUAAUUUUGACUUUAUUUUUAAAGUUGUAUUUUUACCAGACUUAGACUGUUAACAACUGUAUAAAAAUCAUAACCAUCUCAUAUGAAUGUUAUCGACUGCCUUUAUAUCGAAGAAAUCAUAUGGACGAGAUCUUCAAUUCUUGUUUAGAUUGUUUUUCCUAACAAUCGACCGAUCUCUAUUUCAGUUUCUGUGUAGUACACUGUUGCACUGAAGUUUCUAAAAAUCAUAAUUUCCUCUUAUGAAGUCAGAUUCAAACGUUUUCUCUACGUAUGCUCUCGGUUUUGUGAUUACUAUGACUUUUGUCAGGCUUCUAUUAAAGACGUCUAUUUAUGUGACUGAUCUUUUAUACUAUAAGAUGAAAAUAGGUUGGUACAUAUUGUGGACCAUUCCAAAAUUCUGUCUCCACACAUUUUCAUACAUAAGUGAAUAACUAUUUAGAUCACAAGUCCAAAAUGACAAUAUGUUCUAACUUUUUAACGGUCUUAAGCCCAACAAUAAACCUACUACCAUGUAACCAUAACAUGAGUCCAAUACAAUAAAAUAAGCCCAUCAUUUUUUUGGGGCUAAUGCACAUCUUCUGUUAAAAAAACACAUAUUUUCAAACGUUAGACCAAAGAGCCAUUACUAGAUCCAACACUGAGUAAUCUUUGUCCAUAAUGCUGACCAACCUAUAUGAAUAAGCAGUUCCAGUAAUUAGGACCAAAAUGUGUAAUGGCCAAAAAAAAAACUAAAAUGGGUCCAACACAGGAAGUAGGCUCAAACUGCAUUAGUCCAAUACAUAAGUUAAAUGAACUUAAAAUAUUAUUUUGGAUAAAAAAUAUACUACUUAUCAAUCAUACUUAUUCUUUUAAAUAUGUUGGCUUUAAAGAAUGUUAAUCAUCUAGAUUAUCCAAAUUACUCAUUUUCAAACCAUCAAACCUAAAUGUCGUCCUAUAGUAAUAUGUACUUCAAAUCACAUUUAUUCGUAAUUUUCAUUCUAGACAUUUUUUUCUUUCUAAUUUCUCAGAAAAAUGCAUUUUUAACAUCAUGUUGAUACAAUUUAAAGUCUCAUUAAAAUUCCUUGAGCUAUUCACAUCCAAAUAUCAAAUUUCUAGUCCAAAUACUAAAAUCAUAAUCAUAAUAAUAAUAAUAAUAAUAAUAAUAAUAAUGCCAAAUCAUAAAAUAAAUGGCAUAUAAUGUGCUAGCUCAUAAAAAAAUGAGAGUUUGUUGUGUUGUCCUAAAAACCCAAUGAUCUUUUAUAGGAGGUCAAAAUGGUUGAGUUGAAAAUAAAGCCAAAAAAUUGUUGAUUUAUUUUAGAUUGAAAAAAAAUCAUAUNNNNNNNNNNNNNNNNNNNNNNNNNNNNNNNNNNNNNNNNNNNNNNNNNNNNNNNNNNNNNNNNNNNNNNNNNNNNNNNNNNNNNNNNNCAAUUGGUAAAAUAAAUAGAGAAAAUCAAAAAAUAAUAAUAAUAAAUUCCACAUGUUAUUAUUUGAUAUAAGCAAGAAGAUAAAUAUAAAUAAAAAGUAAAAAAUAUUUAAACAAACGUAAUUUAUUAAUUUAAUUAUCAUUGUACAACGAGUGAGAUGUCAAACGGGCAAUAAGUUGCGUAAGUAAGCCUUUUUGUAUGGUAAAACUAAUUCUUUUGAAGACUACCUCUAUAGAUCUUAGAGAUAUAACAUUGCUAUGCAUGAUCUGUUGUACUCUAUUAAGAAGCUCUAACGCAUCCGACGCGAGGAAACCAAAGGUAUCAAAUGCAAAUGGUAUGAACACGUGUUGAUUUUCCAUGCACGAUUUCUCAUAUUCUGUGACUUUGCUUGUAGCAGCUUUUAAAGCAAUCUGUCCCGUCGUGAAAUCCCUAACCCUCAAGCCCACAAGAAUGGAUACCCCUGUAAGGUCCACACAUGCGUGUUUCCCUUCAAACCAUCCAAAAAUCAAAAUGUCAGCCGGUAUGAGGGUUGACCUUCCUUCUGCCGAGUCAGUCAAGAAAUUCACAGGUGCCUCUUUCUUUGCGGAAACCCCGACACACUUAAAUAUGUCAAACAAAACAUCCCUAACCAUAUUUUGCCUGUAUUUGAACCCCAAGAGUUCUUUACGGUGAACUGCAUGCUCUCCAAAAGAGUCCAAACAUGCCUUGCGACACAUCAGACAUAUCUUGUCAGCUGAGAAUAUUAGGAUCAUGAGUCGAUAUUUAAGGAUAGUACGAUAAUCCACAUGAGACAUAUGUUGGUCAAACCCAUCUAUAAGGAUAAACUAGAAUAAAAUCUUGAGCAUGUGGUGCACGUAAGCACUGGAAAACCACUUUCUGUUGAGCUGUCAUGUUGAGAUGCACUUCCAUAUCUUGGAUAAUUUUACAAAAAAAGGGCACUCAAUAGUGUAUUUUGGGAUUUAGGGGGGGGGGGUGUCUUUAGUAGUAAAACUGCUAAGGUUAAAAUCCGGAAGCCUGUUGCUAAGAGAAGUCAAUGCACAAUCAUAAUCAGAAUCCAUACCAUAUAUGUCGUUAUCCCGUAAGAUGUGGUCUUAAAAAAUAUUUAGUUUUUCUUUCUUUUUCUUAGGCCAUCGGGUAUGAUAACGGGUGAACAUCUCUCCACAUCAUCAUCAGACUUGUUCACAAUUCAUUCAAUAUAGGUUGGAAAUGGCAAUGUUUUAAAACCUGGGUUUUUAGUUGACCCGGUGUGAUGACCGGUUCACGGGUCAACCGGUUCAACCGCCAAGUCAACCCGGUUUAUAGUCUUUUUCUAUUUUCUUAUAUUUUUAUUUUCCUACAUACUACAUAGACAUAUAAUACCAAUUAUUUGAUGUCAACAGAGUUUAAUCUAAACACAACAAACAAUCUAAAGACAACAAACAACCACAAAGAGUAUUAAUAACAUGUUAUAGAUCAAUAACAAAACAAACAACCACAUAGAAACCAUAGUUACGACCAAUCAAUCUAAACACAACAAACAAUCUAAACACAUAGAAAACAUACUUGUAGACAAAUCCAAACACGUUACGACCAAACCAAAUCAUGGAUCUUGAGAAAUUGGAGUAUUAUAAGCAUCAAUCUCACGGUCACUUAGUAACUGAAAUUCACUAUCAACUUCAUCAUCAACAUGGUCACCUUGUGAUUCAGAAGUCGGUUCAUGCUCUUGCUCAUCAAGCAUAUUUUCCAAAUCAUCAUAAUUAAGUUCUCCUUCCCGCUCUUCUUCAACCACCCAAAAUCCUAUCUUAUCAAUAUUUUCAUAGUCAACAGGAUCGUAAGACCUCAUAUCAACCUUCAAUCUACAAAAACAUUCACAAAAAAUCUCAAAUAUAACUUGGUCCUUUUAUAGCAUAGUAUAUCUUAGCAAGAUACCAUACCUAUUUUGUAAACGCAAGUUGUAAUGAACAAAUACAAGAUCAUUUAGCUUUGAUGUUCCAAUCUAUUCCUUCGUUUCAUGUGAAUCCUUUCAAAUACACUCCAAUUAUGUUCGCAACCGGAAGAAGAUGCCAUUUGACUUAAUAUUCUAAUAGCAAACUUUUGCAAAACCGGAAUAUCUCCGCCAAAUAACUUCCACCACUCAUCUACAAAAGAUAUAGUUAGCAAAACAAUAUAUUAAAAAAUACAAAAUUUUAUAUAUAAUAAUAACAAAUUAAAUUUAAAUCAUACCUGGACGAGUAAGAUUACGAGAAGCAAUGACACUAAAUCUACCAAAGGUACCUUCAGCAUCACGAAACCUGCCUAAAUUCAAUAUAAUAUUUAAAACAUCAUCACCUUUAAAAGUCUUCUCAACCAUUUCAAGAACGCCUUGAAACACCUCAUUCUUCUUACAAAGAUUUGCAUGAUCAUAUUGAAAAAUAGGAUUCAACCAAUAAGCCGCACAAUAAAUACUUUUUCUUAACAUCAUAUCCCAACGACUAUCAAUUAUGUUAGUGUAAGGCCUAUAUUAUUUCUUCUUCUUUUUAAACAAUUCCUUAAUCCCUCUUCUUGCCCGACACAUUCCCUCGUAAACAUAACUAACUGUAGGUUUUUCAUCCGAAUCACACAAUCGCAAAAGCUUUAACAAAUGAGUCAUUACUUUCACUGUAAUCAAACAAUUCUUCCAAAAGAUUUCAUUCAAGACAAUUUGUUUACAUUCAACCACAUUUCCCACUUUCAACAUCUUCUUAAACUCAUUAGAUAUGACCAUUGCUUGUAAGUCUUCUUUAUGAUCAUAUAAACUUUGCAAUGCAAUGAACACGGUACCAAACUGAGUAGCACCUGGACGGAUAAUUUCUUUCCAACCGGGUCUUUUUCUUAACCAAUUCAAGGGCCACUUAUGAUUAUACACAAAAACAGUAACCCUCGAUGCAAGAUUGACCAAACUUUUCACAUUAUCCAAUUCUUAAAGAUCCUUUAAUACAAGAUUAAGACAAUGUGCUGCACAUGGAGACCAAGUAAUAGAAGGAUAUCUUUCACAUAACUUAGUACCAGCAAGCUUGUAAUUAGCAGCAAUAUCAGUUACCAUUUGCACCACAUUUUUUUCUCCUACCAUUUCAACAAUCUCAGCAAACAAAUUACACAAAUUUGUAGCAUUGCUCUCUAUAUCAUAUGCAUCAACAGAUUUAAGAAAUGAUAUCUUUUUCGGACAAUAAACCAAGAAAUUAAUCAAAUGUCGUUGUGAAACAUCCCUCCACCAUCACUCAUAAUUGUGCAUCCAGUAUCAACCCAUUGACUUCUUAACGAAUCAAUUAUCAAUGAAACUGACUUUUUUGCAUCUGUCAAUAAAUUAACCUUUAGAGCAUGAUAAUUAGGUGCUUUGUAUCCAUAAUCAGUACUUGCUAUUUUAUCUACCAUAAGUUGAAAAAAAGGAGAGUUGCAAGCAUUCAUAGGUAUAUAUGCAUCAUAAAACCACAUAGCAAUAGCUAAAUCCACAUCAUGUAUUUUUGCCUUACUUUGCAUUGCAGAUUUGAUAGUGGUUGGGAAGGAUCAUUUAUACCUUUCAUAAAAAAUGGAUGCAAGUUUGAAGAAAUAUUUCAUUUUUCCUUUUUUCAUAGUUGAAAUUUCUGCUUCCUCCAUCUCUUCAUCAUCAUCCAAGAUAGUAACACUAGUGGUACGUUUUUCUUUUUCUUUUUGGGCAGUCUCUUUCAAUUUCCCUUGCAUAGUAAACCGCACUUCAGGACUAACUUUUGGGCAUGCUACAACCUCUCCUUUAAUACCAACAAGAUGUUUCUUAACCCUAUUUAUUCCACCACCACCUAUAACUUUUUGACAAAAAUUACAUAUCCAUGCCUUUUUCCCCUUCUCAUCAACGACUUGAGUAACAUGUUCCCAUGCUAUAUCCGUGUUUGUUCGUACAUUUGAUUGAACCGAAGAAUGGGAUUGAGCUUGAGAUUGUGCUUGCAAUGGUUCUUCUUCCCUUGAUUCCAUAUUUAACUGCAUUGAAAAGUAAUGUUAUAAUCAAUAAACAUAUGUCAAUUGUAUCCUAAUUACAUAAUCUAUACAAUCAAAACCUUGAAACAAUGAUCAAUUAACAAUAAAUGAACUCUAAACUAACCAAAUAUGUCACAAUCACAUAUUUCACAGUCAAAAGAAAAUUGAUUUCAUAACUAGGUAGAGAAGCAACAUUCGAAUGGUCAACUAAAAACCCGGGUUUUAAAACAUUGGGAUUAAGUACACAAAACAUAAAAACAAUACAUUACGUGAUCGAAAUUUACAUGUGUUGAUUUCAAAAACCUUCACGUUCCAAUGGUAAAAAAUAUACAAUAACUUAUUCAAAAACUAAUAAGUUUUAUAAAAUCUACAUCGGAGAUGAUCUUAUCAAUUUCUGGUUUCCAAAUUUGAAUUAUAAAAUAAAUUGAUAAAUACAAACAUCUUAAAAUCAAUAAAUUAACUUACUAAAGAUUAUUGUUAUAAGAAUUACCUAAACUUGAUCAAAUUCCACAUUGGUAUAUCUACCGAUAACAAGGCAAUGAUACCAAAAAGAAAAUGUUUUUUUUAUUGAUUACGUCAAACUUCAAAAUGAAUAUAAAACAUAUAUAAUUCUUCUAUUAAUACAACUGACUAAUUAAGUGAUAAAUAUUGGUUGAUAUUGACAAAUAGAUUUGUUUACAUUCCACCCACUUCACCUUUGAUUUGUUUUUAGAUUUAAACUUUUUCUCAAUAAAAUUGACAAAUUUAAACAUGAAACAACCAAUAAUUUUGACAAAUAUUGGUUGAUAUUCAUAAUGAAAGUAUUCCAUUGUUAACUUCAGUGAUAAAUUGAACAAGAUGCUCAGAAAGAGAAGCAACAUAACCUGUCACACCCCAAAACCAUGAAUGGUAGAAACAUUCUGGGGCGGAGGACGUCAUGUACAAUAUCACAAACAAUGAAUAAUAGUAAACAAGCAACAACAUCAUCAAUUGCAUUAAUAAUAUAAUUUCAUACAUGUGUGUUCUGUCAAAGUUAUAAACACCAAAAAUAUACAUAUCAAAAUAAAAGAUGAGUCUUGAACGAACUCCAUCUUCUCAAAAGCCUGGCACCUGUACCUGUCUAGUGGUGACCUGAGAAUACAAGUUAUUUUGAAAGCGAGUAUCAGCUUAAUGCUGGUGAGAUCAUAAGUAUAUUAAUGUCUGAGUUUGUAUGAAAACGUUUGUAAAAUGUUUCUAUAAGAUGUUUUGUAUAAUGUUUGAGCUCUCCUAGAAAACCCUAUGUUUCCUACUAACUAUAGCCUUCUACCAAGGCAUCUAGUGUCUGUGUAUAUGUCUCUUGAUAGAGUCUGUGUUUUCCCCAAUUCAGACUAUCAUUAACCAAAAAUAUAGAUUCUACAUUAUCGUGCAUCGUGUGAAUAUUCACGAAGUGAAUGUUAAUGGAAAAAAUGAGAUAGUACUAUGGUGUAGUGUCGUACUACAACCGUACUAAUUACCUUAAGUCUAGGGUAAUUCUUAUAAGUACUGUAGUAUUUGUAAUAAGUGACUAACUCUGUACUCCUAUUGCCUUAUUUGAGGGAUAAGGCCUAAUGUGAUGGCUAGAUCCCAGGCUAGNCCCCCCCCCAAUCAAAGGGAUUUUGGGACCUUUACACGACUCCUGCAUAUUUGCACGCCGUGAACAUCCACAUUACUAUGAUCAUGUAUACCCGAUAUAACUAUAACACUACGUUGUGAUUCAUCGGUAUAGUUAGAUCCUGAACUUGUUCUAUGCUAUAGCACCUAAUGAUGUCUGUCCUAUUAUCGUAUAUGUAAACGCACUCAUGUAAACAUAUCUAUGUAAACGUACUCAUGUAAGCUUACUCAUGUAGCGUAAUCAUGUAAACAUAUCUAUAUAAUAGUAUGGUAAUGUACUGUAAUGUUCUGUGUGUGCUAGCUGUAAUGUGUGUUCUCUCUCUAUCUAGCAUGUAUAGUAAUGUACUGUGUGCACUAGCUGUAAUGAGUGUUCUCUCUCUCUUUAGCAAGUAUUGACUCAUGAAUGAACUGACUCAUUGUAUGUUUCAUUGUUCUAGUAAUAAUAAUAGUAUCCUCCUGUGUUACCCCUAUGGUAACUUAUUAGUGAUGUACUGGUACGUAUGAACAUGGAAGUAUACCCUUGCUACCCAAGGGUACCGAAUGAACUAGAAGGAUCUUUUAUGACUAUAUAUGUACACAUGAUAUAUAACUAAUAUUUAAACGAACAUCUCAAGCGCGAAAAGGAAAUAGGGUGGAUAGCCUUCGUAAGUCCUUUAAACAUUUCUUAUAUAACUAUACAUACUUAGAUAUGCAAUUGAUAAUAAGUAAAACAGAGUUAAGCAGAUGUAUUUGAUAAGUAUAAGAACUUGUAAAACAGUUUGAAGCAAAACAGUUUGAUAAACAAUUUAAACAAUAAGGAAAUCAUUGGUUUUGUAGUUAUUAAUCACAUGUGAUUGAUGUAAUAACUAUAAGUAUUUGACUUGUAUCCCCCCCUCUCCCUAUAUAAGCAUUUAAAAACAUUUAAACCAUUGAUUAAGGGGUAUGAACUCACUUGUGGUGAGUGGAUUGGAUUGGAGUGUCGGGUACGGUGCUAGGUGACAAAUGGAGACUUGUACACACGCACGAGCCUAGUUAUCAUAUAAUGAACAUAUAUAUAACUAAUUAGCCAAUUUAUAACUAAUAAAUUAAGUUGGGACACUCUAGAACAAGAAAACACUUUGUUUCAAGUGUUAAAGAUCACAAGGAUUGCAUCCAAGUGUUGGUAGGGCAAAGCUAGGGUGUUUAGAGUUCAAGGGUAAACUCUCUUGGAGUUCACGGUUUUGAUGGUCAUAACCCAAGGAGUUUACGACAGUAAACUCUAGGGUUUACGGUCGUAAACUCUACUCCUAUUGACCAUGUGUUGUUUUGUGGUUUAACAAGCCUUUUGAAGCAUUUCUACUAGGUGAUUUGGCCUUUGGAAGGGACUAGGGCAACAAAAACACUCCUUAGAGGAGUUUACGGCCUCAUGGUCAUUCCCCUUUGGGUUUACUACCGUAAACCCUUAUGGAAAAGGGUAUUUCCAUGUUUUCAAGUCCUUAACACAACUAGAUAAUAGUCUAAGUUAGUUUUUAGGCCUAAGGAAGGAAAAUGACCCAUUUAAACACACUUUAGGGUGUUUACGGUUUUGGGAGAUCCCCAAACCGUAAACACCUAUAAAUGUUGGUCUUUGGUGUUUUUCAAGGCUUAGACACAAUAAGGGAAGGUUUAAACUUGUCAAGGAUGGCUUAAACAUCAAACUAGGACUUAGAUUAGGGACUUAGGCACCAUUUGUGCCUUUCUUGGUGUUUACGGCCCAAGAACAUUCUUGGACCGUGAACACCUUUAACCUUGUGUUCUUGGCAUAAUUUCUUGAUGUUUAAAUGUAAUACUAGCUUAACAACACUCAAGGAAGGAAGUACUUACGAUUAAGAGGCUUGAUUUGAGCUAAAAGUCCAAGAACACUUAGUGUGUGCUCUUGGUGUUUUGGAAAUCUAGACAAAAUACAUAAAUGAAUGGAUGAAUAGAUGUACAAACACUAGAUUAAGUGUUUUACUAACUUAAAAUGGUUAGAACACUUACAACUUUGAAGAUUUGGAAUCAAAUCUAGGACGAUACUUAAAAGCCUUUUUGGAGUUUACUUUUUUGGGUAUUUGGGGAGUAAACACAUAAUGACUAGUCUUGGGGAGUAAACUCAUACAUAUGUAUGAGUUUACGGUUUUUGGGAUGAUUUUUCAACCCAAACAUAAUAGUUUGGCCGGGAACUUCUAAGACACGAGGUGUUUGCGGUUUUUAAAAUUCAAAACCCGAGACGACACUUUCUUUCACCCGAUCGUUUAAAAAUAAUAUUAAAAUAAUAUUUCUUAAAAAUAAGAAAUAAUGACAUUAACUUAUGAUACGAAGUGGUUGACUUUUAGGGUUUGACCGAAUGGAAAUUUCGGGUUGUCACAUAACCCAAUCAACCACAAACUUGUAAUACCAAACAAAGAUAUGCUUCAGAAAUCGCAAAUCAUUAACUAGAUAGACUCAAAAUUGGAUGAUUGGAGUAAGUGGAUUAGUAAUAGAGGGGGAAUUGGUCGCUGUUUUGCAGGAAAAUAAGGAUGCAGGAAAACAAAAAAACUCACCUGGAGAAGAAUGAAAUCGCUGUGCUCGCUGCUUGCCUGCUUCAGUUGCUCCUUCAAUCUCCUUCAACGACUAUAGUUCAAUCGUUGUUGAUGUCGUUCCUUGGUCGCUGCUUUGUUUCUUCCAGUUGCUUUUCUUUCCCAGAGGAGACGAGUUUGUUUUCCCUGGAGAGAGCCGAUCUCACUUAAUUAUCCAAACCCUAAUAAACGGGCCAAUCCGGGUUUUUAGCGGUUCGAGAUACCCGGUUCAACCGUGAUUUAGUGUAAACCCGGCCGGUUCGAUCCGGUCGGUAUUUUUACAAAAACCCGCUCUAAUUUGACCCACCUUUUAUCCUGGAUCACGGUCCAACCGGUUGAACCGGCCGGGUCGACCCGAGUUUUAAAACAUUGGGAAAUGGUACUAGUGAACAAGAGAGAACAAAAGAGAGAGAGAGAUAAAUGGUUUUGAUUCGAUGCGAGAACCUGUGAGUGGUUUCAAUCCACACCACCAUUACACCCCACCAUUACACCCAUUGAGGAUGAUUUACUAGUGAACAUCUCUUUCACAUACUUCAAAUGAAGUCCAUACCUCAUGGCCUAUUAUUAAAAUUUUGUGAUUACCACCCAAAACAAACCAUCAUAGAUCAUAUAUUUAACAAAGGCAAAAAAGAGAAAAUGACAAAUGAGUUCUCUUUGUUUUUAGUGAAGCUGGCCGGUUUAAACCUCGGAAACAUGGAGAAUAUUCGUCGCGAAUGAGAUCGAUCGCCGAAUAUCCUCCUUGAUUGUUUCAAUCCAAUAUUUUAUCCAUCCAAGCCAUUGUCAAACCUCUAUUCCUCUCUGUAUAUAUACGUACAUCUGGAACAGACGUGUGAUUUAUACCAAGUCAUCCAUAUUCCCAAAUUUCGACUUGUUUUCUAGGGUAAGAGGUGGAAUCAUCGAACAAGAUGCAAUUCCGUAAGCUUCUGAAUAAAUUGAUCGACGAGAUGAUGCCGGAUUGGAGAGAUAAGUUUCUGUCUUAUAAAGAUCUGAAGAAGCAAUUGAAGCGGGUUUACUCCAGAGACGGUCGCUGUAACAAGAGGAUGAAAUUGAGCACCGGUGACGACAUUGAGCCGGCGGUGGACGAGAAGGCGGUUGCUGAUUUCGUGAAAUUGUGCCAGGAGCAAACCGACAAGCUUAACGAUUUCGUCCUUGAAAAACAAGAGUGGUAUAUCAUCAAACUGGAGGUAAUUUUGAUUUCUAAAUUUCGAAUUGAAUCGUCAAUACCUGCAUCUCGAUUGUGCUGUUAUCAAAUCCUAUAAUUGUUCCUGUUUACAUCUUAAUUGCUAAAUGUUACGUUAUCUCUUCCAUAAACAGAUGGAAAUUCGAUAUUCAUCUCAAAUUUCGAAACUUCACGGAUGAUCAUUUCUGUUAUUGAAUUCGUUUCAGUUGUUGGCUCUUCAUAUGAAUCUAACCAAUUAGUGUUAUAAUGUUGGGUUAUCACUUUAUUGUGCACAAUUCAUGCAUACUGUCACAUAUCUAAUGCAAAUCAUUUUAAAGGUGCUAGAAGGUAACUUGAUCGCAGCCAAGGAUUCAAGUGAAGAGUUGAGGAAAGUUGCUAGAGACCUCGCAGAUUUACAUGGGGAGAUAGUUCUCUUGUUAAAUUACAGUGCACUCAAUUACACAGGUAUUCACUAACCUCUACAGUCUUCAUUUCUCCAAACAAUUUAGUAUCUCCUUCUUUACAGUUUCAAAUCAUGUUACAGGAUUAGUUAAGAUACUGAAGAAACAUGACAAACUAAGCGGAGCUCUUCUUCGUGUGCCUUUCAUCCAAAAAGUUAUGAAUGAGCCAUUUUACAAAACUGAUGUUCUAAACAAUCUUGUUAAGAAGUGUGAGAUGAUGCUGGACCAAUUUUUAUCCACGAAGCAACAAAGUUCAUCCCCAUCUGAAUCAGGAAACAGGAAAGAAGGAAGGAGUUCUGAACCAAAUGAGGAGUCGUCUUCUGUUAGGGUUCCUGAAGAACUGGUUGAUAUUGAGAACAGGGAGAACACAUACAUGAAACAAACUCUUUCAGCACUUAGAGUUUUGUCAGAAAUUCGAAAUGGAAGCUCGACUGUAAACUCGUUUUCACUACCCCCGAUGCAACAGAACAAGGAGAGGGAGGAGGUAUGGAAGAAAACUUAUGUUGUUGAAGAAGUUGCUAAGUGAAUCAACAACACCCAUAACUUUGUAACAAACAGCCUUUGAUUUUUGAACAAAGGAGGAAUAAGAUGAACAGUUGGUUUUUUCUUGGGACGAUAACCUGUAAUUGAUAAUUAGGAAUCGAUAAUGUAAUAUAUUUUCUUUUAUAAUCACAAAAUUUGUGACAUCUAAUUAAGUUUAUUUAUACCAGUUUGGUCUCGGUUUUUUUAAUGGGGACUAGCUGAAACAGGUCAUUUAGUUCACAAUAAAAUGAAACAAAGAGGACUAUCCCUACAAGAAAACUCAAAAUUGGACUGGAUAUGUCAUUUUCACCAAACAACAUGGAGCGUGCGAAAGAGGACUCAAUCUCAAAGAAUAGAAACAUGCAAACAUUUUUUGUGAAGCGUGACGGAGCUUUUUCGCAAAGAUAUAAAGUUUGGUGAAUACCAAACAAAAGACAAAUUAUGACUAAAAUUUGUGACGUAAAACAAAAUAGUCAUGGAAUUUAAUAGAAUGUAUAAGAAUUUGUGCAACCAUCGAAAAACCCGUCAAAGUGAUAGGACACAUGUUGACUAGGCACUUCAGAUAUACGGAAUAAAAAUAAAAAUAACGAGAAACCUUCAAAUUUUUAUUGAGUUUUGGAAAGGUGCUGUAAAAAGCCCAAAAUGGAAUUUGGUGGAAACAAUGGAUCAAAAUGCUAGUGUUUCAAAACAUUUAGACUUUUGACUCCAACUACACAACUUUUUCGGAAGCUCGUGUUAGGGUUAACCUCGGCUUCGGUGAUGACGAGCUUGAAAUUGAAGCAAUUAUAAAGCCAAGAAGAAAGGUUCUUCCUCUACUUUACCGGAAGAUAAGUUGGACUUCCAAAAAAUGGCUAAUUUGUUCGACCAUUUUAAUUCCAACUUUAAUGUGUAUAUGGAAUUUGAAAAAGAGAAGCUACAUCUAAAAGACAACACGUGAAGAAAAGCAACGGGUCAAAGAUAUAAAAUUGUUGUUGGUGAGGAACGGAGUGAGAGAAAAUGACAUGACGUUGAUGUGAUAGACAAAAAAUAUAAAAAGUAUGAUACCACAUCUCAUAGCCUAACCCCUAUAAAACCUAAACAAAGGAAACAUUAGAUACCAAAACUAGGAUUUGCUUUGUGAAUUUGUCUUUUCUGAUCGACAAAUCCACCACAAAAACAAGAGAAUUGAGAAGUGGCGAGAUCCGAAAGCAAAAAGAGAACUAUAGAGAGGAUCACCACCAACUUGUGUAAAAUCAAGGUUGUAAAAGUCGUUAGGCGGUGGUCGGGCGGUCGAUUAAGGUUAAAGGACUAAUCGGUUUAGGCAGAGAUUAAUCGACGCCUAGGCGAAGACCCUUAAUUGUAAUAGAUUUUUUUUAAUUAAUAUUACCUAUAUCCUAACAAAAUAAAAAACCAUAAAACUUAGACAUAUUCAAAUGUCUAAAUAUUUAAUCAUUAUAUAUAAUAAUUUUUUAGACUAAUUGAGGAUAUUUUUAAUGGUUUUAGUCAUCAAUUGUCAUAAUUUAGUCACCCAAUAACAAAAAUUUGACUAAUCAGAGUUUUUCUUUUCUUUUUUUUUUUUUUUUUUUGUUGAAAAUUUUGCCUGAUUUUUUUAUCGGCUUAGACCGUCUAGAUCGCCUACAGCCGCCCAAGACCGACUCCACCUACCUCGACCGACUAACAUUAAUCGUAGACAGUAAGAGGCCGCAUGGACCAAUUUUUACAAGAUGGUGUAAAAUAUAUAAAUACAAGAAAACACCUAUUUGUAUAACACAUAUUCAAGUAUAAAACCAAAUGAAAAAAUGAAGAUACAAGGAUAAAACCAUUCGUAAAUAGGAAAUCUCAUAGUGGUACUUAAAUCUGGUAAAAGGCCUACUAAUGCUUCUUUAGGGUACUAACUAGUGAAUUGAGGAGGGUUGAGGUUGUAGACGAUAUAGGAGGGCUGAGGUUGUAGCGAUGGAAAAGCGAAAAGUUUAUAUAUGGUGGGUAUGGUGUCAAUGAGAGAACAAAAGAACCAAAAGAGGACGUAACAAUAACAUGUUAAGGGUGAUGGGAAAAUAUAUAGGCGGUGUGAUAUUUUCAUUCUAUUUACUUAUUUUUAGAGUUUAUUUUAACAUAUUUCAUUUUAUCUUAGCUAAUCUCCAUGCAUAUUUUCCUUUUUUGUUAUUUUAUAUCUGUAUCAUAUACUUUAUAGUCUUUUGAGUUUAAUUGUGGAUUUAUUAAAGACUAUUCAAUGUGAAGCGAUGGUAGAGUGCGAGAUCAUGCUAUUUAAAGUUUGCAGUGUAUUUCCAGAUUAAUGGAUGAUAACAAUUGGACUUGAUGUAAAUAAGAAGAACAAGAUAGAAUCAUAUGUGCUACUGAUCCAAGAGGAUGUGAUGAUUUGGACUAUGAAACAUCAAGGAAGAUAUGGGCUAAUCGGAGUGUUUUGUUGACAAUCAAUUGGGCCUAUAAGGCAUUCAAGUGGGCCGAACCAAAUACAAGAAGAGAUGGAGGGAGAUAGCCUUUAAAAAGAAACGAUCCUUCAAUUCAACACGACUCACGCGGUGCAAAUGAGUCUGUAAAGUUCACGUGAGCUCGUAGGGGCAGAUUUGAAAUUUCAGUUAUGGCUGCUCUAUGGGGAAAGUUGGUGAGCUUUUUUGCUUAUUUUUGGAUCCAAAAAAUCAAGGUUUUUCUCUGCAUCUUGCGAGCUCUUGGAGGGGAAGAAGAACUUGAAAAACACAUCAUUUUCUGUAACACCCCGACUCCCAGGUAUUAAUUUUCAGCUUUACUCUUUCAUAUUGAAAAGUCUACUCGACGAGUUGGAGGCCCUGACUCGUCGAGUAGGAACGCGUUUGGACCACAAACUUAAGUGACCAACUCGCCAAGUCGGAUGACACGACUCGACGAGUUGGAUCUGGAGGACGAAACCUUAAUUUCUGGGGUUUUGCACCCUAUUUAAAGGGUCAUUAGCCUCCCAUAUAGCCCCUUGUGAGUCCAGAAACCCUAAAUCAUAGUUUUCUCUCCAUACUUGUGUGUUUUAAGCGUUGGAAGGUGGAUAUUGGUGAGAGGAAUUUGAAGAUCAAGAAGUUUGACCCAAGGAACGUGUGUGGAUCUGAAGUCUACCCCCGUUUAGCAUCAUUUGAAGGUAUCAAGUCGUUACCUUGAUCUUCUUCUAUCCAGAUCCUUCUAUAUUUCAGUUUUGGGGCCAUUUUGGCAUAUUGGUGCUUCAUUUCGAGUGAUGAACCAAGAUCUGAAGUUGCAACUUCAGAUCUAGGCUCAUAUUGGCCCUUACAAUCAUAAAGUCUCAGUCUUUAGCAUGCUAGUGUAAUUCCCUUGCCUAGAAUCUCUUAUUUAGCUUGAUUUAAGUCAUUAGCACCUUGCAUGUACGUAAAGUUCGCAACUUUACGUAAGAAGUAUGACUUAGGAGCUUGGAUCUACAUUAUGGAGCUUUGGAAUGGAUUAAAAAGCAUCUGAAUGGAGAAAAGACUGAGAGGACUUGACGAGUUGCAUGGUCAACUCGACGAGUCCGAUGAAGAUUGUCGUGUAAGGGUUUCUGCAUGGACUCGGCGAGUCAGUAGGAAGAAUUGGCGAGUCAGUGGGAAGACUAGGCGAUUUGCAGGGAAACUCGACGCGUCGAUGGGAGAUUUCACGACUUCUCGGGUUCAGGAAGGACUCGACGAGUCGGUGAAUUGCACUCGACGAAUCGGGUCAACAUGGACUGUUGACCUUGACCAAUGGUUGACUAGUUGAAUUUUGGGGUAUUUUGGUAAAUUGGAAAUUUAUGAAUAUGGUUCUAUGGUAAAUAUAGGCGGUGGAGUACGUGGCGGUGAUUUGAGAGUUUGAACUUAUCACUUCAAUUCGACAGUUGUGAGAUGAGUUUUCCUCACUAUACUCAAGGGUCUAAGGCACCAAGGCCGGUCCUUUGGAUUGUCAUCCUGAUAUAUUAUAUGCUGAGUAUUGUAUGAUCUGUUAGAUCAGUAUCCUGUUAGAUAGGAUUGUAUAUGCUGUUAUGAUCCAUUAGAUCAAUAUCCUAGUAGAUAGGAUGUUAUAUGCGGUUAUGAUCUGUUAGAUCGGUUUGUUGGUUUAUAGAUUGGUAUGUGGUUAUUUGUUAUAUGUGCACAUGUUUGAUUAGGGGUUGAGGCUUUUAUGCUUUGUGCUAAAGCCAAUAGACCUGGGCAUUCCAACCCGAUGGUCGUGGGCCGUGAGUAUUCCAUCCCCAGGAUGACUGAAUUCGUAAUAUGUGGGGAUUCCAACCUAUUGUUGUAGGCCUGGGGUAUUCCAUCAUGAGUAUGAUUGGACCCAUAGUAUGUUGGCAUUCCAACUGGAUGGUUGAGGGCAUAGGGUAUUCCAAUCCGAUGGUUGACUGGACCCAUAACAUGUUGUUUGUGAUUAUAUGAGUAUUGUUGUGUGUAUGAGUGUUUUGGGGGAACUCACUAAGCUUUGGGCUUACAAUUUCAGAUUUGGUUUCAGGUACAUCAGAUGAUCGCGGGAAUGCAAAGGCGUGAUCAUACAACUCCUCAUGUUUAUGACUUGUUUCUGGGAUACUUUGAUAUUAUACUAUUUUGAAAACAAGUUUUGUAAUAAUUAAUGGUUUUGAAAAAGUUUAAAUUUGGCAUGAUUUUUAUGGGUGUUACAUUUUCAUCUUGUUUUCACUUGGGUUAUGUUUGGUAACUCUAAACUAAUUUACUUUUCUUUAAUCUUAGUCAUGUUAGACUAAGUUUAUCUUUGGUUGAUGUUGGUUUAAUCCAUGGACGACUAAUCAUUUUGAAGAUAACUUAUGGACUUGUGGUUGCAGUUUAUGGAAGUAAUUUCUAGUUAAACAUCUUUUCUAUGUUUGUUUGUCUUUAAUGAUGAGUUUAUGAAUGAAUAUUUGAUUUGUUUUCAUUUCAAUUAGGCCACAUAAAUAUUUCUUCCAUAAUGGUAAUGCAAACAUUUGAUUACUUUUUGGACUUCGUGACUCUUAAAACUUAAUCCUAAUUGCUUUUCACAAAAUUACAUACUUCAGUGACUUUGUAACUUUAAUUAAGGAAAUGUACUGUAAGCUUCUCUAGCCAUCUUAAUAACAAAGAAGAGUUGAAGUGAUUUAUGCUUAUAAAUUACUAUAACCAAUUUAAAUGAAAUCAGAAACAUUGCACCAUAACAUCUAAUGACAAGUUAACUAAUUGUAUAUGUGGUGAAUACCAAUCUCAAUCUUUCUCUUCUUGAUUAAACUGAAAUCUUUACUUGUUUACUUGAUAUUUUUAUAUCUUAGUAUAACCUUAGUUUCUUUAAAACAACCAAAAGAUCAAAACCCCAUUUUUAACUUUUAUUUUUGUUUUGCAAGUAUUUGAACAAAGAUAUUUUUUUAGAAUUAUAAAUUGAACCAAUCUCUGUGGAUACGAUCUUUUUGUCACUAUACACUAUUUUAGUGUGCAAGAUUUAUAAUAUUUAUUUUGUUGGCUUCGACAACCAUCAUGGUGAUACCCACAUUCUUUAUUAAAAUCUUUAUAUUUAAGUUAAUAAUAAAAAAUAUUAAAAUUUCAAUAGGGUAAUUUAGUCAUUUCAAAUCAUUUAGAGACCAAAACCGCAACAAAAACCAUAUUUGAAGGACGGUCCGAAUGAAAAAUUAAAUUUAAGGACAAAACUUGCAUAUUAGACCGAACCACAAGGACGAGUCAUGUAACUUACUCAACACUAUUAAAAUAUGUACCAAAUCUUUAUCAAUAAGCAUGAGUAGGGAUAUCAAAAACUCUAUGGGACCCCGACUCCGUAUAGAAUAAAUUAAAAAAAAAAACAAGGACGGAGUCGG
RNAcentral lists this long non-coding RNA (151541 nucleotides) under Lactuca sativa (garden lettuce). RNAcentral describes it as "long non-coding RNA (LSAT_LNC000191)". The record is from RNAcentral. Lineage: Eukaryota; Viridiplantae; Streptophyta; Magnoliopsida; Asterales; Asteraceae.